UCACUUAAUUUAAUAUCACAAUAAAUCACCUAGUGAUAGUUGUUUUAUUUAUAAUAUGAUAAUAACAACCACCUAGUGGUAGCUGAUUUAUUUAUUACAUGCUAAUAACAACCAUGAGUUGAUAGUUGAUUUAUUUAUUAUAUGCUAAUAACAGCUAUCAGCUAGUGGUUGAUUUAUUUAUUAAUUGCAGUCUUGUUCAUUUACUUCAGUCUUUUUAUUUAAUUAUGUUAAAUCAUAUGUGAAUCCUAAUUUGUACUUGUACUCACAGAAAAUAAACCUAAGAAUUCAUCAAAGGAAAUAAAAGAUAAACGACAAUACAAAUAUUGCGUUUUGUUUUGUCUUAUUUUUUAAAAUUUUAUUUUCAAAUAUAUACGCAUGCAUGAUAAAGAUUCACAAUUAUAUAUAUAUAUAUAUAUAUAUAUAUAUAAUCCGUCGAGGUGUUUUAGUUGACUAGCUAGUAUAAACUACCAUCUACCAAAUCGUUAUUAGCUAACGAGCUAGUGUAAAUUUUCAUCUUGGAAGCUAGUAUAAACUAUCAUCUAUAAAAUUGUUAUUAGUAGAGGAACUACGAAUGUAAACUAUCGUCUAACAAACUGUAUUAGUUGAUGAGCUAGUGUAAAUUACUAUCAUUUACCAAAUAGUUAGAUAGACUGUUGGCUACAGUCAAAUGUGUUUUGGAUCAAUUCCUAUAUAUGUGUGUGUGUGAAAAAUUCAUGAAAAUCUAAAACUUAGUUGUUUUGGUACUAUUGAAUUGAUUUAUCUUUUCAUCUUUAUUUUUUUUUAAUUUACUACCCGACCCAAAUCUUUUCUCUUCUCGUAUCAAUAGUAAGUUUAAGAUUGGAUGAUAUUUUUGUCCCUUCAUUUUUUGUCAAUUGAGUCCUUAAAGUGGUCAAUUGAUGUCAAUUCUGUCUCUUUUCUCCAAAUUAACCCAAUUUCUUCUAAAUUGAAGUACAUGCUCGGCAUAUAUAUGCGAUUUAAGUUGGGGCAAAAAUGUCUCCUAACACAAUAAUAAUAAUAAUAAUAAUAAUAAUAAUAAUAAUAAUAAUUCAAAAUUAUCUAAUGAAAAGACAUAAUUUAAGCAGUACCAUCUUGUAAUUUAUGUAAUCACUUUAUUUAAUAUCACAAUAAACCAGCUAGUGAUAGUUGUUUUAUUUAUAAUAUGGUAAUAACAAGCACCUAGUGGUAGUUUGAUUUAUUUAUUACAUGCUAAUAACAACCAUGAGUUGAUAGUUGAUUUAUUUAUUAUAUGCUAAUAACAGCUAUCAGCUAGUGGUUGAUUUAUUUAUAUAUCGUGCUAAUAACAACCAUCAACUAGUAUAUAGUUUCUUGAUUUACUGUUGAUCGGAAGAUUACUGAUCGUUCAUUUAGGUGUUGGUGGGACUAAUGUUAACACCAUAGAUAACUAAACCUGUCUUCAUAGUCACGUUUUCAGUCCCGUCAAGAGCAAAUAUGAUAUCUCCAUAGUCAAACUUAUUGAAGAAUUCCCCAGCUUUGAGCGAAAAUGGUGUGUUUCUCGGAUAAUUCAUCAAUCCAUAUCCGUUCACUUGCGAGGAUCCAUUCGGAAGAGUAAGUGUAAGACUCACCGGACUUGCUAUGUUAAAGUUGUCUUUCAGCAGCACCACAAAAGAUACCUCAUAAGAUAAAUUUUCAAGCUUUUCUGUCAUAUAGUUUCCGUCAACAUGUAGGACUAAGCUACCAAUUAAUUCAGCACUGUCAGGACUGUACAAAAUGAUAGUAGAAUUAAAGUCAGAAACUUUUGAUAUAAGGAGCUUAAAUUCAUUAGGUGAUUUUAUUGAUUUAUUUAUUUUUUGCUGGAAUAUUUUUAAUGCGAGUCCUUCUAUCUAACUAGACUUCAAUAAAAUUUCUAUAGUCCUUCUAUCACUUUAAUUUAAUGACAAAGUUGCUUAUAUAUCCCUAUUUUUAACUGAAUAAAAUUCAGGUGUUUAAACACAAAUCUUGACCUUUGACGUCAAUUAAGUUAACUAAAUCUUAUUUCUACUUACGUAAACUUCCAGCCUGAAGGGUUGGCAUAAUUGAGUUUACUGGCAGGUACAUAAGCGCCAGAACUCUGAAUAAGACGAGAAAAAAAAAUUCAUAUCAUCCAUUACAAAAAAAUUUCACUUGCAAAAUUUACAAAUAUUAAGGAUUAUUUUUGUUCUAUAGCCAACUUUAGCUAUAUAUAUGAUGUUUGUUUACAAUUUCAGUAGACUUACCUUCUGGCCUAUUCCGCCGUUUUGGAGCAACUCCAUUUCCUUGGCUUGGGACAACAAUGCCUUGAGGUCAACCUCAUUAUGCCUCACUACUUGUGCCAUCUCCUCGAUCGAUCGAUAACUAUCCUUUAAUUCUGCUAUAUAUAUAUAUAUAUAUGUAUUUUCUGUUUCUAUUCUUGAUGUCUAUAUAUCUCUCUUCCAAAGGCUAGCUCUAUUUAUACUGGCACAAACAGAGGGUACUGCGAUUAUUAUAUCCCAUAAUAUCCUAUCUUCAAAUAUUCCUUCCCUUUUCAAAGUAGGGAUCCGAUCCUGAUAAGUUUAACAUCAUCAUCAUCAUCAUCAUCAUCAUCGCCAAGGAUAUAGAGCAGCAGAUUCUGUUUAAUAAUUUUGUUGGAAUAAUUCUUUUCCAUUUCCCAGUUCAAUAGUUCUUUCUUUAGCUUGUUGCGCAGGCAAAAUUCCAUGAAGGCGAAAGGCACGUAGGCAUACUAGUUGUGGGCAAGGAAAUUGUACCUUGCUAGGGUUAGGAUUUCGUGUUGGCUGAGGAGGAGAGAAAUUCACGAAGAGCACGGAAUUGAUUGGUUGAUUGAAGAGGGGAGAACGACAGGUGGGCGAUUACUCCAACGACGUGUGGCAGAACCCCUAGAAUCCAGGAACCGUGUUAGGGUAGUAGGGAUUCCAAGAGCCUUCUUGAGUCCUUCGUUCUUGAGAGAAUGUCUAAACCCCUUUUAGUGCUUUUAGGUGGAAUCUCCGAGCCUUUAAGUCACCAAAAAGGGUUCUUUGAUCUUCCGAGAGUCCAAGUCUUGAGUCUAAAGAGAAGUCUCUUUCCCAAUGGAAUGGAAGGGUAUUUAUAGGGUUUUCUGGAAAGUAGUCAUGUGCGAGGCACAUGCUUUCAGGGAAAUUCCAGAAAUGCCCUUUAGUCAUUAGAAUAAUGCCCAUGUUGCCCUGUCCUUCUAGCCACCAAUCCAAUCCCUCAAUUAAUUCCCACAUCGAGCCGCCUCCACGAGUCUUCUGCCUCGGGACACGUGGAGGCUUCUCCCGGGUCUAGCACAUUUAUUUAUGACUUUUUCAUCUUCAUUCCAUUCGGUUAUGCGAACACUAAUUUGCACAUUUAAUGAGGCCGUGGAACCCUAAUUGCGCAUUUAAUUCAAUUAGGUCAUGUGAACUCUAAUUUUACACUUUGGCCCACAUUUGCCCCCUGCGCGAGAGUCGCAUUUUCAAAUAGACGAUCGUGCAAGAAAACUGCAAGCCUUUGAAUGAUUUUGCGGGACUUCACUUUACAUGUCUUGAAGACAAUAGUCCUAGAAGAGGGAACUCCUAGGGAGCCAAACCCUUAGAGUUAAACCCUAGGAAGGCAAGACCUAGCGAGGCUCUUCCUUGGACAUAUUGAAAAAUCUUCUGAAAUCUUUCUGUAUUUUGCCCAAUAUUUAUUUCCAAUUCCGCAAGCAGAUCAACUGUCCGAGCAGCCUCAAUACGAACAGAAACAGAUUCCGAUAACUUGGAAUGGAAAAUAGAAUUAAGACCAGGCAAAACAUUGAAUAGAGCGAUGUAGAGAUCUAAAAUUUCAAACAACUUGAGAAACGAUGGACGGGUACUACUAACGCCUUCUGCAAAGUUAAUCAAGUGCAAGGCGGAUUCUUUAACUAUACCCAUAAAACACACAUCAAAUGUGGAGUUACCAAGUCCACUAAAGAUUUGUUCACAGAGUUUCUUCUCCUUUAUGAAGAGAUCUUCAAAACAAACACGAGAUGCUCGUAUCCACAAUUUGAUCUUUGGUGCCAACAUAUCCCACUCCAAACUCCGGAACUCACCGAUGCUAUAUUUACCGACGCCGAGGUGUCGAAAUUCUGCAUCCACAAUCAACUUCCUUGAAGUCCUGUAGAAUUCAACGCAGUCGCCAACAUUACCGGCUGAGUUCAAUCGUUCAAUGAUACUCCUAAAACCAUAAACUUCGUCAAUAUGUCCAUCAUCCUGUAAUUCAUAGCUAAAAGUAUCGGUUAUUGUACUUGAAAAAAUGGUAGAACUCCUAUCGGCCAAGAAAGCAUUGUGGACUCUGUUGGUUUGUCGGGUCAAUAUGACCCGAAACUCUAACGGAAGGGUUUCCAUGCCCGUUUAGAUCAUGUUUUGAUGCUUUCAGUUUGGGGAUCUGAGAUUAUUCUCGAUCGUCUGAAGCUCGUCAAAAGUACUGAUCAAUCUCAUGGCGGUCUCCGUCGAAGUCGAAGAUGAUGAAUUUAAUAAUUCCGCCCGAAUAUUUUGUGUUCUACCAAUUCCAUUCAGACAAUACAAAAGAGAUAUAUAUAUCUGCCUAAAAAUUGAAAACCGAAAAUCAUCUCUGAACAGCAGGCUUUGAAAAUUACUCCUACUAGUAGUUUAUAAAUAUAAAUACUUUGAAGAUUGUAAGAAGUUCAUAGCCAUCCACUAGUAAAAGUACUUACCAUUACUAAUUGAUGUCACGUUACCGCAAUUAGGACGGAGAGAGAAAGUCGGACCAACUCUUUUUUUUUUUCAAAUCAAACAUUAAUUUUUUAUUUCCAAAAUCAAAUCUUAAUUUUUAUUUUCAAAAUAAAAUCAAAUCUUAAUUUUUUAUUUCCAAAAUAAAAUCAAAUCUUAAUUUUUUAUUUCCAAAAUAAAAUCAAAUCUUUCUUAAUUUGAAAAGAGAUUUUUUUUUUUUGAAAAUGAAAUAAAAUAAAAUCUCUCUUUUUUUUUUUUGGCAAAUCAAAUCAAAUCAUUUUUUUUUAUCAUUCACGCAAAAGAUUUAAGUGCAUGAAUAAAAUAAAAUAAAAAUGCAUGAAUUUAAGAGUCAUAUAAUCUCACAGAUCUAAUGAAGGGGAAUUGCCACAUGCCUACGACAUUCUCUAUGAAAAAAAUGAUGAAUUAAGGCAAAACGAGAUCCAAUCAUGUAUUAUUUUUUUUUUGAAAAUAAAAUAAAUCUUAUUUUAUUAUCUUUCAAAAAAAUAAAAUAAAAUCUUAUUUUAUUAUUAUUAUUUUUUAAAAUAAAUAAAUAAAUAAAUAAAACAUUUACUUAUCUUAUUUUUAAGAAGUAAGGAGUCGAUGAGAAUGUCUUGUAUCCAUAUUGAAGCCUUUGAUAAUUCUUUGAGCAAAGAUGAUUAUAGCUUUUUGAUGAUUCUGACAUCUUUUAUAUGAGACAAGUCUUCACAUGCUUCCGAUUUUUAUUUGCCAUAAAGAAAGAAUCCAUUAAAGCUUCACAUGCCAGUUGCCACUCCUCUGUUAGCCAACAAAAAAAAAAAACAUUGUUUUGCUGCUUUAUUUGGGUGUUAUAGCCACAGGCAAGCCUCUUUCUAUCCACGCCGAACCCUACUGAUUCAAUUUUUUAUUAUUUUUUUUUUAUUAAAAAAAAUCAAGAACUUUUGGAACACUUAUAUUUAGAAGAAGCUUGUACGUAUGGGAAUUGAUGAUCCAAAAACCCACAACCCAAUUCUUAAUCUCAGUUUCUUUCUUGCUAAUCUUUCUCAGUUGAUGAACCCUUUGGAUAAUAUUAACGAUCCUCUUAGGAGGUUGCAAUAUUCAGAUCCCACUCAACUACUAGCCAAAAUCCAAAUUUUACAUAACCUAUUGCAGGCCAUAAAUGUGAGUCCUUCUUUCCCAAAUAUUAAAGUAGUAAACGUGAAUAAUCUCUUGGGAUCAUAUAAUUAUCUUAGCCAAUUUGAUGGAGUGAUCACGAGUGAAGCUAUCAACCCCAUGAUUAAUCCUAUCCCCAACAACCGGCCUUUAAUAUAUAUACUCCAAUCCCAAACUCAUUUGGAUUCUUUAGCCCACAAAUAUUUAACAAUGUUAAUAGCUUAAGUGGUGUUGCAUGCAAUAUUACUCAUCAAACUGAAAAUCAGCUUCCGGAAAGUUCCAAUACCAAGGAAAUGGACAGUAUGAAGCCUACAAACAUCCCCUCCGGUUCAACCAACUCUGACAAUAUCUUUGAGGUUUUGGAGAAAUUUGUUGAUUGUGAUCAAGCCAAUAGUACUUCCUUCUUGCUUCUUUUUUUUUUUUAUUCAGGUAACUCUAGUCUUUCUUUUGUCUUCCGAGCCCCAUUACCUUGAUCAUAUCUUGGUUUUUUCCCUCGGAUCAUAAAGAAAGAUUGGUAUUUUUUUUUUCUUGCAGGCCCUCCCUGUUGAACAUUCUGCAGACUUGGGAACAACCAAGGAGGCCCCGUUUCUCAAUAAUUGGGGAAGGGAUCCCCUCUUUUGGUCUUUCCGACGUCUUUUGAGAGCGAGUCUAGACUUAUAAUCGUACAACACUUCCUCCGCCAGAGAAGAAAGGCGUGUUUCUUUAUGUCGCGGCUUGCGGAGGUUUGGGUGACUUCCUCCCUUCCGAUCGCAUUCUCCGCAUGUGCAUAGAGAAACAAGAAUAGCCUUUCAGUCCCUUUCGCUUCCUGUCUGACUCAUCUGACCGCCUUCAAGGAUGGCAACAUUGGACCGACUUCCCGUUGUGUGCUCUUCUUCAUACACAUUCAUUACUACUUGGGGGGGAAUUCACCCCUAUUCUAGAGGAUGUCUCUGCCCUCCACCAGUAGGUCGUACUUCGGUUUGCCCCCUGCACGUGAGUCACACCUUUGGUGGGACAACCGUGCAUAAUUUCUCCAGCAUUGAAAUCUUGCUACAAAUUUCUUAAUGAUUCGCGGAGCACGAUGGUGCAAGCCUUGAACAUAAAAUCCCUAGGAGGGGAGACCUGUAGGGGGCGAGCCCUAGAGAAGCUCUCCCUGGCUAUCUUGGAAAAAAUCUUCUAUCUUAUCCUUCCGAAUAUUACUUUCUUUUGGAAGUUCUCUCAUUUUCAAAAUUAAGAAGUCAACGAGAAGGCACCGAGUGAACAUACUUCAAAUUGGGGUGAACAAGCGAUGAAGGAGAUCUUUCCUCUAGGUACCCGAAUCCUGAGCGGCUUCAUUCUGGAACAUUGAUUAACGAGCUAGGAGAAGUAAAAGGUAAGAGGGGAGAGCCUCUGUAGGUGUUUGAACCCCAGGGGCCGAACCCUAGAAGACUGCCUAUUCCUUCACUCUUUUUUUCCUUCUUCCUUUCACUUGAAUCUUGGUCGUGUCCUAGCUUGGUUCCCCAAUAUAGUUGAUCGGAUACAUCUUCAUAGGACCCUUCUCCAGAUUUUCUUGCUCGAUUGUCUUCUGAGACUUAUUCUCGAAAUGCACAUUCUCUCUCUAUUAUCUGUGAGCAGAAGACUUAGAGGUGUUUUAGUUGUGAAGUUGAUGACUUCUCGAUCCUUCUUGGGCCUUGACAUGUCUCCCUUCCGUGCUAAGCUGGAUCUCUUCACUUUCAGUUAUCAUGUCAUUGCACUUUGUUCGGAGGUCACUUCACGUCCUCAUGAGAAUGACUUUCUUUAUGUAAGGGCCUCAGGAGCUUCAGGACGUCAUGGAUAGAUUGAAGGCCAAGCUUCGGGAAAUUGAUUCAUCUGCCCAAGACCUUAAGGAACUGUUAGCCUGAAGUUCGAAAGGCUCGAGAUACUGCCAUUGUCGACUUGGAGGCUUUAGCUAUGCCCCCAGUUCAGUUUGAUGUAUCAUGACCUUUGGAUCAUGACUUCAUGUAGCUUUUAUUUCUUCCAUCACUUUUGAAGAUAAAGUGUAUUAUCGAGGAUUUCAGGGUCAAGUGUCUCAAUCACUUUUGAAGUUGAAAGUAUAACUCUUUUUUUUUUCUGGAUCGAGGGCUGAUUAAUCAGGUGCCUCAUUACUUUUGAAGUUGAAAGUAUAACUUUUUUGGGUCGAGGGCUGAUUAAUCAGGUGCCUCAUUACUUUUGAAGUAGAAAGUAUAACUUUUUCGAGUCGAGGGCUGAUUAAUCAGGUGCCUCAUUACUUUUGAAGUUGAAAGUAUUUUUUUUUUGGGUCGAGGGCUGAUUAAUCAGGUGCCUCAUUACUUUUGAAGUAGAAAGUAUAACUUUUUCGGGUCGAGGGCUGAUUAAUCAGGUGCCUCAUUACUUUUGAAGUUGAAAGUAUAACUUUUUUGGGUCGAGGGCUAAUUAAUCAGGUGCCUCAUUACUUUUGAAGUAGAAAGUAUAACUUUUUCGGGUCGAGGGCUGAUUAAUCAGGUGCCUCAUUACUUUUGAAGUUGAAACUAUAACUUUUAAGAAAUUUGCUCUGAUCAAAAUUUGAUGUAUUUAUUUAACGAUCAAGAUAUAAUACAUUUUUUUUUCAUUUUCUAGUCUGCUAGGGCAGUAGCUUAUUCAGCAUUAUGCUUCUUAUUAUAGUUCGAUUUCACCUGCCGCUAAUUUUUCAUGAUAAAUUCUCCUCAAAUUACGACAAUUCAUGAUGGAAUGUCCUGGGUAUUGAUGAUACACGCAAAAGUCUGAUCUCUUCUUCAUCUCCUCGGUCACAACAAAUCUGGGUUUUGGAGGCUUCACCAUUCCAUUUUCUACCCAUUUCUCAUACAAAUCUUUAAAUAUCUCCUCACCACAAGUGAUAGCUUCGGGCUCUAGCGAAUUUAUAUUCUUUUUGAUUCUUUCCCUCUUGCCCCCCUGUGGCUCUGACUGAGAGUCUGUCAAAGCCGUAGUAGCUGUCCUCUUACUCUUCCAGGUAGCAAUCGGAUGGUUCACAGAUACUGCCAUAAUUUCUCCAUGGUCCUGUGCAAAGGUGGAAAGUGUCGCAAAGGAAUCACAAGACUUAGUGAUCAAGUGGGGCUUGAAGGCGUCGAGGGCGCCGUUGUUGCAAAUACUCACUAAAUUCUUCUCUUCGAUUGGCUCCACACACUUCCGCGCCUGGGCCCGAAAGGUGGAAAGUGUCGCAAAGGAAUCACAAGACUUAGUGAUCAAGUGGGGCUUGAAGGCGUCGAGGGCGCCGUUAUUGCAAAUACUCACUAAAUUCUUCUCUUCGAUUGGCUCCACACACUUCCGCGCCUGGGCCCGAAAUCUGUCAACAUAAUCAGAUAACUCCUCAUUCGAAUUUUGUUGAAUUCUCAUAAGCUCUAUAAUUGACACUUCCUUCUGAACAUAAAAGAAUUUUUUGAAAAACUGGUGUUUCAUAUCAUCCCAAUCUCGAAUCGAACCCUUCUCCAAAUUGUAGUACCAGCUGAAGGCACCGUUAGUGAGCGUCUUGUUAAACUCCCUCAAUAGAAUAUUGUGGUUGCUCACUUCAUCUAUUCCCAACCACGAGGACAUCGACUCCACAAAUCUUGCAAUAUGCUCUCUCGCAUUCCCUUUCUCUCCACUAUACUUAGGGAACUGAAGUGGAUGUUCAAUGUACCCAGCAGGGUAUGGCUGUCUUCUCACAUGCGCCGGGUAUGGUGGGGUGAAAUCCAGUUCCGCAGGCCUGACUGUCUGUCUACGCAUCUGAUUGAUUACAUCCAUCAUGUCUUCCCUUGUCGCAUAUUGACUGGUUUCUGGAGCCUUUUGGGACGUCAUCGCAUACUGGUUUAUCUGAGGUGUAUGUGGAACACAUGUUGAUGCACACUUGCCUCAUGUAAGAUUGGUUGUACUUGCUGGAUUAUUGGUUGUAUAUGGCUUGGGAUGGUUGGUAUCUGCACUUGUGAAAAUGCUGGGAGUGUAAUCGGGAUGAUGUUUAGCUGAGGCUGGCUAGCUUCCAAUCUAAGUGGUGGUACAUCACCACUGUUCUGGGGCUCCAAGUUGAUGACUGGAAUCGGCUGACUCUCCAUUGCUGGAGGUAUAAUCUGAUUCUCUUUGUUGUUGUUGUUGUUGUCCUCCACUUCUCCUGCUCGUCCCCCUUGCGAACUUCCUGGGAACAUGGUCUUGAAAGUGGGGAUUUGCAUCAACUGCUGGCAAAAAUUCUCCAUUUCUUCUUGCUUUCUCUGCAUCUCUAGCAUCAUGGCCAUCAUCAUCCCUUGCCCUUCUCGUGCUUCUUUCAAUGCUUUAAGCAUCUCCAGUUGCACAGCAUUCGUCUGGUCUCCCCCUGCAUCUUCGCCUUGCCUUCUUGCAUUGGUUUGUUGUUGAUUGGCCAUAUGUGGUGAUGUCGAACUCCCUUCCAAAGCGUCUUCAAUAAUUGGUUGGUCAAAAUCCAGGUUUGCGCCUUGGAAAACUUGAGUUACUUGUCUUGGAACUGGAUCCGGUGACGUAAUGCUAUUUGUUGGUGAAGCAGCUCUUCCUGUAAUUCUCCCACUUCGAGUCGUGGGCAUACCCUUCACGAAUUAUACACCUCCCCAGCAGAGUCGCCAAAGAAAUGUGGGCAAGGAAAUUGUACCUUAGUAGGGUUAGGGUUUCGUGUUGGCUGAGGAGGAGAGAAAUCCACGAAGAGCACGGAAUUGAUUGGUUGAUUGAAGAGGGGAGAACGACAGGUGGGCGAUUACUCCAACGACGUGUGGCAGAACCCCUAGAAUACAGGAACCGUGUUAGGGUAGUAGGGUUUCCAAGAUCCUUCUUGAGUCCUUUGUUCUUGAGAGAAUGUCUAAACCCCUUUUAGUGCUUUUAGGUGGAAUCUCCGAGCCUUUAAGUCACCAAAAAGGGUCCUUUGAUCUUCCGAGAGUCCAAGUCUUGAGUCUAAAGAGAAGUCCCUUUCCCAAUGGAAUGGAAGGGGUAUUUAUAGGGUUUUCUGGAAAGUAGUCAUGUGCGAGGCACAUGCUUUCAGGGAAAUUCCAGAAAUGCCCUUUAGUCAUUAGAAUAAUGCCCAUGUUGCCCUGUCCUUCUAGCCACCAAUCCAAUCCCUCAAUCAAUUCCCACAUCGAGCCGCCUCCACGAGUCUUCUGCCUCGGGACACGUGGAGGCUUCUCCCAGGUCUAGCACAUUUAUUUAUGACUUUUUUGUCUUCAUUCCAUUCGGUUAUGCGAACCCUAAUUUGCACAUUUAAUGAGGUCGUGGAACCCUAAUUGCGCAUUUAAUUCAAUUAGGUCAUGUGAACUCUAAUUUUACACUUGGGCCCACACUAGUAAAUGAUGAUUUUCUUCUAACCAGAAGUAUGAGCAGGUUAAAAGUAGAAGAAUAAGCAUCUCGCAGGCCAAAAAUCAAUAAAAAAACGAAAAGAAGAAAAAGAAAAGAAGAAGACAGCAAUAGCAAGACCAUAUUUUUCUUCUUCUUUCUUUUUAUCUUUUCUUUCUUUCUUUUUUGUUUCUUUUUAGACGGAGGGUUUUAUUUCAUCUUUGAAAAUAAACCUAAGAAUUUAUCAAAGGAAAUAAAGGAUAAACGACAAUACAAAUAUAUAUUUUUAUUUUAUUUUCAAAUAUAUACGCAUGCAUGAUAAAGAUUCACAAUUAUACACACAUAUAUAAUAGGCUACAACCAACAAUCUACUAAACAAUUUGUAAACCAUCGAGGUGUUUUAGUGACAACCUACCGUCUACCAAAUCGUUAUUAGUUAACGAGUUAGUGUAAAUUUUCAUUUUGGAAGCUAGUAUAAACUAUCAUCUCUCAAAUUGUUAUUAGUAGAGGAGCUACGAAUGUAAACUAUCGUCUAACAAACUAUAUUAGCUGAUGAACUAGUGUAAACUAUCAUUUACUAGAUGUAUGAGCAUGUUAAGAGUAGAAGAAUAAGCAUCUCGCAGGUAAAAAAAUAGGAAAAGAAGAAGACAACAAUAACAAGGCCACAUUUUUCUUUUUCUUCCUUUUUAUCUUUUUUUUUCUUUUUUGUUUGUUUUUAGACGGAGGACUUCAUUUCAUCUUUGAAAAUGUGGGUAAAGAAAUUGUACCUUAGGUUUUCAUGUUGGCUGAGGAGGAGAGAAAUCCACGAAGAGUACGGGAUUGAUUGAUGAAUUAAAGAGGGCAGAAGAACAUGUGAUCAAUUACUCUAAUGACAUGUGACAAAACUUUUAGGAUCCGAGAACCUUCUUAGGGUGCCAAAGAUCCAGGGAGUCUUCUAGGGUGUGCUUCGGGUUGAGAGAGAAUCUCCAAGUCUUCAAUCUUUCGAAAAGCCCUCUUCUUCAUAGAAUAGAAGGAGUAUUUAUAGAGUUUCCUGGAAAGUGGUCACAUGACAGACAUAUGACCUCGAGCAAAUUCCAAAAAUACCCUUAGUCACCAGAGUAAUGCCCAGAUCGUCCUGUCUUUCUAGCCACCAAUCCAAUUCCUCAAUCAAUUCUCAAAAUGAGUUGCCUCCAUAAGCCUUUUACCAUGGAGGCUCUUCCUUGAUCUCAUGAUACAAAGCUCUUAUUGCUCAAACCAUGCUUACUUGCUCUUCCUUCUUUAUUUAAGAAUCUCGUCGCCAGAAAUCAUCGGAAGAACUCUGCGCAAGACCCGGGAAGCCGCGUGUUACAAACCAGUCCCACAUCGAAAGAUAUGGAAAAAAAUUAGUCUAUAUAUAAGGAAUUAUGUUACUACCAAUAAUAUACUUUUAAGUCAUGACCUUUUGGGUGAGCCUGUGGUGGGAUAAGAUGACCCAAUAAUAUACUAUUGGGUCAGUGGUUUAAGGCCUUGGGAUUCGGACUUGGGAUUUGACCCAAGAUUUGUUUUGGGCAAUUUUACUCAGGUUGUUACAUAUGGUAUUAGAGCCGACUCUCGAAAGCUCGGGUCGGAUCAUCCGAUCGGGUUGCCGGAAGUGGGGACACGAAACCAGCCGAUAUUAUCCCACAAUGGCUAAAGAGGCAAAGAUCUGUGGAACGUAUAUGUGAUCGAUUUUGAUGGAGAUGUCAAAAAUUUAAGUGGGGUAGUUUAUAACACCUCAGUCCCACAUUGAAAGAUAUGGGAAAUACUAUUGUGCAAUGAUUUAAGCUAUCCAGCUAUAUUGUUAUAGUUUGGAUAUAUUCCAGUAUGAGAAUUAACAAACCCUGAAAUGGGAUAUUUUUAUUGCACUCUGGGAGUGGUGACGUUGAACAUGGAAGUUGUUCUGGAUAAGAUAGUAUUGAUUAAUAAAGGGCAUAUAUAAAGGGCUGAUCAUCCAUCGUGCUCAUAAGAUAAGAUGGUUCACAAAUAAAUUUUUAAGAAAACCUUUUCAAGAAAAGAAAAAGCUUGUUCACGGUCUUAUGACCUCUCAGAUGUUCAAUAUUGAUAUGAUAUUCCAGGAAUAUGAAUGAUUCAAGAUUUAAUUGCUUUACAGUUUUGUUUCACUGUUAAAGCAUGUCUCAAAGAAAACAUUUAAUUAUUGUUAAGAUAUUAAAGAAUGCUAUUACUUAUUGAGCAAUUGAAUGCUCAUUCUUGUUUUGUUAUAAAUGUUUUCAGCUAAUCAGGCUCCAACGGAGGGGUCUAAUAGAGACAAAGGAAAAGGAAAAGCUACUGAGUAGUAGGUAUAUGUUGUAAUAAAUAGUUUAUAUGUUUGUAGAUAUUUAACUAUCAUGUAAUAAGCACUUAAUGGUUACGUACCUGGUAUUAGAAGAACUCUGAUAUAAUAAAUCUAUCAAGUUUGAUAUUAUAUUAUGUUGAAUGCUUGAUAUCUUGAAGCACUGAAUAAGGGUUUAAAAUACCCGAAUUUGGGGGCGUCACACGCCCGAUUCGCCUCCUUUGCGUAUGUUUAACAUGCUCAUACAACUUGUCUAAUACUCCAUUGAUUAAUUCUAAGUAUCAUUAUAUUUCAUAACUUUCAUGUUUAAUAACUUAGAAUAACAUAUUUUAUCGUCAAAAGCAUCCACGUAGUACGAGCAUGCCCGACGCCCUCCGAUCGCCUCCGAUCGAAUGCACAAUAGUCCUAAAAAUAGCCAUUUUAGCCCCUUCUCCCGACCUCAAAUCUCAAAACUUAUAAAAUAAAAGUUUUAGGUCAACUUCUAAUAUUUUCGAAUCAUCUUGAAUCACCUCAAUCAGAGUUCGUAUAAAAAGGUUAUGCAUGUUUUACUAAAGAACGUCAAAGCUGACUUUCUGCACUUUUGGUUCAGCGCCCAUCCUAGGCCUAUUUCCAACGCCCCGGGGCUGGACGGCAGUACGUUCUCAGCCAAAAACUUCAAUUUUCAAAAAUCUUCAGUUUUGAAUGAUUUCAACAUGUCUACUUUGAAAUAUCAUAAAUUUCUCCUCCGAUAUCGAAAUGAGCUCGUUCUUAAUGGGUUGAAAAGCUUGCAACACCCUCUACAAAUUUCUCAGGACAAAAUAAUUUUCUGGAUUCUCUAACAAUCCUUUAAACUUUCUCAAAAGUCCAUCGAGACUAAGAUUUUUAUCAUUCAACAUACUUUACCAAAAUUUUCUGCCAUGACUUCGUUUUAACAUAUUUUUACUCCGUUCCAAUUAGAAUAUCUUCAUAAAUUCCUUAUCUAUAAAUCCUUAUUCCCGAAUUUUAUUUAUUACAACCCUAUCAACAAUAUUAAAAUCCAAUUUAAGUACUCUAAAUAAAUAAUGUCUAUCCUUUAAGCUUUGGCCUACGAUUCCAUUCUUGUUACCACUUCUUAUGCAAUUUAACAAGUUAUUUAUCAUGAUCAAAGCACACAUAACUUUAUUUACUCAAGGUCCUUCAUACUCUUUCAUUAAACAACCAUCGCCAACAACUAAUGAUUCAAGAAAGACUUCACAGAAAUGAAAAGAUGGAUGGUUCUUACCUUCUUAGUUAUUCUUCUUCUUCCUAGCUUAUGCUUUGUUAGCAUGAUAUACAUUGUUGGGCCCUCCAUCUACCAACUUAAGCUUUUAAGAUAAGUUGGUUACUUAACAUGGUAUCAAAGCUUUGGGUGUGCAAGGUCUUGGGUUCGAAUUUUUCCAGCUGCACAAUUAUCUUUCUAUUAAUUUAACAGUGCAAAUGCACUUUAAUUUCUCCCUUCUCUAUAAAAAAAAGUUGCGUUUGAGAGGGAGUGUUAGCAUGAUAUACAUUGUUGGGCCCACCAUGCAUCUAACAGCUUAAGCUUUUAGAUGAGUUGGUUACUUUGCUCUUCUUUCUCUUCUUAUUGGUAUUCGGCCUCUCUAUUUCUCUCUCUCUCUCACUCUCUUGUUUUCUUUCUCUUCUCUCUAGUUUGCCCUCUCUUCCUUUUUUUUUCUUGCAAAUGAAAUGAAUUGGCUAAGUGAAAAAUCCUCUAGAUCAAUUGAAUUCUCCACUAACUAACUCAACCAUACUUCUAAGGUUAGGUUAACUCGUGUAGGGUUAGGGAAUGAUAGGAUGACACUUGUAAGCUUAAUGUUUAAGGAUGACAAGAAGAUAUAAGCUAGCAUUAAAUUAAAUUUUCACCUUGCUAGAUGAGUCACACAUACUCUCCCUUUUGCUUCUUUAAUUGGUUGGAUCACCCCUCCCUUUCUUAGCUCAUAUUUUAAUUAUCCCAUGUGGGAUAAACAUCAAUCCUCUCCCUUAUCUUACUUUUUCACCCAACUUAUCUUUUAUGAGAUAACUACUAAGUCUCAUUCCUUAUCUUUUCUUCGAUAAGCCUUGUCAUUAAUCCUUAUCUCUUCCUUGUUUUCCUUCAACCCAAACUUACCAUAAAUAGAAAGUUUCCAUCUCACCUUCUCUCUUCUCCUUGUCCAUAUUCAAAUCCCCACAUGUUUAAUUCUAGCAAAUGACACUUGCCCUCUUAUAACUUUGGCUCCUAGUUUGGCUCACUUUUUGGCUCAAAGACCAAGCCAUGGCUCCUAUCCUUUGACUCUAAGCUUAAGCCACUCAAACCUUAGGCUCAACCCUUAGCUAAGCCCCUUUAAAUUCCUAACCAAGUCAUUUAAACCUUAGGUUUGGUUAGACUAGAAUUAAUUUAAUUUCUCUUUUUCUUUUAAAUUAGUUAGAUUUCCUAAUUUUUUAGUUACAUUUUUCGUAAUAUGCUUGGUUAGCUGACAAUCCGACUUUUGAUUUUCAAAAAUCCAAUUUCGCCACCAUUCCUUCUUUCCCGAAUAAACGCUAUGUAGUUCUUCGAAAUUUUAAAAAAAACGAAGUUGGGUUUUUAGCGUGAAUAGUUUUUUUUCAUACGACUUUUUCUAGAAAAAUAUUUUAUUAGAGAUUUCAUCUCGCCUUCUCAAAUAAACACUAUGAUGUAAUUCAAAAUUCUCGAAAAAGUAUGUUUAUUAGCGUUUUUCUGUGAUUUUAAAAAUAGUAACUUUUUCGUCUUUUUCUCGAAAAAAUUAUAUUCUCCCAAAACUCCCAACACUUAUACAUAAUCACGUAACACGUAAACUAGGUCAUUAAUCGACCUAAAUCAUGUAACACAUAAUAAUAUCUAUAAAAUUUUAUUUUAUUAGAUAUUCACAAAUAAAACCUAUUUUCAAGCCUAUCUGAAUUCUCGGGUCGUCACAUAGUAUUUAUAGAGUUUCAUGGAAAGUGUUCACAUGCCAGGAACAUGACCUCAUGGAAAUUCAAGAAAUACCCUUAGUCACCAGAGUUAUGCCUAGAUCAUCUUGUCCUUCUAACCACCAUGCAAUCCAAUCCCUCAAUCAAUUUCAAAAAUGAGUUGCCUCCAUAAGCCUUCUGCCUUGGGACCCAUGGAGGCUCCUCCUCGAUCUCAUGCUUCAAAGCAAUUGUUGCUCAAACCAUACUUUCUUACUAUUCCUUCUUUAUUUGAGAAUCUCGUCGAUGGAAAUCCUCGGAAGAACUCUGCGCAAGAACCAGGAGGCCGCGCCUUAGGGGGGCAAUCCUUAGGGGGCGGAACCCUAGGGAGCUGAACCCUAGGGGGGCCUCCUUCAGUUCUUUUCGUUCGUUUCAACCUUUCUUGGUCAGUUUUCAUCAUUUUCUCAUGAUUCUUGGUCCUGUAAGAAGCCUUUCUUGUCAUAGAGAUUAUAAGGCUAAUCAUUAUUUGGAGUUUCACAAGAUUUUAGUUUAUUUUUGUAGUCCAGGCUUAUUUCUUUGUCAUUGCAUCGAUGAAACCCCUUCUAGCAUGCCAAUCGAGAAAAUGAGGUAGCAUAUGCCCUAGGGUGCCGAACCCUAAGAGGUAAUUUAGAUUUCUUUUGUCCAUCUUUUGUCUGUUUUCCUUUUUUCAUUACGAUAGUUCCAACCAAAUCCAGUCGGAGAAGAAAUUGGUUUUAUCUUUUCUUUAAGGAGAAGUCAUCUUGGAGUGGUUGAACCAUAGGGUGGCCGAACCCUAAGGGGCCAAAAUCCUAGGAUUUUUCCCUUUUUGCUGAUUUAAUGCUUCGUUCAUUAAUUGAAGUCUUGUUCAUUUACUUUCGUCUUUUCAUUUAAUUCAAUUAAAUCAUAUGUAAACCCUAAUUUGUACUUGGGCUCACAGAAAAUAAACCUAAGAAUUCAUCAAAGGAAAUAAAAGAUAAAUGACAAUACAAAUAUUGCGUUUUGUUUUGUCUUAUUUUUUUAAUUUUAUUUUCAAAUAUAUACGCAUGCAUGAUAAAGAUUCACAAUUAUGUAUAUAUAUAUAUACAUAUAGAUACAUAAUAUGGUAAAUAAUAGGUGGUAGUUGUUUUAUUUAUAAUAUGGUAAAUAAUAGGUGGUAGUUGAUUUAUUUAUUACAUGCUAAUAACAGCCAUGAGUUGAUAGUUGAUUUAUUUAUUAUAUGCUAAUAACAGCUAUCAGUUAUUGGUUGAUUUAUUUAUAUAUCGUGCUAAUAACAACCAUCAACUUGUAUAUAGUUUCUUGAUUUACUGCUGAUCGGAAGAUUACUGAUCGUUCAUUUAGGCGUUGGUGGGACUAAUGUUAACACCAUAGAUAACUAAACCCGUCUUCAUAGUCACGCUUUCAGUCCCGUCAAGAGCAAAUUUGAUAUCUCCAUAGUCAAACUUAUUGAAGAAUUCCCCAGCUUUGAGCGAAAAUGGUGUGUUUCUCGGAUAAUUCAUCAAUCCAUAUCCGUUCACUUGCGAGGAUCCAUUCGGAAGAGUAAGUGUAAGACUCACCGGACUUGCUAUGUUAAAGUUGUCUUUCAGCAGCACCACAAAAGAUACCUCAUAAGAUAAAUUUUCAAGCUUUUCUGUCAUAUAGUUUCCGUCAACAUGUAGGACUAAGCUACCAAUUAAUUCAGCACUGUCAGGACUGUAAAAAAUGAUAGUAGAAUUAAAGUCAGAAACUUUUGAUAUAAGGAGCUUAAAUUCAUUAAUAUAGUACAAUUAAUGCGAGUCCUUCUAUCUAACUAGACUUCAAUAAAAUUUCUUUAGUCCUUCUAUCACUUUAAUUUAAUGACAAAGUUGCUUAUAUCCCUAUUUUUAACUGAAUAAAAUUCAGGUGUUUAAGCACAAAUCUUGACCUUUGACGUCAAUUAAGUUAACUAAAUCUUAUUUCUACUUACGUAAACUUCCAGCCCGAAGGGUUGAAAUAAUUGAGUUUCUCAGCAGGUAUAUAAGCGCCAGAACUUUGAAUAAGACAAGAAAAAAAAAUUCAUAUCAUCCAUUACAAAAAAAUCUCACUUGCAAAAUUUACAAAUAUUAAGGAUUAUUUUUGUUCUAUAACCAACUUUAGCUAUAUAUAUGAUGUUUGUUUACAAUUUCAGUAGACUUACCUUCUGCCCUAUUCCGUUGUUUUGGAGCAACUCCAUUUCCUUGGCUUGGGACAACAAUGCCUUGAGGUCAACCUCAUUAUGCCUCACUACUUGUGCCAUCUCCUCGAUCGAUCGAUAACUAUCCUUUAAUUCUGCUAUAUAUAUAUAUAUAUAUAUAUUUUCUGUUUCUAUUCUUGAUGUCUAUAUAUCUCUCUUCCAAAGGCUAGCUCUAUUUAUACUGGCACAAACAGAGGGUACUGCGAUUAUUAUAUUCCAUAAUAUCCUAUCUUCAAAUAUUCCUUCCCUUUUCACAGUAGGGAUCCGAUCCCGAUAAGUUUAACAUCAGCAUCAUCAUCAUCACCAAGGAUAUAGAGCAGCCGAUUCUGUUUGAUAAUUUUGUUGGAAUAAUUCUUUUCCAUUUCUCAGUUCAAUAAUUCUUUCUUUAGCUUGUUGCGCAGGCAAAAUUCCAUGAAGGCGAAAGGUACGUAGGCAUCCUAGUAAAUGAUGAUUUUCUUCUAACCAGAAGUAUGAGCAGGUUAAAAGUAGAAGAAUAAGCAUCUCGCAGGCCAAAAAUAAAAAAAAAAUCGAAAAGAAGAAAAAGAAAAGAAGCCACCAAUAGCAAGACCACAUUUUUCUUUUUCUUUCCUUUUUAUCUAUUCUUUCUUUGAUUCUUUUUUAUAAUUUUUUUUAGAUGGAGUCUUUGAAAAUAAGCAUAAGAAUUCAUUAAAGGAAAUAAAAGUGUUGAAAGUUGUCUUGCAUUAGUCUUCUCCAAAUUCUGUUCCCCUUAGACUUUAGAAUUUAGCCUUUCCCAAAAUUCUGUUCCCCUCAGAUUUCGGAAUUUUGCUUUCCUCAUUUCUUGUUCUCCUCUCCAGAUUUCUCCUAUAAAAGGGAGCUUUGGUGUAAGACCCCAACUUUUAUGAAUAAAGACGAAUUUUUCUAUAAAUAUAAUUUUUGAUUAUUAAGAUGUGAAUUUGAAAAAAUAUUAUAGUUGUGAGUAAUAUUUAAAAAUUUUACAAAGUAAACAAGGUGUUAUAAAAUAUUCGGUUGGUCGAGGAAUAUUCGUUUUAACAGGGAAUAUUCAUACGACGACACAAUCAUUGGUGGACCCCACAACGAAAGUAUUGUCGGAGUUAGAAAACGACAGAAAUAUCUUAUUAUGAAAAUAAUGGCGAAAAUUUUACCGUUAACUGUUGAAAUACCCGUUAGUAAAAGUACAGUAAUACGUAUGGUUGCAUAGUAGUACACGGUAUUAAUUAUUGAUGCUUACGUGAGAAGUCACUCAGUUAUACUCAAUUAUUGUUACAGUAAUUGUUGUAUCAUAUCUCUUAUAUUAUUGAUUCAAUUAUUGUCAGUAUCAUCUGCAUAAUAUUUUAUAUUAUUAAAUCAAUAAUUGAGACGAUAAAGUUAUUCAUAUUAUUAUUUACAAUAUUGACGAUGUCUAGAAGUUCUGUCAAGGAGAGGUUAGGUCAUUUAAUUGCGCGCCAAUAGGGAGAAAUCCUUAUCGGAAAGCCCCUCUUUCCUGAAAACGAUCUGGUUGUUAAUAUUGCGAGUUAUAAUAAUGAUGAAUAAAUUGAAGGAAUUUUAUGAAAUAUUUGUUGUAAGUUUUGCUUAUUAUAUGGACCCCCAUUUAACCAUUUUUCAAAAUAAUCGGUAAAAAAUUAUUCAGUAUUUUUUUUAAUAAAAAAGGUGGGGCCACAUGUGGGGCCCACUGAAAGAAAAAUGGGGGGGGGGAGAUGUUUAUGUUUGUCAUGGGUGAAGGUUUGAUUAUAUAUAUAUAUAUAUAUAUAUAUAUAUAUAUAUAUUAUAAUAAGUCUUUUUUUUAUGAAAAAUAGAAUAUAUUAAAUUUUAUUUGCAUAGUAUUUUACUAUGCAGUGCACAGUAAAGUUUUGUGAAUUAGAAAUUCGGCGCCCGUGAAAUUUUCGAUUGUUUUGUCCGUGAGAAUUUCAAACAGUACCCCUUCCAUCAUCCUAUAAAUAUGACGCUUAUUUUGAAUUGAAAAUCACACAAGAAUCAGAGAAUUUUUUUCUAUAAUAUUGAGUAUAUUUCUUUCGAGUUUUAGAAAGUUUUGAGUGUAGAAAACAGUGAAAGUUUUUUUCAAGAAUAUCCCCGCUAUACCAGUCGAAAUACUCUUCUUAGGAUGUUUUUUUGUUCAAUAUUCGUAUGAAAUAAUAUUUUCUUCCAUACUCUGUAGUAUGUAAAUAAUAUUAUUUCGUUUUAGAUUUCGAAUUCUAUAUCCAUUUUGUUAAAGUUUUGGCUCCUAUACUCCAUGAAAUUAGUAGAAUAUCCUUAAAAUUUGCGUUUCAUCCAGUAUCUUUUCAUGGAAAUAUUAUUCUGAGCAUUCUUGAUAAGUUUUAAUUUUUUCAUGCCAGAGUACUAUAUACGGGGUACUAUUCUCAAAUUACUAUUCACGGGGUACUAUUCACUCGGUUACUAUUCAUCCGAGGCACUAUUCAUGACAAAAAUUAAUUUUUUUUCGGUCCAAAUCAUUUUUGUUACAAUAUUAUUCGUGAAUUUUACUCCAUAAUGCAGUAUCAUAUUGACAAUUUGGACAUUAUUAAAUUAUGGAUAAAUUAAAUUAUAAAUCUUUAAAAAUUUAUCUUUUGCUUUCAUUUAAUUGAAUUCUUAUAUCAUUGUCAUCAUCCUGAUGCUUAUAUUAUAAUGAAAGUCAUUUGUGGCCCGUAGUGCAUAGAUGGACUUGGUAUGAUUAUGACCAGGGAUUAUUUGGUAUAAUCAUGACUGUAAUAUUACAAAUGAUGUGGUAAAAGUCCUCAUUGGCCCGUAGUGCAUUGAUGAACAGUUGUUUUCAUGAUCAUGACCAUUGAUGAAAACACGAAUAUCUUUGGCCCGUAGUGCAUGAAUAAUUUGUGGUUGUGAUACUAAAGAAUAUCCUUGGCCCGUAGUGUAUGGAUAAUUCAGUGAUGUGUAUUAUUUAUUAAGCUGAGUCUCAGCGAUACAAUUGAUGAUAAACCUUUUAAAUAAUAGAAGAUAGUAGAUUUUAUGCUCUACUUAACUCUUCUAAUAGAUUGCUUGUUCCUCUGCAAUUAAACUUGAUGUUUAUUAUAUUUUAUCAGUUUAACAUUGUUGAAGGCUAAUGAUAAUUUAUUCUGUGUUAUCUUAGUCAUAAUAUUUCUUACUGGCUAGUUGAGCUCACCCUUUACUUUCAUUGUUCUCUUCAGGAAAUGAGAAUAUAGCUGGGAUCGACUAGUCGGGGAACGGAGUGACGGUCCAAAUGAUAACAUUAGUAGUCCUCACUAUUCUGUGAAAUAGUGUGAUAAUAAAUGUAAUGAGGACUUAUUUUGAGUUUGAAUACUGUCUAGAAGACAAUAUUUGUAUUAAAACUCACAACUCAUGUUAUAUAUUUAAGUUUAUAUUUGUAUUCUGUACCAUGUAUUUAACGAUUCAAAAUGGGUGAUGUAUACCUAUUCUGGGGGCGUCACAGUUGGUAUCAAAGCUUGGGGAUAUGAUCCCUGGCUGAGAUGAGAGACUAGAACUAGGAGGGGAGAGUCAGGUAAUUCCUUUGCUAGUAUGACCUACCUAAGUUUAUUUGUUAUUUAAUUAGUCGGUCAGAAUAUAGGGAUAAUAUGUUGCAUGUCAAUUAACCCUUGUUUUGUGGCAGUAUUUGAAAAUGACAUCCGAGAAUGUUGAGAAUAGCAAUGGAGUACAUGAGACCGUUGAAUCACCAACGAUCAAUAACCAGGAUAAUGUGCAUCAGGAAGGCAAUAAUCCUCAUGCAAACAAUAACUCCAACAAAAUAAUGAACGACAAAAUGUUUAUGAGCUUUCUUCAAUUCAUGCAACAUCAGGCAAGAGAGACUCCUGUUCAAAAUGUAGGUGGAAAUACCGGCAACUCUCGAACGGUCACCGCUAAGCAAUUCAAGGAGCUGGGACCACCGAAGUUUUUGGGAAAGCCAAAACCACUUAAGGCGGAGACAUGGUUAAAGCAGAUCACUAAGAUAUUUGAUGUCUUUGGAUGCUCCGAGGAGCAAAAGGUUCCCUUUGCCACCUUCAUGUUGCGAGGAGAGGCAGAUCAUUGGUGGAAAUCUGUAAAAUGUACCCAGCUUGCCACAUUAAAGAUGUCUUGGGAGAAGUUUCAAGAACUGUUCAACGACAAGUACUUUUUCGAAAGUAUUCGUUAGAUGAAGGAGGUGGAGUUCAUCAGGUUGGAAUAAAACAAUAUGACCAAGACGCAGUACGAGGCUAAGUUUGCGGAGUUAUCCCGGUUUGCAUCUCAUUUGGUUGUUAAUGAGGAGAGAAUGACGCGGAUAUUUUUAAGAGGUUUGAAACCUGAGAUAUGUCAAUAUCUCAUUCUCACAAACUUUGCUUGUAUUCAGAUGUUGUGAAUAUUGUAAUAACUCGAUAUUUUCUAUAUAAUUAAAUCAGAAAUUUUACGUAUGAAUUUUUUUAUUUAAUUAUUAAAGUUGGAAAUAUGUGCCAGGUAAUGUGUAUAUGUAUAUAUGUGAUAAAUAAAAUAUAUUUAUUACAUGAAUAAUUACCAAUAGUUUUAUUUUAGAAUUAUUGCUCAUUAUAAAUUAUAUUAUAAUAAUAAUUAGUUUUAUACUAAAAAUGUUUUCAUUAAUUCUAUUCUAUGAAAAUAUGUUUAUAUAUUAUUUAAAAAUUAUAUGAAAUGAUUAUAUAAUUAUUAUAAUGAUUAUUCUAUUUUAUUAUAUGAAUUUAGUUCAGAUUAUUUAAGUUAAUUAUUUUAACUUAAUUAUUAUUGUUAUGUAUGCAAGAUAAAUCAGAUAUGGAAUCCAAACCCUAAUUUUGGAUUUUGAACAAGGAAUGAGAAUAUUAAUAUAAUAUUAAUUAUAUUUUUAUUUUUCAGUGCUAUAAAUAUAUAUGUUAUGUUUGUAAGGUUAAUCUGGGGAGCAAUUUUCUUAUGACCUGAUAAAACCCUAAUUUGAAAGUCAAUUACGACUGUAAAAUUUGUUAAGUCAUUGUGAUAUGUGGUCUAUGAUUUGUAUUAUAAGUAUUAAUGUUAAUUCUAUAAAACCCUAAUUAGUAAUUUAAAACUCUAUUUUUCUUAAAUUAGGAACCCUAAACAGUACUUAGCUAUCCGCUAAGUGAAAACCCUAAUUUAAAACUCAGCUAUGAGUCGAGACUGUUAUGUAACUGUAUUAUUAUGUUUAAGGUUAAGUAUUAUAGAAUUUUAUAUUAAUUAAAGAAACCCUAAUUAACAUUUAGAAAUUCUAAUUUCUAGAAACCCUAAUUUCUAAAUUAGUAACCCUAAUUUGCUAAAACAAAACUCUAAUUGUUAAUUUGGCACGCUUAAUGAUAAUUAGUAAAAUUUAAACCUAAUUUUCAAGUCUAUGUAAUGAGGAAACCAAAUUAAUUAUGAAACCUUAAUUUGUAUUUUUAGAAACUAAAAAUUUCAAUUUUUUUAAAAUUAGAAAUCCUAUAACACUUUGUGCUAACCCUAAGGGUCAAACCCUAAGGGUUUGAUAAGUUACUAGUUUGCCCUUAAAUUGAUUAGCCAAAUGACAAAAAUACCCCUCUUGCAUUAUUGGACAUAACUUGUAAGACUAGCCAAUUUUGAGUUGCUCAACAACUCUUACCAGCCCCAUGUGACUAAAAUGCCAGCAAUCAAGCUCUAGAUAUCAGCCAACUUGAUUUCAUGUUUUAUAUAUAUAGACAUCAAGAGAGAGAAAUUUCAUUUAUUAGCCACAUUUGUACACAAACUCCUUACCAACUCUCUCUCCCAAAACCCAUGAAAUGUUGUAGUAGAUCAGUCCCGUAUUGAAGCCCCACUAACACACUUAAGCAAAUCAGCAGCCAGAAUCAAGAAUUGAUGCUUAAAGGUAUAAAAUCCUAAGUCAAAUUUUGAUCUUGUAUGCUAUAUUGGAUUUGUGGUUUUAAUGUUUAAUCAUGUUGAAUAAGGUGUUAAUAGGUGAUCUGGGUUGGCACAUGUUAGAUCCAUAACAUCAAAGUGCUCGAAAUCUAAGUUUUUCAAAAUAUGGAAAUUUUUGUUUUUGUUGUCUGACAGCGAAUGUCAGGCCUUGUAGAUCUGUGCUUAUUUAUUAUUUUGAUGAUUUAAAUGUUUGAAGUGGUAGUCUGGUAUGAGGUCUUUCAUAUGAAAAUGGAAUCACUGUUAUUGGAUGUCUAGAUCGAAAAUUAUUGAUGGUCAAAGGUCGUUGACUGACCAUGACCGAGUAUGAAUCUGGGCAACCUUGAAAGCUUUUUCAGCGUCUGAAAAUGUUUUGGAAGGCUUAGAUCUGUCAGUGUGUAAAUGAUUUGAUGAUGUUAUAAUAUCCAGUUUAUAGCUUGUCAUAUGUAAUUUAUAUUUGUGGCUUUAUAUCCUUUAAACAAACAAUUGAUCGAACUUAGUGGAUGGUCAAACCUGGCCCCUCGGUCACGAUUUCAUUUCUGGGAAUUUCCAGAAAAUCGAAAGAACAGCCCUCUGACAGGGUUUGACCGAGUAAUAUCUUGUAGAUCUGUUGAUGUUAAACUGAUUUGUUGUUAUAUUAUUGUUCCUGGACAUAAGGACUACAUCUUUGAGGCAUUAGAUCACUUGAAUCAUGAACGGAACCUAGAUUAAAUCGAGGAUGAAAGUGACUGGUCGACCACCUGGGUUUCUGGAAAACCCAGGAAUGCUCUGACAACAUAUUUGCAAGCCUAGAUCUCCUUGUGUGUUUGUUGUAUGACCUAGAUAUUGAUUGCUAGUUAUAGUGUUGUAUAAUGACUUCAAUAUUGAUGCUUAAGUUUGCCCAAAAACGAAUUAGACAGAGAAUUAUUAGUGGUCAAAGUUGACCCCUCAAACACGAAGCUGUCAGUGUUCUUGAGCUCAAGAACACCAACAGCGACGCUUAGUGUCACUAAAGGCCAAUAGCGAUGGUUUCUAAUAUUUUUAAUUUCUGAUUUUCUAGAAAAUACUUAAAAAUAGAAAAUAAAUUAUAAAAAUUACAAAAAUGGUUUUAAAAAUUAUUUUAAAUUAUGAAAAUUAACUUUUAAUUAUUUGGGAUAUUUUUUAUUAAUAUUUAUAAUUAUUUGAAUAUUAUUAAUAUUUAAUUUAUUUAAUUAGUGUAUUAAAUAAAUUAGAGAAAAAUGAUUUUAAUGUUAUAAAAAUCAAUUUAAAUAAGAAUAAAGUGUUUAAAAAUAUUUUUGAGUUAUAUAUGUAACUUUUAAUAUUUUUGUGAUGAAUUUCAUUAAUUAAUUAAUAUUAAUGAUAAUUAAGUUAUUUAAUAAAUGUAUUAAAUAAAUUAUGAAAAAUAGAAAUUAUGAUUUAAAAAUCAUAUAAAAGUGAUUUAAAGAUUAUAAAAAAAUAUUUUAAGUUAUAAAAUAUAACUUUUGAUAUUUUGUCAUGAAAAAUAUUAAUAAUUUUAUAUUAAUAAUAUUAGAUUUAUUUAAUGAUUAUAUUAAAUAAUUUAGUUUAAAAUGAUUUUAUUAUUAUAAAAUUAUUUUAAAUGAAAAUAAAGUGUUUAAAGAUAUUUUAAGUUAUAAAAUAUAACUUUUAAUAUUUAAAGGAUAAUUUCAUUAAUAAUUUAAUAUUAAUGAUAUUAAUUUAAGAUUUAUUGAUAUUAAAUUUAUUCAAUAAUUAUAUUAAAUAAAUAGUUUUAAAAUGGUUUUAUUAGUUUAAAAAUUAUUUAAAAAGGAUAUAAAUGAAUUAAAAAUAUUUUAAGUUAGAAUUAAUAACGUUUAAUAUUUGGAUAAAUAGUAGAUUAAUAUUUUAAUAUUAAUGGUAAUUAUUUAAAAAUGAUUUUAAAUGUUUAAAAAAUUAUUUAAGGGUAAUAUUAGCACUUUAAAAAUAUUUUGAGUUAUUAUUAAUAACUUUAAUAUUUUGGCAAUGGUUUCAUUAAUAGUUUAAUAUUAAUUAAAUAUUAAUGAUAAUAUGAUUAUUUACUAUUUAAAUCAUUUAAUUAUGAUUCUAGUGUUUGAAAAUUCAUAAUAAAUUAUAAUAAAUGUUUAAAAAUUAUUAUAAGUCAUUUAAAAAUAAUAUGACUGAUAUUUGUAGAUAUUGAGAUACAGGAUAGAGUCUUAGACUCGAUAUUUACCUGAUAAAGCCGUCGGUAGACCGACAUGUUUCAAAAAUUGAUCUAGACUUAGAUAUUUUGACUGUAUUAAUAUUUGUUUGUGAUUCAAUGACUGUUGAAUAUGUGUGACAAUGUGAUUAGGUUAUAUGCUGACUGCAAUAAGCAGUGCUAUGUUAUUCUAAUCGAACGAAUGAUCUUAUUAAUGAUAGAUUUUGGUAUUAAAGAUAAAACUAAGUUGCGUAUUGUAAGCAGCAGACCAGGCAAGUAUCAUAUAUUUGCAUUUUGUUUAUGUGACGCCCCCAAAUCCGGGUUAUCUUUAACUCGGGUUUGGUGCUUACGAUUCUAGAAUACCCAUUCAUACUAAAAAUAAAACUGUCUUAUAUUACAUAAACAUUGAACUUAAAUCCCAGGUUCUAGAGACCUUUACAUACAAGCCAAAUAUUAUUACAUCAUAGUGCUACAGUAUUUAUUACAUGCACUACUUAGGUUCAUUUAAGCACAUGCGCUUAAUAAUUGACUACUCAACAACCUUGCCCUUUCCUUUGUCUUUUCCAGAUGGACCGGCAACCUCAAUUUUAACUGAAAACAUUAUAUUUAACGCAAGGGUGGGCAACAAGUUUGCCCAGCAAGGAAAUAAGCAGCUAAAUAUAAGAGAACAAAAAUAUUACAGUAAUGGGGAUAUCAUACAGAAGGUAUAGAACAAAGUAAUUCUUAAGAGUGUUGAGUCAAAAGUCAGGAUUUAUCAUGCUGUAAGGUCAAAUGACCAGUGAACACUAUACUAGAAUUUACAGUAAUAAUACUGCAAUCUAUGAAUACAAACAGUUAUAAAGCUGUUUUAUAUCCUAGACUCGUACUUCAGGGGAUCAGCCUAAGUACCCUAUAUUGUGCACAACAUAACAGUCUAAUAAAACUUUACAUGUCCUUCAGAAUCAUAUAUACGGUACAAUACGCCCCUAAAAAAGGGUUGUUCGUUCACAGCAUUAUAUAAGAAUCCAUACCACAAUAACAAAAUGGUUUGGAAAGAAUUAACUGAUAAAUUCAUAAACAAUAUCAAUAUAUCUCAACCUUUGUCCAAGCGAAGUAAUGGUAUUGACAUACUUUCAAUAUAACUUUUAUUCAAGAUAGAAAAGUUGAUAUACUAUUCUUUUGAAGCUGAUUGGAAUAAAAAGGCUAUUUAACCUUAUAUUAUUCAUAAAUAAGGACAAACAGUUCAGAAAUUAAAGAACCUGUCCACUGCAGAAUAUUUGCUCAAUAAAGAGUAAGGAUUAGAAACUUGCCUUGUUUGUAGUCUAUCGUUUAGGAUUUCAGCUUAAUUGAAGUAUUUCUCAAAGUCCUACACAGUUAUUUGUAUUAACAAGCAUGUUAAUCACAUAGCUAUGUUAUAUAGUUUGUAAGCUCACAUAUCACAUAAUUUCAGUGAUUAUGGUUGUAGUUAAAUUAUUAUUUUUGAUACAUUUUUCAAAUAUCUCAUCCAUGCUUUCAAGAGACAUUUUUCACUUUGAUGGGUUUCAACAAGCUUUCAACAAGUAAUAGAAAUCAUAUUACAGUCAUCAUUUGCAUUAACCAAGUAUGUUAGCCACAUAGCUAAGUCAUAUAUCAUGUAGUUUUAAUGGUCAUGGUUAGAUUUCCUAUAUUUGAUACAUUUUUCAAAUACCUCAUCCAUGCUUUCAAGAGACAUUUUUCACUUUAUUAGUGUUCAAUAUGCAAUACUUUACAACUACCAUCUCCAUUUCCUUAGUAACAUAGUAUAUAAUCAUUUUAUGUUUCCUUUACUUAAUUUCUAGCAUAUAAGGUGUUUUCAUAGCUUAUUGUCGGUUUUGAAGGUAUUUCUUAUAUGUAUGGUUAACCUAUAGUCUUCCUCAUAGUUUAUAGAUUCAUUUUGACACACCAGUGUAUCAAUUAUCACUGUUUUCACCUAUGAUGCUAAAACAGCCCUUUGAGGCUUUAAUUUUUUUAAACAUGACUUAAUGAUCCCAAUUUAGGUUUACUGUUUAUAUUAGAUUUCAUUUAGAAUUUUUCUCCUACACUUGCUUGCAUCAUAACUCUACUCAUUUAGAGAAACAUAAUCUAUCCUUUAUAGAUAAUCUGGUUACUAAAACUAAAUUUGGAUUCAAACAUGAAUUUUACAAAACAGUCAUUAUUGUAGCUGCUAUACCACAACUGUUGUUUCCCAUUCUACUUGUUGUGGCUAUUGGUAUCAGCUAUAUGCUGCCACUAUUAGGCAGUAAGUCACAUCACUCAUGCCCAAAAAUGCUUCUAAAUUAACCUUUUCAGCUGGCUUUGCAGGCUUUGCAGCCCUUAAUUGAGCCUUACAGCUCAAUAAUCUCUGUAACACAUUUCAGUUAUUAGUCUUAUCUUAUAACUUGCUAUUCCAUUAACAUUUUCUAUGUAUGAAUGCACUGCCAACUGCUACUGCUGGUGUUGCUGUUGCUGCCAAUGGGCAGCGACUAUUAUUUUCUUACCAUAAGCUGUUUGGUCUGUUUCAAGUGCUGCAGUCACAUGUCAUCAUGCUCCAUCAACUAGAGUAAACAAAAAUGCAUGAACUUAACUUACUAACUGCAGCCCAAGAAAAACAAACUCAGCUGUCAAAAUGACAGUGCAGUCAUCUACUUGAAGUUGCCAAGGACAACAGCUAUCCGAAGCUUUUUGCUACUGUCAUUAGCAGCCUCCCUUGCUCCUUAACCCAUUCCCAACAAUCCUCUAACCUCAGUUUUGCUAUAUUUCUAGGAAUAGGCCUCAUGGCUAUAAUCUUUUAGAGUUAUAAGGUUAUCCCAGUUGGCCUAUUAAGCUUUGGCUCCUUGGUUUAGUGACUGUUUCAACAGAGUAGGCAAAGGAGUUUGUCAAGCUAGAAUUACUUAGCCUAAAAACUGAACUAUGCUAAAAAUUUCUAUGCCAAAACAUUACAGUCAUCACAUAUGUUGGGUAAAUCAGGUAAAUAGUGUACUAGUUCUACUAUUCAGUUUCUUUUUACUAAAACAGUCCUCUUAGGUCUUUUAUCAAACAGUUGGUGGGCAUGGUUAUAAGCUACUAGUUCCAUAGCCAUUUGUUUAUAUUCCAACUCAUAUUUUCCCCUUAUUACUCCACAGCCCACUUAUCUCCUUGUGCUUAAAUUAUAACAAUAUCAUAAUGGCAUAACAAUCAAUGAAAUGUUACAACAGUUUAUAUAUAGCAGCUUAACACCCACAUAGCAGUCCUCAAAUCCAUACUAGGCCUUUUAGGCUAAAUGAUCAAAACAGUCCUUAAGUUUUUAACACAAGGAUUAAUAUAACAUGUACAUACUAUGUUUUAUGGUUUAAAGACCCCAAUACCAACCAUCCUGUCUUGACACUAUAACAGCUUUAGACUAGCAAUUUGGUCAUGGUUUAUCACACCAAACCAAUAGCAAGCACUGAUAUGUAUGCCUUUCUAACACUAAAACAUUUUACCUACCAUAUUUUCAUGGUUUAAAGCAUCUAGAGGCAAGGUCCUUAAGUUUAAAAUCAAAACAGCCUCUCAUAGGCUUUUAAAGUAAUAUAAGAUAGCAUGCUUGGGCAACAUGAAAACAAGGACUGCCUACUAUGAAUAUAUUAGAAGUAAGGCAUGAUCAUCAUAAUAAACUUCUAAUAACAGUCCACAUAAUGCAAUAACAGUUCAUAUAAGGCAAUAAUAAUUUAUAUAGCAACUAAAGUCCUUCUAACAGUCAUUUAUGCUUAUUCUAGUCACCACAACAAGUAUACUGUCUUAGUCCAUUCUGUAUACUAGUUCUGGGCAUGGUAAUAUAUUUUACAAUCAUAAAUAACCAACCAUCUUGGACUCCUUUCCAGCCACACUGUUUUGCCAUUAUAGCAGUUUUAGACUAGCACCUUAGGCACAGUUCAUCACAGCAAAACAGUAGCAACAUAGCAUAGCGUAUCAGUCCAGUUAUUACAAUAACAGUUGGUAUAUCACAAGGAUGAUGCUACAGCUAUUCAAGUCUCUUUUAGGCCAUUUUGGCAAGGUUUUAGUAAUAAGUUAUCAAAGCGGUCAUUAGUGUGCAAUACAAAGAUUAUUACCUCAUGUACAUGCUAUAGAAUAUAUGUUCAUGUUUUAAGAGCCUAUAUACAAGGUUUCUUGCUGUUAGUUCAUAACAAUCCCUUAUAGGCUUCAAUUUAAUACACGGAAGCAUGAUCUGAAAAAUUUAGUUAUCAAAAUAACAUGUUUAAACAUAAACAUAUACUCGAGGUAUUCUUUUUCUUUCUAUAUAAUCAAGUAGACAUGCUAUUAGGCUCUAUUUACAGCUAGCAUACCUUGAUACCAUAACAGUCCAAUUAGAGCAAUAUUUUAGGCAUGGUCUAUUACAACAAAAUGGUAGCAAGCACUGACAUGUUUUCCUUUCUAACACAGGCACCUUUUAUUUAUCAUAUAUUCAUGAUUUAAAACAUCUAAAGGCAAAAUCUCUUUGCUUUAAGCCAACACAGCCCUCUUUAGGACCCACUUUCCAAAAAUAACCAUGGUUUACCCUUAUGUUUACAAGGAUAACAUGGAUGUGCAACAUAGAAGUUUAGACUAUCUUCUUUAUAUGGUAUUUAAGAUGCAAAAAUAUAUUUGGAUGUCAUAGAAUGCCUUACCCCAUAUAUAUCAGUCCUUAUUAAGCCUCAAAUCUAGCAUACCAGUUUCUCAGAAUAGUGGCCAAGUCUUGGUUAAUUGCUUAGAUUACAUAUAUGCUAGUAUACAAUAGUUAUACCCAAUACAUCAUGCCACAUAUAACAUAUAAGCAGUCCUUUAUUAAUAAUCAUAGCAUAACAGUCCAUUUAACAUCAUAGCAAUUCAUAUGGUAACACAGAUCAUGCUAACCGAAAUCAUAAUAUCAUUAACUUUUUAGCAGCUCCUUAGCUUGACAAAUUAUCAAACACCUAGAGUGCAGUCUAUAUACUUGCACUUAAUACAUAAUUUCUAGCCCUCUGCCCCCAGCCGUAUGGCUUAAACAAUAUCAAGCAUAAGACCACACUUAUCAGUACCAAACCCAGCAGUUCAAAUAACAUGAAAGCAGUCAGUUAUCAUAACAGCCAUACACGUUUUUGGUCAUUGACAAUUCAUUUUACUAAUUAAUUUAAUAGCCAUCCUAAUCAUUUAUCAAUUCAGUUGUUACCCGGAAUGAAUGGAAAGAUUAGAAAGGCCAGAAUUGGCUUACCUUGCUGAUUCGAAGGUAUCAAGUGGUUGAGCUGCUUAAUUCCUUUUCCCCUCUAGCCGAACUCUUCACUCUUACUCUAUAUGACCGUUGCUGCUAAUUCUUUUGGACUCAGUUAAGUGAUGAGGCUAAUUGAUUUUGGGUAAUAACCUGGCCUUUUUAUGGCUGAGCUUAGCUUCCUUACAGUUGAUCGCAUCACCUUCUACUUGCCCCCUAACAUAUAAUCUAUUACCUCUAGCAGUUAGACUGCUCUGCAGCCACCCUACAAGACCCUAGUCUCUCUGCCAUGCCUUAUCUGUUGCUAACCUGUCUACUAACUAAUAACUGACUAACUUAUAGACUAACUACUGCUAACAACAGAACAGCCUCAGCUCCUAAGUUUACCCCUGUGGGCUGUUGGAAAAAAUCCUAAGGCAAGGCUGGGCAGUGGUUUCAUUUUGGGCCUAGUCCCUUUAACCCAAAGUUUUACUUGUUAAUUUGCUAUACUCCAAUGGGUUUACAGGAUUGGGUUUUGGACAUCCAUUUCACUCUUUAACACUUGGAGCUGCCGAAUUGGGCUAGCAAAUAGACUACAUGCAACGAUCAUGGCAAAAUUAUUAAGGCCCAAUAUUUUAAUAUGGACUCUUGUUACAUUAAAACACAUGGACUAUUAUUUUCUCUAGCAACAAUAGUUAUAACAUAUAUCAUUAAAAUGACUAUUCUAUGUAAUCUUAAAUAAUUCAUGAUGGCACAUAAUUUCUUUGCCCUUUAUAACUCAAGAUGCUAAACGAACUAUUAAAUAAAUAAUAUUUUUAUCACAAUGAGAAUUAACAUAUCAUAAAAAAAAAUUUAUACUCAAAAAUUGACAUUACAAUAAUUAAAUAUUACAUAGGAUGAACUACAGGCCAAUGAGGACUUUUACCACAUCAUUCGUCACAUUACGGUCAUUAUUAUACCGAAUCAUCCCUGGUCAUAAUCAUACCAAGUCCAUCUAUGCACGUAAGCCAAAGAUGACUUUCAUCACAAUAUAAGCAUGAGGAUGAUGACAAUAAUAUAAGCAUUAAUCAAACGAAAAUAAUGAUAAAUUUUAAAGACUUUAAAUUUAUCCAAAUGUUUAUCAAUCACUUAAUAAACUCAUAAUCUAAUAUUAUUAAUAUUAUAACAAUAUUUUAAUCACUUCUUGAACUUAUAAACAAUUUAUUCUAAUUGUUUACACUUUCCCAAAUAAUACAUUUUAAUCAUUCAAAAAUACCAUACUCAUAAGAUUUCAUCACCAAUGAUCAAAUCCCUUAUCAAAAAUCUGCAUAUACCUUAUAUAGGAUUUCCAAGCCAUAAAAUCCAUUUUACCAAUUUUUCAACUUCACAUAACAUAUUUAAUUCAUAUGUUCGUAACUAAACUAUUUUCAUGAAAAAUACCAAAUCAGUCCAAAAAAUUAUUCUUUUUUGGGAUUUAGCAGAAUAUAGUCCCAUAUUGAACAUAUAUUUUUCUCAUAAUUUUUAAAAUUCAUUUACUAUUUUUCAUAUGGCCAAAACUGCCGAAUAUUUAGACAUUUAUCAUAAAUUGUACUUUUGUCCAAAAAUUCCGAAAUUUACAAGGUAUACUCCUAUUAUAUAUGUGUACUCCCAAUAAAAAUUUAACCAAUUUUGGAGUUAACCACAAGGAGUUAUAAGGGUUUACUUUUAAAAUAGUUUUUUCCCAUAAAAUUCAUAACUCCUAAUCUAUACAUCCAAAAAUUGCCAUUUUUGGACACAAUCUAGAAAUCUCAACAAACUAUCAUUUCAAAUGUUUCCAAAAUUUUUGAGGGUCAGAAAAAUUACGAAACUGCAAAUAGAUUUUCACCCGUCAUUCGGUAAUCCAGGUAGACAGAUCAUUUCCACAAUUUAAUAAGGAAUGAAUACAAAGGAUCAUUCACCAUGCAUGCGGUAAUCCACAUAGACAGGUUAUUCCAACAGAAUAAUAAAAAAUAGAAUAACAACAGAAUUCACCAGGCAUACGGUAAUCCGCGUAUACAGGUUAUUCCAAUAGAAUAAUAAAUAAUGGAACCAGGUCAUGCGUAAUCCGCAUAGACAGGAUAUUCCAACAGAAUAAUAAAGAAUGGAAUAACAACAGAAAUUCACCAAGCAUACGGUAAUCCGCGUAUACAGGUAAUUCUAACAGAAUAAUAAAGAAUGGAAUAACAAUAGAAUUCACCAGGCAUACGAUAAUCCGCGUAUACAGGUUAUUCCAACAGAAUAAUAAAGAAUGGAAUAAUAGAAAAUUUUCACCACGUAUGCGGUACUUCGCAUAGACAGGUUACUCCAAUAUAAUAAUAAAGAAUGAAAUAACAAAAGAAUUUCACCAUGUAUGCGAUACUUCGCAUAAACAGGUUAUUCCAACAUAAUAAUAAAGAAUGGAAUAACAACAGCUCUCUUCAUGAAUACGAAAGAAAUAAUAAUACCCCUUACCUUAGAAGAAACUGGAUACUGGAAUAGUGAGGUAGCAGGCUUCUCUUCUUCUUUCUCUCUAUAAUUUCUCUCUAUAAUAAUUGCUCUAUAGCUUUAGUGAAUUGGUGAGAAAUGAAGGAAGAAUGAGCUUCUGUUUAUAGGAAAACAUAGUUUCAAUAAUUGCACAUUUUGGGGCUCGAAAUAUUACAUUAUAAUACCUUCCUCUUUUUCUUUAUUUUUAAUUUAGCCCUGCAAGUAUUAUCAAACUUGCACCACCUCCUCUAAUAGUAAAUCAUGUGAAUUAAUAGUAAAUCAUGUGAAUCAAUAGUUCUAGACAUGUGAAAAUACGAAUUACAGUAUAGUACCUCCAUCUAUACCUCUAUUUUUAACUUAGUCAUGCAAGUAUUAUCAAUCUUGCACCAACUCCCCUAAUAGUACCAUAAUGUGAAUCAAUAGUACACACAUGUGAACAAAUAGUUAUAAUCAUAUGAAUUAAUAGCAAUUAAAAGCUCAUUUAUCCGGAUAAUUACCCGAUUGGUCAAUAUAACCUCCAGACAUCAAUUAUCAUCGAAAUAAAUGUCGAUUCCCACUAACACUAAUAAUUCCAACACAAUGGAACUAUCAAUUUCAUCUUUAAUCAACACAAAUUUAUUCAUCAUUAAUAUUAUAACUCAUAAUAUUUAACAACAAGAUCGUUCCCAGGAAAGAGGGGGCCUUCCGGUAAGGAUUUCUCCUCACUGGUGCGCAAUUACCUAACCUCUCCUUGACAGAACUUCUAGACAUUGUCAAUAUUGCAAUUUAAUAAUAUUAAUAAGUUUACCAUCUUAAUUAUUUAUUUAAUAAUAUAACAUAUUAUGCAGAUGAUACUGUGACAAUAAUUGAAUCAAUAAUAUGAGAGAUAUGAUGUAAUAAUUACUGUAGCAAUAAUUGAGUAUAACUGAGUGACUUCUUACGUAAGCAUUAAUAAUCAAUACCGUGUGCUACUCAAUUCGUCAGCUACCACGUUCGCUCUUUCAUGAUGAUAUUGAAUGGUACGAUCGUAAUCUUCUACAGCUCAAGCCAACGUCUUUGGCACAUUAUACGAUUAUUUUAGGUAAAGAAAUAUUUGAGGGUUUUAGAAAUGAGUUUUGUACUUGGGUCAAUACAAAAUAUGAUUUCACGCUCUGGGGUAGGCAAGGAAGUUCUUCGAGAAUACGUCAGAAUAUUUAUUAACAAUAGAAAUAUCAUUUAAAAACUGUGACUCUCAUCCAAGACUUGGACAACACAUGAAAUGAAGGUUUCUACUAACGAAGUUUCAACCAAUAAGUCAAAGUCUAACUUCUCUGGGGUCAAAUUUAAAUGUUGAGCGCAAGCAAGAGAGAUAAAAGAAUGGGUAGAACCGGUAUCUAAUAAGGUAUAGACUUCGCAAAAAUUUAUAAUUAACUAACCCGUGCUAACUUCGUUCGGGUUACUCGCUUUUUGAGAAGUCAUGAAAAACGCUCUUCCUGAAACCACCGACUUUGUUUUGUCCAUAUCCGCCUUUGGUGCCACCGUCCCAGCUGGACUUGACUUUGGUGCACGACAAAAUCGGGCUAAGUGUCCUUUUCCAUAAUUAUAACAUGUUUUGGACUGCAUCACGCAGUUUGGACUGAUAUGUCCCUCCCCUCCGCAUUUGAAGCAUACAAUUGGUGGUCGUUCUCCUUCCUUGAAAACGGGUGUUGGUGCUGCUGUCUUUGCAUCUUUGUUGAACCUUCUCUUCUUGAAAUUUCCACUCCUAUUAUCUUGGUCAUGAUUACCACCGAAGUGGUUACCAUUCUUGGUGUAAGACCCCAACUUUUAUGAAUAAAAAAUGAAUUUUCUAUAAAUAUCAUUUUUGAAUAUUAUGGAGUAAAUUUGAUAUAAUGUUAUAGUUGUGGGUAAUAUUUAUAAAUUUUGAAAAGUACGCAAGUUGUUAUAUAAUAUUCGUUUGGUCGGAAAAUAUUCUUUUUGUCGGGAAUAUCCGUACGACGACACAAUCAUUGGUGGACCCCCACAACGGAAGUAUUGUCGUAGUAAGAAAACGACAGAAUUAUCUUUUUAUAAAAAUAACGGCUAAAGUUUUACCGUUAAAACUGUUGAACUACUCGGUAGUAAAAGUACAGUAAUACGUGUGGUUGCAUAGUAGCACACGAUAUUGAUUAUUAAUACUUACGUGAGAAGUCACUCAGUUAUACUCAAUUAUUGCUAUAGUAAUUGUUGCAUCAUAUCUCUCAUAUUAUUGAUUCAUUUAUUGUCACAGUAUUAUCUGCAUAAUAUGUUAUAUUAUUAAAUCAAUAAUUGAGACGACAAAGUUAUUAAUAUUAUUAAAUUGCAAUAUUGACAAUGUCUAGAAGUUCUGUCAAGGAGAGGUUAGGUAAUUGCGCGCCAAUGAGGAGAAAUCCUUACCGGAAGGCCCCCUCUUUCCUGGGAACGAUCUUGUUGUUAAAUAUUAUGAGUUAUAAUAUUAAUGAUGAAUAAGUUUUGUUGAUUAAAGAUGAAAUUGAUAGUUCCAUUGUGUUGGGAUUAUUAGCGUUAGUGGAAAUCGACAUUUAUUUUGAUGAUAGUUGAUGUCUGGGGGUUAUAUUGAUAAAUCGGGUAAUUUAUCGGAUAAAUGAGCAAUUAAUUGCUACUAAUUCACAUGUUUAUAUAACUAUUUGUUCACAUGUGUGUACUAUUGAUUCACAUUCUGGUACUAUUAGGGGAGUUGGUGCAAGAUUGAUAAUACUUGCAUGACUAAGUUAAAAAUUGAGGUAUAGAUGGAUGUACUAUACUGUAAUUCGUAUUUUCACAUAUCUAGAACUAUUGAGUCACAUGAUUUACUAUUAAUUCACAUGAUUUACUAUUAGGGGAGUUGGUGCAAGAUUGAUAAUACUUGCAGGACUAAAUUAAAGAUAAAGAAAAAGAGGAAGGUAUUAUACUGUAAUAUUUUGAGCCCCAAAACGUGCAAUUAUCAAAACUAUAUUUUCCUAUAAAUAGAAGCUCAUUCCUUCAUUAUUUUUCACUAAUUCACUAAAGCUAUAGAGCAUUUAUUAUAGAGAGAAAUUAUAGAGAGAAAGAAGAAGAAAAGUCUACACUUCACUACUCCAGUAUCCAAUCUUCUUUGAGGUAAGGGGUAUUAUUCUUUCGUAUUCAUGAAGAGAGUUAUUUUUUUUCAAUACUCGUUAUUCCAUUCCUUAUUAUUAUGUUGGAAUAACAUGUCUAUGCGAAGUACCGCAUACAUGGUGAAAUUCUUCUAUUAUUCCAUUCUUUAAUAUUCUGUUGAAAUAUCUUGUUUGUGCGUUUUACGCAAGACCUGGUUCCAUUAUAUAUUAUUCUGUCAGAAUAUCUUGUCUGUGCUUUACGCAUGACCUGGUUCCAUUAUUUAUUAUUCAGUUUGAAUAACAUGUAUACGCGGAUUACCGUAUACCUGGUGAAUUUUGUUGUUAUUACAUUCUUUAUUAUACUCAGUUGGUUAAAGUUUUGGCUUUUAUACUCUAUGAAAUUAGUGGAAUAUCCUUGAUAUUUGCGCUUCAUCCAAUAUCUUUUCAUGGAAAUAUUCUUCUGAGCAUUCUUGAAUUUUACAUCACAAAGCAGUAUCAUGUUGACAUUUUGGACGUUAUUGGUUCCUGGAUAAAUUAAUUCUUGAACUUGUUUUAUUGAAUUCUUAUAUCAUUAUCAUCAUCCUCAUGUUUAUAUUCUGUUGAGAGUCAUCUGUGGCCUGUAGUGCAUAGAUGGACUUGGUAUGAUUAUGACCAGGGAUUAUUCGGUAUAAUCAUGACUGUAAUAUUACAAAUAAUAUGGUAAAAGUCCUCAUUGGCCGUAGUGCAUUGUUGGACAAUUGUUGGUAUGAUCAUGACCAUUGAUGAAUACACGAAUAUCCUUGGUCGUAGUGCAGGGAUGAUGUUGAUUAUUUAUUAACCUGAGUCUCAGCGAUGAAAAUGAUGAAAAACCUUUUUAAAUCAUAGAAGAUAAUAGAUUUUAUGCUCUAUUUGACUCUUUUAAUGGAUUGCUUAUUUUCGCUGCAGUUUUUGAUCUAAAACUUGUUGUUUAUUAUAUUCUAUCAGUUGUUAUACUGUUGAAGGCUAAGGAUAAUUUAUUCUGCAUUAACUUAGUCAUAAUAUUUCUUACUGGGCUUGUUGAGCUCACCCUUUUCUUUCAUGGUUCUCUUCAGGAAAUGAGAACGUAGCUGAGACUAGUCAGGGAACAGAGUGACGGCCCAGAUGUUUGCAUUAAUUGUCCUCACUAUUCUGUGAAAUAGUGUGAUAAUAAAUGUAAUGAGGACUCCAUUGAGUGUGGAUAUUGUCUAGAUGACAAUAUUCUUCUUAAAACUCUUAGAUUAUGUUUUGUCGUAUUUUACACGACUGUUGUAUAAUUAAGUUGUAUUUGAAUUUUGUACCAUAUAUCCGGCGACUCAAGAUGGGUGAUGUAUACCUAUUUUGAGGGCAUCAUAGUUGGUAUCAAAGCUUAGGGAUAUGAUCCCUGGUUGAGAUGUGAGAUAAGAACUAGGAGGGGAGAGACGGGGAAUUCCUUUGUUAGUAUAACCUACCUAAGUUUAUUUGGUAUUUAAUUGGUCGGUCACAAUAUAUGGAUAAUAUGUGACAUGUCAAUUAACCCUUGUUUUGUGACAGUAUUUGAAAAUGGCAUCCGAAAAUGUUGAGAAUAGCAAUGGAGCACAGGAGACCGUUGAGUCACCAUAGAUUAAUACCCAGGAUAAUGUGUAACAGGAAGAAAAUAAUCCUCAGGUAAACAAUAACACCGAUGAAAUGGGGAACGAUGGGAUGUUCAGAGGCUUUAUGCAAUUCAUGCAACAUCAGGCGAGGGCGGCUCCUGUCCAAAAUGCAGGUGGAAACACUGACAACUCUCGGACGGUCACCGCUAAGCAGUUCAAGGAGCUGGGACCACCGGAGUUUUUUGGAGAGCCAAAACCACUUAAGACAGAGACGUGGAUAAAGAAGAUCAACAGGAUAUUUGAUGUCUUGGGAUGCUCCGAGGAACAAAAGGUUCCUUUUGUCACCUUCAUGUUGCGAGCAGAGGCAGAUUACUGGUGGGAAUCCGUAAAGCGUACUCAACUUGCCGCACUGAAAAUGUCUUGGGAGAAGUUCCAAGAACUGUUCAACGAAAAGUACUUUCCCGAAAGUAUUCGUCAAAUGAAAGAGGUAGAGUUCAUCAAGCUUGAGCAAAAAAAUAUGACUGUGGCGCAGUACAAAGCUAAGUUUGUCGAGUUAUCUCGGUUUGCGUCCCACUUGAUUGAUAAUAAGGAGAGAAUGACGCGGAUGUUUUCAAAGAGGUUUGAAACCCGAGAUACGUCAAUACCUAAUUUCUCACAAACCGUGUUUGUAUUCAGAUGUUGUGAAUAGGGCUCAGUUAUUGGAGCGCGAUAAUGAAUCAACCCAACCAAGAGAGAGCAGCCGACAAGUCGAUAAUACCAGUGGUAGCAGUCAUCGAAGCGGUGACAACAAGCGUGGAGGGAAUCAACAUGCCAAAAAUGGUAAUCACUUCGGUGGUAAUCAUGGCCAUGACAAUAAGAGUGGACAUUUCAAGAAGACGAGAUUCAACAAUGAUGGAAAGACGUCAGCACCAGCACCUGUUGUUAAGGAAGGAGAACAAUCGCCGGUCGUAUAUUAUAAAUGCGGAGGGGAGGGACAUAUCAGUCCAAACUGCGUGAUGCAGUCCAAAGCAUGUUACAAUUGUGGAAGAGAAGGUCACCUAGGCUGAUUUUUUCGUGCACCAAAGUCAAGUCCAGCUGGGAUGGAGGCAUCAAAGGCCGUCCCAGACAAGACAAAACCGGUAGUUCAACGGAGAGCGUUUGUCGUAACCUCCCAAAAAGUGAGGAAUCCGAAUGAGGUGAUCACGGGUAAGCUAAUCAUAAACUCUAGCAAAGUCUAUACCUUAUUUGAUACCGGCUCUACCCAUUCUUUUAUUUCUCCUAUUUGCGCUCAACGUUUAAAUUUGACUCCGAAGAAGUUAGACUUUGACUUAUCGGUUAAAACUCCAUUGGGAGAAACCUUCAUUACAUCCACUAUUUAUAAGUCUUGUUUGAUUCAAAUCGGUAACCGUACAUUACCUGUCGAUCUUUUUUCUUUGAAAAUACUUGCAUUUGAUGUGAUUUUAGAGAUUAAUUGGUUAACUACUCAUCAUGCUAAAAUCGAUUGUUUUCGUAAGGUUGUUAGCUUUCAUAUUCCUAACCAACCUAUUAUGCGAAUUCAAGCAACCAAACAACUAAAAUCAAUCACUAUCAUAUCAAGCCAUAAAGCUAUUCAUUUAUUAAAAAAUGGAUGUCAAGCUUUCUUAGCCCAUGUCACGGAUUUAAAUAAAAAUACGUCAGAUUUGAAUGAUAUUUCUAUUGUUCAUAAAUUUCCUGACGUAUUCCUUGAAGAAAUUCCUGGCCUACCCCUAGAGUGUGAAAUUGAAUUUUGUAUCGACCUUGAAUGUGGUACAAAACCCAUUUCCAAAGCCCCAUAUCGAAUGGCUCCUAUUGAACUUCAGGAGUUAAAAACCUAACUACAGGAAUUAUUAGACAUCAGUUUCAUUCGUCCUAGUACAUCUCCUUGGGGUGCUCCUGUUCUAUUCGUGAAGAAGAAAGAUGGAAGUAUGCAACUUUGUAUUGAUUAUCGGGAGUUGAAUCAUGUCACCAUCAAAAAUAGGUACCCGUUGCCUCGCAUUAAUGACCUGUUUGACCAGUUGCAAGGAGCUAAAUUCUUUUCAAAGAUUGAUCUUCGUUCCGGAUAUCAUCAGUUGAAGAUUAAAACUGAUGACAUUCCAAAGACUGAUUUCAGAACUCGGUAAGGGCAUUAUGAAUUUCUAGUCAUGUCUUUUGGAUUGACUAAUGCUCCUGCUGCCUUCAUGGACAUGAUGAACCGAGUAUUCAAGGAAUAUUUGGAUCACUUUGUGGUCGUCUUUAUUGAUGACAUCCUCAUAUACUCCAAAAGCCGUGAAGACCAUGAUCAACACUUGAGGCUGAUACUUCAAAAACUUCGUGAGAACAAGCUUUAUGCCUAGUUAAAGAAAUGUGAGUUCUGGCUUGAGGAAGUUGCAUUCCUUGGGCACGUGAUAUCAAAUCAUGGAAUAUCUGUUGAACCAGCAAAGAUUGAAGGAAUCCAAAGCUAGGAGCAACCAAAGUCAGUGACUGAAAUACGUAGCUUUCUUGGCUUAGUUGGUUAUUAUCGGAGAUUCGUGGAAGGAUUUUCUCGAAUCGCUACUCCAUUAACUCAGCUGACUCGAAAAGAUACAAAGUUCAGUUGGAGCGAGAAAUGUGAGAAGAGUUUUCAAGAACUCAAGAGAAGACUCAUUUCAGCACAUGUUCUGACAAUACCAUCUGGCUCGGAGGGAUUUGUCAUCUACAGUGAUGCUUCAGGCAAAGGGGUUAGGAUGUGUUCUCAUGCAACAUGGAAAAGUCAUAGCCUAUGCCUCACGACAACUCAAAGAAUAUGAGAGGAAUUAUCCUACUCAUGAUCUAAAGUUGGCAGCAGUCGUUUUUGCGCUUAAGAUUUGGAGGCAUUACCUGUAUGGAGAGAAGGUGGAGAUCUAUACGGAUCAUAAAAGCCUCAAAUAUUUCUUCACUCAAAAGGAACUCAACAUGCGGCAAUGACGAUGGCUUGAGCUGUUAAAAGAUUAUGAUCAUACCAUCCAAUACCAUCCUGGAAAAGCGAACGUAGUAGCUGACGCAUUGAGUAGAAGAUCAUAUGCGGGUACGAGUGCAAUAUUGUCAACGCUAAGACCCAUUUUGUAUGACUAACGAAGGAUGGAGAUAGAGUUAAAAACUCCAGGGACCCAUGUGAUAAUGACGGAUAUACGAGUAGAACCGACUUUAAUCAAUAAAGUUAAAGCUGCUCAAGCUACAGACCUGGAGCUGAUGCAUAUGAGGAAGAAAGUGCAAGAAGGUGCUAUUCCAGAAGCAAGAAUCGAUGAAGAAAGAAUACUUCGAGUCAACUCCAGACUUUGUGUUCCUAACGAUUUUGACUUGAAGUAUAAAAUCAUGAUGGAGGCAAACAACACACCGUUUGCAAUCCAUCACGGGAGUACCAAAAUGUAUCGUGAUCUUCGACAUACAUUUUGGUGGAGCAAUAUGAAGAGAGAGAUAGCGGGGUUUAUCUCAAGGUGUCUAACUUUUCAACGAGUCAAGGCGGAGCAUCAAGUGCCAAAAGGUCCAUUGCAACCACUUGAAAUUCCAGAAUGGAAGUGGGAGCACAUUACCAUGGAUUUCGUUACUGGUCUUCCCAAGGUUUCCCAAGGCGUAGAUGCGAUUUCGGUCAUUGUUGAUAGAUUGACCAAGUCUACUCAUUUCUUACCGAUACGAGAAACUUAUACACUUGAACGUCUUGCUAGUAUGUACAUAAAUGAGAUUGUAAGAUUGCAUGGCAUGCCAGUAUCCAUAGUUUCUGAUCGAGACCCAAGAUUCACUUCAAGAUUUUGGGUUAGUGUGACGCCCCCAAAAUAGGUCCACACGAACCAUUCUGAGUCGCCAGAUAUCACACUAUAAAAAUCAAAUACAAACUUUAUUUAUACAACUGUUGAACUGUCGUGCAGAGUACGACAACAGUUAACUGUGAGUUUUAAUACAAAUAUUGUCAUCGUAGACAGUAUCCAAACUCAAAUUGUUACAAUGCCAUAUAAAAUACAGCAGCAAAUAUUUUAAGACCCCAAAGAAGAACGAGAAGAUUACUAUCAUAUUCAUUCUAAUGAGGUGCACUUUUGACGCUUUCAAAGUCGGGUUCUCAUCACCCUUAUUGUUGUUCACCAACAUCAAUUAUUAAGUGACGUAUAAAAUACAACACACACAUCUUAGGUCUUUAAUACAAUUAUCGGUUGCAUAUCAUGCCGUUUUAUAAUGUAUUGAGAAAUUUCGACAGUCUCGGACCAUCACACUAUUUUCCUGUUAUCCCCGCUCGACCCAGCUACACUCUUAUUACCUAAAAGGAAUUGUGAAGCAAAAGGGUGAGCACAAUUAGCCCAGUAAGGAAUAUCAUGGCUAAGAUAAUUAAUUUAUCAACAGCCUUUAUCAGAAUAAAUCAGAGAUUUAGAACAUAUGGUAGAUAAUAAAACGUUUCAACCAUAGUUGCAGCGGAACGAGUAAUCCAUUAGAUGAGUCAAGUAGAACAUAAUGUCUACUAUCUCCUCUAGAUUAAAAGUCCAUCGUUGAUAUUUUAUUCCUGUAAUACUCAUCAACAGUUCUUUGUUAUACUUAAGACAAAUAAAACUUUCAACACUUGUCUUCACCUGAACCACCAAAGAUGUUAGUUAAAUUCACAAUUCAUAUUUAUAAUAAUGUGAAUUAACAGUUCCUUCUUUCCACCAAGACUUAAUAGAAUGUUUACUCAAUAUCUUUACCCCAAAGGCUGAAGGUAUUCAAAUGUAAUAACAAUGAUCAUACCAAUCAGUUGUCUAUCUUUGCAUUACGGGCCAAAGAUAUUCAACUAUAGAACCAAUGGUCAUGAUCAUACCAAUCACAUCAUUGAAUUAUCCAUGCACUACGGCCAAGGAUAUUCGUUAGUAUCACUAGUGGUCAUGAUCAUGUCAUACACCUGUCCAUCUUCACACUACGGGUCAAAGCUAUCAAAUAACAGAUCAUCUUUGCACUACAGGCCAAAAAUAUUCAACAACAUAUCGUCUUUGCACUACAGGUCAAAGACAUACUACUGUAAAACCAAUAACCAACAAUAUAAUAAAGAAUGGAAUAAUAAAAGAAUUUCACCAUGCGUGCGUAAUCCGCACAGAAAGGUUAUUCCAACAUAAUAAUAAAGAAUGGAACCAGGUCAUGCGUAAAUGCACAGACAGGAUAUUCCAACAGAAUAAUAAAGAAUUGAAUAACAACAGACUUCACCAAGUAUACGGUAAUCCGCGUAUACAGGUUAUUCCAACAGAAUAAUAAAGAAUUGAAUAACAACAGACUUCACCAGGUAUACGGUAAUCCACGUAUACAGGUUAUUCCAACAGAAUAAUAAAGAAUUGAAUAACAACAGACUUCACCAGGUAUAUGGUAAUCCGCGUAUACAGGUUAUUCCAACAGAAUAAUCAAGAAUGGAAUAACAACAGACAUCACCAGGUAUACGGUAAUUCGCGUAUACAGGUUAUUCCAACAGAAUAAUAAAUGGAACCAGGUCAGGAGAAAUUCGCACCGACAGGAUAUUCCGACAGAAUAAUAAAGAAUAAAAUAAUAGAAGAAUUUCACCAUGUAUGCGGUACUUCGCAUAAACAGGUUAUUCCAACAUAAUAAUAAAUAAUGUAAUACAUAAGGAUUUCACCAAGUAAAGGGUAUGACGCUUAUACAGUUUAUGUAUAGGGUAUGCCUCAUAUACAGGUUAUUCCAACAGAAUAAUAAAGAAUGGAAUAACAGAAGUUCUCUUCAUGAAUAAGAAAGAAUAACACCCCUUACUAUAAUAAUAUUAUCCCUUACCGUAAAAAAACUGAAAAUAGAGGUAGUGAAGUAGCAGAAUAGUCUUCUUCUUUCUUUCUAUAAUUUCUCUCUCUAGAGUUUCAGUGAAUUCGUAAGAAAAUAAUGAAGGAAUGAGCUUCUAUUUAUAGAAGAAUGGAUUGCAUAGUAACUAACUCAUGAACGGUCCAAAUUGAUUUACUUUAAUCUGACGGUCCAUAUUUAAAGCAAAAUCUUUUAAAUAAAAUAUAAUAUAUUCUAUUUAUAAUCUAAUAAAAUAAAUAACUUUAUGUAAAUACUAUGCAGGCACUAUGCAAAUACUAUGCAUAAUAAAAUAUAAUAUAAUCUAAUUAUUGUCUAAUAAAACGAAUAACUUUAGAAAAGUAUUAUGUUUUAUAUAAAAAGAUUUUACUAUUAGUCUAAUAAAAUGAAUAACUUUAUAAAAGUAUUCUGUUUUAUAUAAAAAGUUUUUCUGUUUUAUUACGUUAAUAAUACGAAUAAAACAAAACUUCAUCAUCGCUUACUUUGAAAAUUUUUCAAAUGUCACCCUUAACUUUAAACUUUUAUCAAUUUAAUCAUUUACCAAAAUAGAAAAAUUGAAUACUUUUAUUUCAUAAAAUUCGGGGUCUCACAGUUAGUUUGCAAAAAGCUAUGGGCACGGAUUUACGAUUUAGUUCGGCAUAUCAUCCUCAAACGGAUGGGCAGUCGGAAAGGACUAUUCAAACUCUUGAGGAUUUAUUAAGAUUAUGUGUCCUUGACUUCAAGGGAAGUUGGGACAAGUUCUUACCAUUGGUGGAGUUUUCCUACAACAAUAGUUAUCAAGCAAGUAUUGGCAUGACUCCAUUUGAAGCGUUGUAUGGAAGAAAGUGUCGUUCUCCAGUAUGCUGGGAUGAGGUGGGUGAAGCAACGUUGUUGGGACUGGAGUUGGUACGUAUGACUACGAAAAAGAUUCAAACGAUCCGACAACGUAUAAAAACCUCACAAGAUNNNNNNNNNNNNNNNNNNNNNNNNNNNNNNNNNNNNNNNNNNNNNNNNNNNNNNNNNNNNNNNNNNNNNNNNNNNNNNNNNNNNNNNNNNNNNNNNNNNNUAUAUAUAUAUAUAUAUAUAUAUAUAUAUAUAUAUAUAUAUAUAUAUAUAUAUUGUCCAAAAUUAAUUUUUAGUUUUUGAGAUGGCAUGUAACCAUCACAUAUAUAUUUCUCCUUAAUGUGAUUGCAUUUAAGCCAUAACAAAGAAAAAAGUUUAAAAUAAUCUUUGGUGACAGCCAAGACCAUCACGAAAAGAAAACCACAUGUGAUGGACCUUUAUGAUUACAUUUAAAGUAAUCUCAACAAAUGGUAUUAUAUGAUGGACUUUUUCAACAAUCACAAAAUAAUAAUAUACAUGACGGCUCCUAGUAGUGGUUAUUUUUUCCAUCACCAUAAACUAUUUGUGACGGACAAGACAAUCACUAAAAAACAAGCAUAUAUGAACAACAAAUAUAUUAGGCGAGGAAUUUACUAGCAAUCACAAAAUAGUAGUAUAUAUGGUAGAUGUUACUCAAUGUCUAAUUGUGCCAUUAUUAUUAAAUAUUUAAGACAAUCAUUACAAUCACUAAAUUUUUCGCGUAAAUUGUACAUCUCUUUUUUAAGUCCCCAUUAAUCUUUAUUUUGCUUUGUUCUCUUUGUAAACUCAUUGUUUUUAUUGUGAAUUCAAAGGAUUUAGAGUUUAUCUCGUUUUUAUAUAACUAACUAUUUACGUUUGUUCUCUUUGUCUCGGUUGGUAUAUAUCUACUUCUUUCUAUGCAAGAAGUCUAGAGUCCAAAUCUCCACCCAAAAAAGAAACAGUGCAAAUGAUGGAGCAAAAUUCUUGCUGUUGGGGAAGAGCAGAUGGACUAAUUGAUGUAACCUUCAAAUUGGUGGGAAGAAAUCUGAAAUGGAAGGAGCAGUAAGCAGGAUUUUUUUUUUUACUAAAUUUAAAUUGUAUUAAAGGAGAAAGAAUGUACAAAAAUCAUGGGAAAACCCAAUCAGAAUAUAGUAUAUACAUCACCUCAAUCAGAAUAUAACAUAGACAUCAUAGGACAUGCCAUAUGAUGUCAUGACUAAAAAAGAAAAUAAGGCCAGAUGCCCAAACAAAAGAGAAACAAUCUCAACAUUCAUGAGAAUACAAUGCAUAGAAAUCAGACACAAAACCAAGAAAAACCUCAUCCAAAGUAGCAGCAGCCCACAAUAGCAGCAAAAGAAAAAUCAGUCCAAAGACCAAAAGGCAUCAUCCAUAACAGAACCGAAAGAGCCUACUGCAGACUAGCAGCACAAUAGAGCACAAGGCCCAACAAGAGAAGCCAACAACAGUUUAGCAAAGCAAAACAGCAGACAGGACAUGGAAAGCAAGAGCAACAAACCCCAAGAGCCCAAUGGCAGCCAUAGAAGUGCAGCAGCUGCAGCCGACAUCAAAUAAAACAGCAGUAAACGAUAGCAGCCAUAAGUACAGCACCACCCCCCAAAUCUGCAGCAUCAAGACAUAGAAAUAGUCACAAUACUGCAGACCAAAACACGCAAACAAUGCAGCAUAAGCAACAAACAGAGCAGCAAAUAGGUCUAUUUUCCUGCUUGUUUUCAAGGUUGUGUAGUAUUUAUUGUCAUUUUAGUAUUUUACAUAUAUGUCCAUUAUGGGUAAAAUAAGUUGUUUGGCAUGGGCAAUGAUGCCAGUGAAGGUUUUCUUUCUUCAGUGCUUGAUGGAAGCUCUCGAGCUGUAGUCACUACAAAGAUGAGGAGAUGCUGAAACCAUUUUCGAGCACAGUGAGAUAUAAUAGUUACAUAUAUGAAUAUGCCAUCUCAGAUGAUCAUGUUGGUGUAACACAGAAGCAUGUCUUCCAUGUGCUGGUACCAUUUCUCCUUCCUUUUCUGACAGUAGGCCUAUGAUUUCUUCUGGGAGUGCUGAGAAAGAGACUGCUAGACUAGAAUAUUGUAUACGGCACUAGAAAUAGGGCAGUCUUUCUGUAAACUGCAGAGCUAUGGUUCCUUGGAAUGAUCAUUGCUUUACAACGCAUUGAGUUUUUUUUUUCUACAUUUCUUUUUCCUGGAAAAGCCUAUUUGAGGGAGGAAAUAGGAGAAGUAGAAAUUUGUUGUGGGUAGAGAUGUUUUGGAUUUGUCCUUGGUUUCAGUAAUUAAACAUCUGCCAUUUUUAUUUGCGAUUAUAUCCGGAGGAAGCUUUUAUAUACUAGAUUCAUAAAUCAAGAAGUUCAAUAUAGGGAGCACCAGCUGCAACAGCAGCAGAGCAUGAGCAGCAACAUUAAUGUAGGUGGAAGCAUUGAAAGGACGUUCUAUUUGUUCAUGCCAUUUAAUCAUGGCAAUCAUUCUAUUUAUUCAUGGUAAUCAUUUUAUUUGUAUAUGCUUGUUCUUAUAUAGCUUAUAUUGACAGAAAAUUUAAAUGGAAGCUAUGAGAACCACAUUUUAUCAAGUCUUUCAGGUGGGUUAGCCUCUGCAUAGCUCUUACUAUUUCUUGCAGCUCGAGGAGCUAAAGCUUCCUAAAGUAUAGAAAUCACAAAACCAAGCAAAUAAGUUUAAAAAAAAAAAAGAACUAAAGAUAGAGUCGCAUGUCUUUCAAAUAUGUUUCAAAAAAAAAACACAUUCUCUAAAACACUGGUAACAGAGCUUCUCUAAAACUGAAUUUCAUGUCCAAGUUCAUGUUAUCAACUUAUAGUCUUAUAUGUAAUCAACAUAACUCAAACGACUUCCUCUUUUUCUAAUAAUUAAUAACAGGGAAAAAAUUUAAAAAUAUGGGUGAAUUGGAGAAAUAUAUCUUACAAUAACAAAGAAAAAGGGAAUCCUAGUCCAGAAACUUGUGCGCGCUCUCACGAAAGAUGUCUCAUGAGUAAGCCUGAAUCUUGACGGAUCUGCAUGUUCAUUGUAGGAGAAAUUUAACAUAAAGAGAUAGCCUCAUGUACACAAAUAUUAAAAUGAAUACUAAAUUCAAACUACAGAAUGAUAAAUAGUCAUUUCUUGAUCGUGCAGCGACAUAACAAUGGAAAACUCGGUCCUGAGAGGCAGUUUCCUGCUCCCAGACCUUCCAGCCACGAAUCUGUACAAGUUAAAAACUUAUUAGCAUUAUAUGUAGAAUCAAUCAGGUGAUAAUAUGAAGAGUGAUAGUGUUUUAUAGAAAAUGAAAAUAUUCGAAAAUUGUUUCGAACAUAUAUUAAAAUAAAUUAUUGUCCUUUUAUUUUAUUAAAUAAAAUAUUAAAAAAAUCAUUGUCUUCUUUAAUGCAGUUUAUAAAGAAACACGGGAAAAUGAAUAUAGGCCAAGUUAGUGAUAAAAGAAAGUGAAUGACAGACUUGGCAGGAACUCUAUUACUGUAGAAAAAUAAAGCAACAAUUGAAAGGAUUCUUAUUUCGAUAAUGAAAGGAAAUAAUAAUCGACUGAUAAUUAUCUGGAACAUGCCAACUACUAUAUAUAUAGGAAAACAUAACUAAAAAACUCAGCUACGUAGGCCUAAAUAUCAUCAUCUUCUUCUUCUUCUUCGAAAUAUUCAUCAUCAUUAAAAUAUUCAUUAUCAUCUUCAUCUUCAUCACUACAUUCUCUAUCUUCAUUUUCUGCUUCCGCUAAUGAUGGAUCCACUUCCGCCCACAUUAGGAUUACUCGUCAAUGGUUGAUCAAAUUUGAUAGAUUCGCCUUCUGAAACAAGAAGUUCUGGCCCUGGAGGGAUAAUAUCAACCACUUGACGUCCAUCCGAUGCAUCCGUUAUGGUUAUUUCGUAACCCCCCUUUUCUUUUCGUAUUAUUUUGCCUACUAUACCUGCUGCUGUAGCAUUAUAAACCGUAUUGUUACUCUUGCUCCCGUCGGGAUAAAUCUGACCCCUUCCCCUGUUUCCGCCUACGUAUAUAGGAUAUUUUAAGAAGUGAACAUCUUUCUUAGUAGCGGGGUCCGGGGAAAGAAUAGGAAAGGUGAUUUCACUAUAUUUUUGACCAGGAACAGGGCCUAUCACAAGAAUAUUUUUUUUAGUGGGGCGAUAGCUCUGAAAAGAAAGAUUGCCUAUCCUUUCUUUCAUCUCGGGAGAAAUCCGAUCAACAGGAGCUAAUUCAAAACCCUCCGGUAAAAUAAGAACAGCCCCUACAUUCAAAGCCCCCUUUUUACCAUUAGCAAGAACUUGUUUUAGUUGCAUAUCAUAAGGGAUUCGAACAACUGCUUCAAAUACAGUAUCAGGAAGUACGGCUUGUGGAACUUCAAUAUCCACGGGCUUAUUAGCUAAAUGGCAAUUGGCACAUACAAUACGCCCAGUCGCUUCUCGUGGAUUUUCAUAACCCUGCUGUGCAAAAAUGGGAUAUGCACUUGAAAUGGAUGUCCGAGUUAUGAUAUAUAUCAUGAGCGAUGCGGAAAUGGAUCGAGUAAUCUGUUCCUUUAUCCAAGAAAAAGUCUUUCUAGUUUGCAUGGUCCAACCAUUGAUCCCGAAAAUUUCUACAAUAAAUUGGGUAGGUCGCUAAUAUAGUUCCCUAUCCGCGAUUCUGCUAUUUACUGGAAUAAUAUAUNNNNNNNNNNNNNNNNNNNNNNNNNNNNNNNNNNNNNNNNNNNNNNNNNNNNNNNNNNNNNNNNNNNNNNNNNNNNNNNNNNNNNNNNNNNNNNNNNNNNGAGAAUCAUCAAGCAAUAUCAAAUUCUGAGUUUGCUCCUCAAUAUUAUAUAAGUCAAAAUCAUGAAACUCUUCCUCUUGAUAUGUCUCUUCAUUACUAUUUUCGGCAACAUCAUAUGUGUUUCUUGCUUUUGUUGUGAUUACAGUAGACCAACCUUUAGCUUUAGUCGACACUGGAUUAGCAUAGAACACUUGUACAACUUGUGAUGCAAUAACAAAUGGCUCAUACGGCUUGUGCCUUGAAUUUGUAUCAAUUGUAGUUAUCCCGUACUUGUUAAUAACUACCCUUUUUUCAGAAUCAUACCAUUCACAUUGGAACAAAAAUACUGAAUUCUCUUCUCCAUAGUAUUCUAGUUCAACUACUUUAAUUAAUUGUCCAUAAUAGUCUCGUUCUUGGCCUUCAAAAGUACAUCCCUAGACUAAAACACCACUAUUUUGAGUUACCUUUCUUGACUCCAAUUCUUUUGUAUGGAACCUAAAGCCAUUGACAAUGAAUCCAUCAUAACAUGUUACCUCUCUAGACGGACCCAUAGCGAGCGCUUUUAGACGCGUAUCAACGACAUCAUCAUUCUUGACUCUCUUUUCAAACCAUUUUAUAAAUGUCGAAUUAUGUUCCUUUUAUAGCACUUUAUCCGACAUGUUUGGACGUAAUUCUUUCAAUAAAUGCUUGUGCUCCCUAGAAGUAAUGAAAUAAAUUAGUAGAUAUAGAGUAAUGAUUUACAUAUCUAAAAGUAAUAAACUUUAUAAGAAUUAAAAUGUCAUACUCGAUGAAAUCAAAGACUUCCUCAUAAUUAGACAAGAUGUAUAAGGUUGCUGCCUCGAGUUCUUUAUCAGAUAGAUCUUCACGUUUUCGUUUUCCUCCAAUUGGACGACCAGGCCUAGGGUGGCUAAAUAUUGAUAACUUUCCAUUAGUUUCAGCUUGACCGCCAUCGUCAUUUCGAUCAGCUCGGUUGAACUUGGUUUGCACCCUAAGAUCAAAAUAUCGAGAAGAAAAGUAAACUAGUUCGUCUAUUAUGUAUGCCUCAGCUAUUGAACCCUCGGGGCAAGCCUUGUUACGCACCCUUUUCUUCAAAGAACACAUGCACCUAUAAUUAUAUUGAAGUUAGGUAAUCACUUUAACUAUAAAAAAGCCUUGGCAAGAAAAGAGAUAUAAUUUAUUAAAACAUCACCUCUCGAAAGGGUACAUCCAACGAUAUUGUACUGGCCCUCCGACCUUGGCUUUAUAUGCCAAAUGAACAAGUAGAUGCUCCAUUGAAUCAAAGAAAGAUGGUGGAAAAAUCAUCUCAAGAUUGCAUAAUAUUUCAGCAAUAAAUAGCUCAAGCUUCUCUAACUCAGCUAACUUAUACACCUUAGAGCAUAUGUCUCGAAAGAAUUUGCACAAAGCAUUUAUUGGUUCCCAUAUAGAGUUUGGUAAGAAAUCACGAAAGGCCAAUGGCAAGAAUCUCUGCAUGAGAACAUGGCAAUCAUGGCUCUUUAGCCCAAUUAUUUUGCAAUUGUCAAGGUUAAUACAAUGAGAGAUAUUUGAAGCAUAACCGUCUGGAACUUUCAACGAUUUAAGCCACUUGCAAACUUGCUUGACUUCUUCGCUUUUUAAAGAAUAUUUAGCUUUUGGCAAUUUAAAUUUCCCAUUACCACUCUCUUCAGGAUGUAAUUCAAAUCUUAUACCAAGCUCUUGCAAAUCUAAACGAGCUUUAAGGUGGUCUUUUGAUUUUCUAGUAAUGUUCAUCACAGUGUAAAAUAAAUUAUCAAAAAUAUUUUUCUCAAUAUGCAUCACGUCUAAGAAAUGUCUUAUUAGAAGCAAACUCCAAUAAGGCAAUUCAAAGAAGAUACUUUUCUUUGUCUAGUUAUGCUCGAUUCCAAACCCAGGAGUCUUAUCGGUACUAUUGUUUUUAUCCUUUCCAAAGAUGACCGAACUAAAUUGAGAUACAAAAUUUAACUCCUCAACACCUGUUAGUCGAGGCGGGGGAUUUCUCCGUUCGGUUUUAUUAUUGAACUUACUCUUCUCAGCUCGAUAUUUAUGAUUACGCUUCAACCAACGACGAUGGCAUCCAAAAUAACUCGGCUUCCUCCCAUGUUUAAGGUUAAAAGCUACACUUGGAUCCAUACAAGGACAUGACAAGGCCCCAUGUGUACUCCAACCCUUCAAUAUGCCUAGCGCAGGAAAGUCACUGAUUGUCCAUAUUACAGCUGCUUUCAUAUAAAAAUUUUGCUUUGAGAAAGCAUCAUAUGUAUCAACUCCAACAUCCCACAAAGUCUUUAGUUCUUCUAUAAGAGGUCGCAAAUACACAUCAAUCUCUCUUCCAGGUCCAUGUGGACCUGGAAUAAGCAGUGACAUAAACAUGUACUCCUCUUUCAUACACAUCCAAGGGGGGAGAUUGUAUGGAACAAGGAAAACUGGCCAUGUCGAAUGAGGUUUGCUAGAAUGCCCAAAAGGAUUAAAUCCAUCAGUAGCUAAGCCAAGUCUUAUACUACGAGCAUCUUCAGCAAAAGAUGGGUAAUUGAGGUCAAAAUAUUUCCAAGCCUCACUAUCAGCAGGGUGCCUUAGCUCACCUGGAAUAUCACAUCAUUUUUCUUUGUGCCACCUCAUAGGCUCGGCCGUUUUUGAUGACAAAUAAAGCCUUUGAAGCCUUGGUAUAAUUGGUAAAAAAACUUAAGACCUUCCUUGCUAUUGGUUUAUUCUUUUUCCCUUUAACACUGCCAUGGUUUUUAUACCUAGAUUCGUUACAAAUUGGGCAAGCAUCUAAAUCUGCAUAUUCUCCUCGAAACAAGAUACAAUCAUUAUUACAUGCAUGUAUUUUUUGUAGAGGUUGCCCAAGGUCCUUCAUUAAGGCCUUGCAGUGAUAAAAUGACUCGGGUAAUUUAUUCUUUUUAGGCAACAUUUCCUUGAAAGCUGAAAGAAAAGCAUCAAAUCCAGCAUUAGACAAACAAUACUUGGAUUUUAGGUGCAACAACAAAGUUACGGCUAAUAACUUGGUGUGAUUUUGACAACCAUCCCACAAGGGCUCGUCUGCAGCCUUUAGAAGGUCAUAGAACUUCUUUGAUUCGCUAUUAGGAUCCUCAUCAAAUUUAGGGCUAAUGCAGCUUGUAAUAUCCCUUAACAUGUCUUUAGGCCAAUUUGCAAUUCCCUCAUCAAUAUCGUCAUCUUAAUUCCCUACUUUCUUAAGUGACUCCCCAUGCUCCGUCCAUGUAGUGUAGUUUGGUACAAAUCCAUGCUUAUAAAGACACAUUUCUACAUCUUCACGUGAUUUAUAGUUUAUGAAAUCACACUUGGCACAAGGACACCGAAUCAUGCCAUCAUCUACGCACUCAGGAUUAGAAAAUGCAAAAUCAAGAAAUGUAUUGACCCCACUCAUAAAUUCAUGUAUAUGUUUAGACUUUUUCCCAACAUGCCUAUACAUCCAACUUCGAUCAUCCAUCUACCAUUUGUAAUUCAAAUAAUUGAAAAAUGUUCAUUUAUGGUGAUAAUUAACCCUUUUAUGAAAUAGAAAAGAAAAAAAAAACUGUACUGACUUUACAACUUAUUUUCUAGCACACUGUUCUUAACAUGGUCACAACUUAUAAUUAAAGAAAACAACAUAUACUACCUGAAUUCAAGAUAAUAUUGGUUAUGAGGUAGUAAAUCAAACAGAGAAAGCGUAAUCAGAGAAAGCAUAUUAGAUUUUCUAAUUAAUGUUCCUAAUUAGUUUUAUAUUAGAUUUUUUACAUGCUACACAGGAAUUGGGGCCAAAUUCGAACAGAGAAAGCAUAAUCAAAAUUCUAAAAUAAUUGGGGCCAAAUUGGAACAGAGAAAGUAAAGAGGGAGACAAUAAACACCCAAGGAAGAGAGGAUUUACCUUCAAAAUCACAAAGCUUAACUUGGAUCACAACUUUGGUACGUAGAAGAAAGGGAGAUGGUUUUAGUUACCGUCUAUGGAGAAGAUGGGAAGAGUUGUUUAGAGCCGCAGAGAGCACUGGGCAGAGGCCGUCGACUGAGAGGGAGUAGUCGACUGUCGACUUUGUCAAGAAAGAGGCAAGCAAGUAGCAACUGAAGCAAUCAAACAAAGAGUGAAGAAGGAGAACUGAAGAUAAGGGCUAGGGCAAAUGUCAAAUGUGAAAGUGAAAUCAGAAAUGGACCGCCGACUCGGUCACUUAGGAUUAUAGAUAGGAGUGAGAUAUAAUAAUAUUAUAAAAUUGUUUUUUUUAAGAAUUACGGUUCGGUUAUUCGGGUAUCCAAAUAACCAGUUUUUGAACACCGAAUCUGUAAUCGAAUACUAAAUAAUAAUUCGGAUAUAACUGAAAUUGUAAAAAAACCGAAAAACCGAAAUAAUUCGGUUAAAAAAUUUCGAUUCGGUUCGGUAAUUCGGUUUUAUUCGUUUUUUGCUCACUCCUAGUCACUGGACAUUUAAUUUUUGUUGGCUUGUUGUUGCUGACUUGCUGUAUUUUGGACAGUUAAUUAGGCUUGCAUUAUUAAGUCAUAAAUUUCAUGUUGGCUUGUUGUUGCUGCUGGACAAGUAAGUUAACAGUUGCUGCCUGCUGGGCAGUUAAUUUGCUAAAUAGUUAACAGGGAAUUUAUGUUGUAUGAUAUUUCGGUUAUUACCCGAAUAUCCGAAAUUACAAUUCGGUAUUCGGUAAUUCGGUUAUUUUCACAUUUCGAUUAGAAUUUUGGAUAGUGGAAUUGUCAUUAAUUCGGUUUUCGGUUAUAACCGAAUAGCUUAUUCGGUUCGGUUAUAACCGAAUGAUCACUCCUACUAAUAACUUGGUAUUUUGAAUCAAAUAUCGGCAUCGACACAUAAGGCUGUAAAAUGAGCAAACAGUUCGGGGUCGAUUCGUACUCGCUCGACUAAAAGUUCAAUUCGAGCUCGACUCUAAAUAUAAAUGAGUCAAAUAUGAGCAAAUUUUAAAGUUCUAUAAAUUACUCGAACCUCCUCAAAUUAUAAUUUUCUAUUGAUACUCGGAUCAUAUUCGUUCGAAAAGUUCAAACUGUUCAGGCUCGAUUCGGAAUCGUACUCGACUCGAUAGCUAAAUGAUCCUCAAUCAAACCUUAUAAUAUACUUGAUAAAAUUUGUGAACCAAAUCUGAUAGAAAUACAUUACGAAAAUUUAAAAAGAUUAUAAAAUGAGUUUUAGUUUUAGUUGGACCAGAUUAAGUAAUCUCAAGUACAUGAAAUUAAAAAUAAAAUAAAAUUAACAAAUUGAAAAAAACAACAACUAGUAGACUCGGGCGUAAAUUAACUUUUAAGGGUUUAAUACACUAUUUGUACGUUCCAAAUUUUAUAUUUGACUUUGUACCAUUGACAUUUAUUUUUUCGUGGGCAUAUAUUUUUAUUAUUAUUAGUUAUUGUCAAUUUUGGUGGAUAAAUUAUUUAAUGUUUGAAGACUAUUUGGGGGAUAUUAAAUAUAUCAUUACUCAUAAUGAUAUUAAAUAUAGUGGGUGCAGAUGAUAGUAAUGUUAUAAAAAAAUUUCAGGCUUCACAAAGAAGAAUAUAAGUUAUUGUAUUAAGCUUCAAUACUUUUUGUAAGAGUAAUAAUUGAUAUUAAAACAUCAUUUUUAUUAAUAAUAUUAUUUUAAAAUAAUAAAAGAGAGGAGACUUAAUUUGUAGCUUAAUCUAAAGAAAGUAUAUAAAUUUUUAAUAUUAUUUUAAUUUAUUUUACUUUUUUGAAUAACAAAUUUGUACUUAAUUACUAGUGGAUCAAUUAAUUCAUAUCUCACAAAUUUACUAAAAAUAAUAAUUAAAUGAUACUCUUUUUUUUGUAGAACAAAGGGUAUAUCAAAAGAUAAUUAAAUCAAAAGAAAUUUAAGCUAAUUAAAUUUAAUUAAAAGAUAAUUAAAAUUUAAACAAACAAAAAUAGACUAAUUUAGUGGCAUAUUCCACUCAUUUUGAAGAAAUGGCGGGAUCUCUGUUUCUAUCUUUAAUUUCAAGUACCAUUGUAUAAACUUCCCCAUCUUUUCCAUAGGCAGCAAACUGAAACCCUACAUCCAUCUUCUACCAAAAUUGUGAUCCCAGUUAAGGUUGUGAUUUCAAAGGUAAGUCCUCUCUUUGGGUGUUUAUUCUCUCCAUCUUUCCUUUCUCUGUUCUAAUUUGUCCCCAAUUCUUAUUUUAGAAUUGUGAUUAUGCUUUCUCUUUUCGAAUUUGGCCCCAAUUCCUGUUUUUAUAGAGAUGUUUUACGAACUGUUAUUGACAAUUUGAUUGUUCAUGUGUUUGUGGAGAUUUAAUAUAUAUAUAUAUAUAUAUAUAUAUAUAUAUGAUUUUGAUAGCGUAUUUACUAAUUUUAANNNNNNNNNNNNNNNNNNNNNNNNNNNNNNNNNNNNNNNNNNNNNNNNNNNNNNNNNNNNNNNNNNNNNNNNNNNNNNNNNNNNNNNNNNNNNNNNNNNNNNNNNNNNNNNNNNNNNNNNNNNNNNNNNNNNNNNNNNNNNNNNNNNNNNNNNNNNNNNNNNNNNNNNNNNNNNNNNNNNNNNNNNNNNNNNNNNNNNNNNNNNNNNNNNNNNNNNNNNNNNNNNNNNNNNNNNNNNNNNNNNNNNNNNNNNNNNNNNNNNNNNNNNNNNNNNNNNNNNNNNNNNNNNNNNNNNNNNNNNNNNNNNNNNNNNNNNNNNNNNNNNNNNNNNNNNNNNNNNNNNNNNNNNNNNNNNNNNNNNNNNNNNNNNNNNNNNNNNNNNNNNNNNNNNNNNNNNNNNNNNNNNNNNNNNNNNAUAUAUAUAUAUAUAUAUCCCUCGAUUUAUAUAUGUAUGUUAAUUAGGUACGUAUAUGUAUGCAUGAAUAUAUAUGAAACUUUGUUAGUUAAUUACUUUGGUUGAGAAUGGAUUGUAGUUUGUAAACAAAUCUAAUAUGAAACUGAUUAGGAAAAGACUUAAAUUGGAAUUCUUCUUUUGGUUGAAUGGAAGGGUUACUCAUUACUUCAUUAAUUUGACAUUAAUUUUGUAUUAUUUUGUUUAAUUAUGUUUUGGUUGGUUAUGUUUUUCAUUUAUUUUAUUCUAUUCCAAGUCAUUAAGAGCACAUGAUGUUUUAGGUAAAACACUGAUUCUACUGGACAGAUGAUUCAUGUACAAAACCAAAGUUAGUGCACACACCCUAUUAUUUAAUAUUCAAAACAUUGGGUUGCUGUUGGGGUGGGUCUGUAGGAGGGCAGGGGUGGAGUUGCAGGGGAGGCGAAUGGAAGAGGGCAAAAGUGCUGGAUGAAGGAGGGACGUUGGCAUGUUCUUGAAUGAUGGUAACCCAUUCUUUAUACAUUUUGAAUGAGAGUGGUUAAUUGCAAAAAAGCACUUGCAAUAGCUACAUUGAAAUUGGUUCCAUUUAUGAGGGACAAGAAAAGCAGCAGUGGGCAGUAAGGAACUGCUAUAACAGUUUUGGGUAUAUCAUUCUAGCUCUAGAAUCUAGUUUGAAGACUUAACCAUAGAGUUUUAGUUUUAGUUGGAGCUGUACAUUCUUUACCAUUAAUGAUUAGUGAUUCUAUUCAAAGUUACCAUGCUUUUUUAAGUUCUCACUUGGGUUUUUGUAAAUGGGUCAAGCUUUGCUUAUUGUGUGCAAGAAAAUCUGAUAUCGCUGUGAAAUCUAUAGUAAGAAAAUUAAAAAUGGUCACUUUGAUAUACUUGCACUUAAUUGAUGCCCACAAUUGUCGUCUUUAAUUGUACUAAUCCAUCAAAGGAGCAUGUCAAUAUUGUUCUAUUCAGCAGUACUAUGAUUUAAUUGAUGCCCUCAUAGUAUCCAUCAAAAGAACAUUUAAUCUUGAUGUAACCAGCAUGCCACGGAACCUGACAUGUGUAGCAAAAAAGCUUUUUACAGUUCAGACAUAUUAGAAAUGAUUGUUCCAUUGAAAUGAUUGUUUGGCAUAUUAGAGGAUCUAACAAGUGAUUACAGUCCAAAGUGGACGACAUUUAAUGCUGGCUACAUUGUCUUCAACUUUUACUUCGAUGUACUUGGUGAAGCAAUCCACACAAAAAGGAUGAAAACAUUCAUCAUUCUUCUUGAAAACAUUCAAUGCAUAUCUCACAAGUGAAAGUUGAACUCUCUUCUUCACCUGAUUUAUCCUCUUCUGUUUUCGCCAAACUCACCUCUUGUUUUUAGCUGUGUGUUCCCCAUUGUUUGUUCUGUUUCUGUUGCAAAAAAAUCAUCAGCUCAUGUGAGAAACAAUUAGAGAAAGUGGAAUUGUACAACAGAAACAUGCAUGAAGUUGUAUAUUAUUGCAAAAUAAAUGGCAACUCUUUCUACAAUUACAAAGAAAAUGCCAAACACAUUUUGAAUUUGCAGCUACAACUAUUACAUGUGUUAUACAAGAGAUGAGAAUACAUUUUGAACAUGCAUGUGUCAAUUUGUGAUCUACAACACAUUUUGAAAAUGCCUAACACAUUUUGAACAUGCAUGUGUUCUACAAUUACAUGAAUUAAUUUGCAUGUGUUGUACUUUGUGUUGUGCAUAUAGUAAUAGGUUCAAUUAAAUGUUGUGUCAAGUGAUAGUGCUAAUUUAUUUAUUUUUUGAUAAAAAAAUGUACAUGCUUGUGGUAUAAUUUCAAACUAGUUUUCCAAUGAGUCAUGAUUAAUUAUUGCUGAUUAAUAUGUUGGGUAUAUAAAUUGUUCUUUGUACGGUUGAAUGUUAUUGUCUUGACAGGUAAGAUGCUAAUUGAUUUUGGAGCUAGUAGAGUAGUGAAUAAUUUUGAAAUUGUAUUACAACAUCAUCUUGAAUAAUUUCUUUUAUUUAUCCUAUAUUUAAUUAUAAGUUUUUUUUCUUCUCCAGCUAUGGUGAGAACUAGAGGUGGGAGUAGUCUUUCCGGUAGGAGAUCAACUCUUCCUCAUAAUAGUGGCGAGACUGUUAACAUGAACAGAAUGAGAGAUGAGCCUAUUGUAUCUCAUGAUAGUGGUGAGAGUAUUGAUAGGGCUACACCGAAUACUACACAAGCCGAAAGGUUAUCUCGUAAGAAAAGGGGGCCAACUCUAGGGAUAAUAAAGCCUAAAACAGGCCAAACAAAGAUGCUUGUUAAUAUCAUUGGACAAAAGUAAGUUUUUACUAAUCUACUCGUGCUUGUCAAUAUGCAAGUUACAUACAAUCAAUUCUGGAUACGUUAAAGAUUCAUUUUCUGACACAUAAUAUAACGUCCGUUUUAACUAUAACAGGGUAAUCUAUGUAGCACAAUGUAAUCCAAAGAACAUAAAAGCAACUAAUCAUAUCAUGUUACUAUAAAAAGCAAUUAAUAGGGGUUCCAUUUAACAAGAUUUGAUUAAUCCUAUUGUGACAACUUUGUUUCUACUUUUCAUUAUUGUUGUACUAAUCAUAUCAUGCUAUGUUACCAUAUCUUGUAAUUAGCUUCCUUGAACCUGAAGCUCGAAGCAAGACUCACAUAUUAUUUCAAAAACGUUUUAAAGAAGCUCGAACCAAAUUCGAGCAAUGGCCAAAACAUGAAAUUGAACUUCUUUGGGGAGAAUAUUUGGUAUGUUUUAAUGAACACACAUUUUAAUUGUAGAAAAAAGUUUAUCAAAAAGUGUAUUAUUCAUUAUAUAUUAAUUAUUAUUUUUACUUGUGGAUGGUGUUAUAGAAAUAUUUUCGUUUCUCUUCAUCGAAGGAGGAGGGAAGGGGUCGAAUCAUAUGGGAGGAAAAUGCACGAAAAAGCUACCCAAACUAUUUAUGGAGAUGGAAAGAUGAUGCCAUUAAGAAGUUUGGCUCCAUUGAGGAAGCAAGGGAUAAAAAGCCUAAUUGGACAACUCUUGAUGUGUGGCAGGAGAUGUGUGAUUAUUGACUGAGUAAAGACUUUUUAGACUCUAGUGAGCUACAAAAAAAGAACAGAAACAUAACUACGUAUGUUCCUCACACAUCAGGCUCCAUAUCGUACGCCGUUAGGAGGGAACAAGAGGUAAAUUAUAAGUUGAUAAAAUCAAAUUAAUAAUAUGCGUAGUCGAUAAAUGCACAUGAUAAUGGUAAAAGAUUCAUAUCAUGAUGCUCUGUUUGGAGUUUUUAAGUGUUCAUGUGGUAUGUAUUGCUUAUUUUUAAUAUUAAUGUUUAUAAUUAAAAUAAUUAUUAUUUUGCUUGUUUUGUCUUAGAAACAAAGACUGCAUCGUCCGCCAACGCAAUAUGAGUUAUAUAAACAAACUCAUAUGAGGAAGGAGAAGGGUAGCGAGGAAAAAACGUGGGUUUGUGAUGAAGCAAAGAGGAAUUUGGUAUGAUUUUCUCUUGUAAAAUUAUAAACUUUGUUUACUCAUGCGAAAGUGAAGAUUGUUGUUCGUUCUUUUCAUAAUUAGUUAUGAGUAUUGUUAAUUAUAUAUACAUAUUUUAUGCAUUGUAUAGGAUGAUUAUGAGAGAAGACUCUUAGCCAAACAUGGUGAUACAGAUAAGCCCGUGAAUGAGUUAGAUGAUCCAAAUUUGGAGACAUGGCAGAAAACUGUUGGAGGCGUCAAAAAGGGUAGACUUGUUGGUCGACCAGGGGAAAAAUGGAGUUCUCGUCGUGGUUCGUAUUGUCCAUCUUUGGUUGCAGAUGAGAACUAUAUUAAAUUAAAGAAAAUGGAAAGCUACAUGACUUAUAUUCAUCAAUACACAAAAAAUAUGGCCGAAACACUUGCACUUGAUCCUCCUAUAGACUUUUGUGAUUUGUUUGCUUCAUCAAAUGCAUCAGCUGAUAUUCCAACGAAUAACUCAACCACGCAUGCUGAGAAUGACAACGGAGAUGAUGACGACUCUCAAGAAAACUUCAUGGAGAAUUCAGGAUGAUUUAGCUCUGCUUUACUUAUCAAUUUUAUUAGUUUAGGGUUCUUUGAUAGAUGUUGGGUUUGUUAAUUGUUUGAUGAACCUAUGACAUGUAGUUACCUAUUUAAGUAGUUGGUAAUGAAUUUAUUUUUAAUUAAAUGGAUCAGAUUUCUUCAUUUUAAUAAAUUUGUAUGAUUUUACGUUUCAAAUUUAUUGUAAUUUAUGUCAUUUAUAAAUUUGAAAUAUAAAAUUGGCAAUUAAAUAUAUUUUAAUAUAGGAAUUUGGUGAUGGCUUUACUAUCACCAAAACGUAUAAAAAGGUUACAAAAAUAGGAAUAAUUGUGAUUGCUUUAGCCAUCACAAGAGACUUAUGCCAUCACAAAAGAAUGUGAUUGUUUUGGCCAUCACAAAUAAUUGGUGAUUGUUUUGGCCAUCACAAAAAGAUGUGAUUGCUUUGGCCAUCACAAAUAAUUGGUGAUUGUUUUGACCAUCACACAAAGAUGUGAUUGCUUUAGCCAUCACAAAUAAUUGGUGAUUGUUUUUACCAUCACAAAAAGAUGUGAUUGCUUCGGCCAUCACAAAUAAUUGGUGAUUGUUUUGACCAUCACAAAAGAUGUGAUUGCUUUGACCAUCACAAAUAACUACUAUGCUAUCGAGAUUACUUUCGCCAUCACAAAUAACUUGUGUGAUUUCGUGAUGGUCAAACUAAUCACAAAAUACAUGUGCGCUAAUGUGACUGAUUUAGUCAUCACAAAAGGAUCGAAUGUUUUGGUGAUUGCCAAAACCAUCACGUAAAACCUUUCAUGAUGGACGUAUACAAAACGGCCAUCGUGAUGCUUAAAAUCAUCACGUAAACCUUUCGUGAUGGUUUUUUUAGUUUUUGUGAUGGAUUUUUGCCAUCACAAAUGACCAUUUUUUUAGUAGUGAUCGAAAGGACGUGGAAUUUAAUAUUGGAGAUCACGUGUUGUUACGUGUUGCUCCAUGGAAAGGAGUUACGAGAUUUGGAAAGAGAGAAGCUCAAUCCUCGAUUCAUUGACCCAUUUUUAAUCCUCGAGCGAGUAGGAACUAUGGCCUAUAGACUCGCCUUACCGCAAAGUAUGUCUCGUGUUCAUAACGUUUUUCACAUAUCUAUGUUACAUAAAUAUGUGAAAGACCCGAACCACAUUAUUGAAUUAGAACCAGACAAGAUAGAGGAAGAUUUAACAUAUGAAGAGUUACCUAUUAAAAUCUUGGAUAAGAAGGAUCAUAUUCUACGCUCCAAGGUUAUACCUCAAGUCAAAGUUUUAUAAGAGAAACCACGAUGUGGAGGAAAUGACCUGGGAGUUAGAAUCUGAGAUGAAGUCAAGAUAUCCUCGUCUCUUCGAUAUACCAGGUACGUACCCUAGUUUCGAGGAUGAAAUUUCAUAAGAAGGGGAGGUAGUAAGACCCCAACUUUUAUGAAUAAAGAAUAAUUUUCUCAAAAUAUAUUUUUGAAUAUUAUGGUGUGGAUUUGAUAUAAUGUUAUAGUUGUGGGUAUUAUUUACAAAUUUUGCAAAGUAAGCAAGUGGUUAUAUAAUAUUCGAUUGGUCGGGGAAUAUUCGUUUUAACAGGGAAUAUUCGUACGACGGUACAAUCAUUGGUGGACCCCACAAAGAAAGUAUUGUUGUAGUUAAAAAACGACAGAAUUAUCUUUUUAUAAAAAUAAUGGCGAAAGUGUUGCCGUUAAAACUGUUGAACUAACCGGUAAUAAAAGUACAGUAAUACGCGUGGUUGCAUAGUAGUACACAGUAUUGAUUAUUGAUGUUUACGUGAGAAGUCACUCAGUUAUACUCAAUUAUUACUAUAGUAAUUGUUGCAUCAUAUCUCUCAUAUUAUUGAUUCAAUUAUUGUCACAGUAUCAUCUGCAUAAUAUGUUAUAUUAUCAAAUCAAUAAUUGAGACGACAAAGUUAUUAAUAUUAUUAAAUUACAAUAUUGACAAUGUCUUGAAGUUCUGUCAAGGAGAGGUUAGAUAAUCUAAUUGCGCGCCAAUAGGGAGAAAUCCUCAUCGGAAAGCCCCCUCUUUCCUGGAAACUACCUGGUUGUUAAAUAUUAUGAGUUAUAAUAUUAAUGAUGAAUAAGUUUGUGUUGAUCAAAGAUGAAAUUAAUAGUUCCAUUGUAUGGAAAUUAUUAGUGUUAGUUGAAAAUCGACAUUUAUUUCGAUAAUAAUUGAUGUCUGGAGGUUUUAUUGACCAAUCGGGUAAUUAACCGGAUAAAUGAGCAAUUAAUUGCUAUUUAUUCACAUGCUUAUAACUAUGUGUUCACAUGUGUGUACUAUUGAUUCACAUGCAUGUACUGUUAGGGGAGUUGGUGCAAGAUUGAUAAUACUUGCAUGACUAAAUUAAAAAUUGAGGUAUAGAUGAAGGUACUAUACUAUACUUAAUUUUUUCACAUGUUUAGAACUAUUGAGUCACAAGAUUUACUAUUGAUUCACAUGAAUUACUAUUAGGGGAGGUGGUGCAAGUUUGAUAAUACUUGCAGGACUAAAUUAAAAAUAAAAAAAAAGAGGAAGGUAUUAUACUGUAAUAUUUUGAGCCCCAAAAUGUGCAAUUAUUGAAACUAUAUUUUCCUAUAAAUAGAAGCUCAUUCUUCCUUCAUUUCUUACCAAUUCACUAAAGCUAUAGAACAAUUAUUAUAGAGAGAAAUUAUAGAGAGAAAGAAGAAGAGAAGUAUGCUACCUCACUACUCCAGUAUCCAGUUUUCUUCUAAGGUAAGGGGUAUUAUUUCUUUCGUAUUCAUGAAGAGAGUUAUUUCUUUCAAUACUCGUAAGGGUUGUUAUUCCAUUCUUUAUUAUUCUGUUGGAAUAACCUGUAUAGGUGGAUUACCGAAUGCGGUGUGAAAUUCUUCUGUUAUUCCAUUCUUUAUUAUUAUGUUAGAAUAACCUGUCUGUGCAGAUUAUGCACGCCUGGUGAAUUCUUUUGUUAUUCCAUUCUUUAUUAUUUUGUCGGAAUAACCUGUCUGUGCGGACUACGCACGCCUGGUGAAUUCUUCUGUUAUUCCAUUUUUUAUUAUUCUGUUGGAAUAACCUGUCUGUGCGGUCUAUCGCAUGCCUAGUGAAUUCUUUUGUUAUUCCAUUCUUUAUUAUUUUGUUGGAAUAACCUGUCUGUGCGGUCUAUCGCAUGCAUGGUGAAUUCUUCUGUUAUUCCAUUCUUUAUUAUUCUGUUGGAAUAACCUGUCUAUGUGGAUUACCGCAUGCAUGGUGAAUGAUCCUUUGUAUUCAUUCCUUAUUAAAUUGUGGAAAUGAUAUGUCUACGUGGAUUACCGCAUGGCGGGCAAAAAUCCAUUUGCAAUUUUAUAUAUUCUAUUAUACUCAGUUGCUUAAAGUUUUGGCUUCUAUACUCCAUGAAAUUAGUAGAAUAUCCUGGAUAUUUGCGCUUCAUCCAAUAUCUUUUCAUGGACAUAUUCUUCUGAGCAUUCUUGAAUUUUACUCCACAAAGCAGUAUUAUGUUGACAAAUUGGAUGUUAUUAAUUUCUGGAUAAAUUAAAUUAUAAAUCUUUAAUAUUUAUCCUUGAACUUGUUUUAUUGAAUUAUUAUGUCAUUGUCAUCAUCCUCAUGCUUAUAUUGUGAUGAAAGUCAUCUUUGGCUUACGUGCAUAGAUGGAUUUGGUAUAAUUAUGACCAGGAAUUAUUCGGUAUAAUCAUGACUGUAAUGUGACGAAUGAUGUGGUGAAAGUCCUCAUUGGCCUGUAGUUCAUUGAUGGACAGUUGUUGGUAUGAUUAUGACCAGGGAUUAUUCGGUAUAAUUAUGACCAUUGAUGAUUACACGAGUAUCCUUGGCCAUAAUGCAUGGAUGAUUCGAUUUUAUUUAUUAAGCUGAGUCUCAGCGAUAAAGUUGAUGAAAAACUUUUUAAGUCAUAGAAGAUAGUAGAUUUUAUACUCUAUAAUUGACUCUUCUAAUGGAUUGCUUAUUCCGCUGUAGUUUUUUAUCUAAAACUUAUUGUCUAUUAUAUUCUUUCAGUUGUUAUACUGUUGAAGGCUAAGGAUAAUUUAUUUUGCAUUAUCUUAGUAAUAAUAUUUCUUACUGGGCUUGUUGAGCUCACCCUUUUCUUUCAUGGUUCUCUUCAAGAAAUGAGAACGUAGCUGGGACUAGUCGGGGAACAGAGUGACGGUCCAGAUGUUUGGAUUAGUAGUCCUCACUAUUCUGUGAAAUAGUGUGAUAAUAAAUGUAAUGAGGACUCCAUUGAGUGUGGAUAUUGUCUAGAUGACAAUAUUCUUAUUAAAACUCUUAGAUUAUGUUUUGUCGUAUUUUACACGACUGUUGUACAAUUAAGUUGUAUUUGAAUUUUGUACCAUGUAUCUGGCGACUCAAGAUGGCUGAUGUAUACCUAUUUUGGUGGCGUCACAUUAACCCUAUUGUUAUAUAUAUUAUAUCCGAUUAUUGUUUAUCAACAUAAUAUUAUACUAUAUAAUUCAGAUAUAUAUUCUGUUCAUUAAUUUCUAAAAAUGAUUAUACAAGUGUCUCCACCUGGAUAAUCAUUGUAUUUAAUCACAUGUUGAUAUAUAUAUAUAUAUAUAUAUAUAUAUAUAUAUAUAUAUAUAUAUACCUAUUGAACCCCAGUAUGUAUACAUUAAGUAAAAGUCGUCUAAGCUAUUCGACCAGCUAGACACAAAUUUAGUUAUAUCGUUUAAUAUGACAAAACUUUUUUGUAUCCAAUCAAAUUAUUUUGGUUCGGAUUCCAGACUAAGUAUGAACAUCCCGAACAUGAGAAAACUUUUAUGCGCCCAAGGCGGACAGAGUAAACGAUAAUAUCUUUCUUUCAUGCAGUAUUGAUCAAUACAGGGUCCAUGGGAUGUAUACCCUCGUGCCCGUAAGUUAUGACGGUUUGCAGAUGAAGUUCUGUUUAACCUUUUUGAAAAUAGAAAACAAUGUGUAUGUCACCCUAACCCUAUAUAUAGUCAAUACAUAGUUUCAAAAAUGUGAGAUAGAGUUGAUAUGUUAUUAUUAUCAGUUUAGUUUACUUCACAACUAUUGAAUCGUUGUAGAAGUAAUGUACAAAGAAAACAUUUAAUUCUUUCAGAUAAUUAUAUUUAUAAUUGUUAUUACUUGCUGGGCACUCAAAUGCUCAUCCUUGCUUAAUUUAAAUGUUUUCAGCUAAGCGUGAUCAACCUGAAGGUUUAGACAAUAAUAAGUGAAAAGGAAAGCAAACAGAAUAUGUUUAACGGUAUCUUUUGUAAUAGUUAAACUGUAUUAAGAUAAUGAUAUGUAUUAUCUAUCAUGUAAAGAAUUAUAGUAAAUGUUGCGUACUUGGGAUUAGACUAUGAUAUUUGUAAAUUAAGUUUGAUUUUUAUAUUAUUGUUAUUAUUAUUAUUAUUAUUAUUCUGCUCAUAAAAAUGGUAUCGUGAAGCACCGAGUUCGGGUUUCAAGUACCUAAAUUUGGGGGCGUCACAGUAUGGUAUUAGAGCUAUAGGUUAGAAACCUUAGGUGGGUUAAACCUUAGGCUAUAACCUUAGAACAGAGGGGAACGUUGAAAAUACAAAUAACUCAUAUAGAGUUUAUAAGGAGAUGAAUUUAAUAAAUUCAUCGUGAAACAAAAUAAAAGAUAACUAAUAAAACUAUUAUUUGCUAUGUGUUUAUACUUAGUGUUAAUCCGGAUAAUUUAUUUGUAUAGAUGUCAGAUAGAAAAAGAAUUAGAAUACCCUCAGAUCAUAAAGAAAGAGCAAAUCUCCAUGACCGAGCCAAUAUUAAAGCUAAUAGCUGAAAUAGAGGCACACAUUGAAAACUACCUCAAAGAGGAGGUUAUUUUGGAAAGUAUAAUACCAGAUCCAGAGACGAUAGUAUAACAGAUAGGUUGAGUGUAGUUAAAGAAUAUAUGGUGAAGCUUGAGUUCUUAAACUCAUUUAUUUGUGGUAAGUUCUUAAACUCAUAAUGUGUAGUAAGAAAAAGGGAAGUAUUUUAGAAUACCUCAUAUCAUUCUCGAAUUACUACUUCAUCUCCUCACCAGCUCUUGAACCCUUGACCUCUAGAAACUCAAUAAUCAAACGAGUACCAAAUGUCUACAAGGAGGACUAGUAUAGUUAUGUGUUAAUGGAUUAUUGAGGAUAAUAGAAUAUAUAGAAUGCUAAGCAAUUGAUCAUUAGUAAAGACGUAAGAAAUAGAUAGUGUUAGUAUUACUUGAAUAGGUAUGAUUCUAUGUGGUGUAAAUGAUAAGUAUGUCUGUGUAAGGAAAUAUUCUCAACUUUUGUAUAAGUUAUGGCUGCGAUUCCUGACUUGUGUGUUAUAAAGGAAUAGCGGAUGUUUAAAGCAGUAUGUGCUAUGGUAUGUCAAGUGAUAUGAAUAUGAGUCUAUGUUGGAUUAACGAAAUAAGUUGAUAUAAAGAUAGUAAUUAUUUAUCUGAACACUGGUUAAUACAGUAAACCGAAUUUUCAAAAUCUAAAAUUUUGAGUACAUGAUUAUUUGAAUAGAAAGUUUUGCGUUAUUUGAGAUGCAUGUACGAUAAGGCUUAGAAUGUAAGUUAAUAAGAAUAAUUUAUGAUAAUGCCAUCGAGAAGAAGAACCUGUCAAUAAAGCUAGAAGAUAACCAGACCCGCCAUAUAAUUUUGCGAAUGUGGACGCUCAAGCUAUGCAGAACGGAAUCCCAGCCGCGGGAAAUCGGCCAGAUAAUCGAUCGACAAACUUUAGAGACUUCAAGGCAAUCGUACUGCCAAGAUUUAGAAGAUCAACUGAUCCUGUUGACGCGUUUGUGAUAGUUAGGGUAACAUAGGGGCAAAAAGACAGCUUUUGCCACCUAUACGAUGAAAGGAGAUAGUUUUGAUAAUACCUGAAAUAAGCCAAGAGUGUGAUGGAAAGGAAAGUUUGUGUGUUGCAAAUGUGGACAGGAGGGAUAUAUCUCUCCUAACUCUCCCAAUCCAAAAGUGUAUAGUGGGUGUUUUAUUUGUGAGUUAAGGGAGCAUAAGGUGAAAGACUGUUUAAGAAAGAGAAGGGAGGCAAGGAAUGCGAAUACGAGGAGAGGCAGCAGGACAUUGACGACAACGAGACCAACUUCAACAAACAAACUGACGGAAUCAACCGCAAGAGUCAUCAACAUGACUGUUUAGGAUUCGGUAGCAGCCGGGGAUGCAACUCCAAGUAUUACUCGAACCAAUUUUAUUUUCUUAUAUAUGAUUUUCUUAUAUAUAUAGUAAAUUAUUUUAUAAAUUAUUUUGAAGGAGGAAUUUGAGUUCUUUUAGAAAUCAAAUUUCUGUUUAUGAAGAUAGAUAAGCUUUUUGCUGAAUAGUUAAAGAUCAGUUAGAUCAAUUAUGAUCGAGAUCUACUUGCAAUGAUUGUAUAGGUUAUGUACCCUUAUAUGUAUAGGUUUUAAAACGGUGAUUCCGGGGACGAAAUCUUUAUAAGGGAGGGUGAAUGUAAUAACCCGAUAUUUUCUAUAUAAUUAAAUCAGAAAUUUUGUGUAUGAAUUUAUUUAUUUAUUUAUUUAUUAAAGUUGGAAAUAUGUGCCAGGUAAUGUGUAUAUGUAUAUAUGUGAUAAAUAAAAUAUAUUUAUUGCAUGAAUAAUUACCAAUAGUUUUAUUUUAGAAUUAUUGCUCAUUAUAAAUUAUAUUAUAAUAAUAAUUAGUUUUAUAGUAGAAAUGUUUUUAUUAAUUCUAUUCUAUGAAAAUGUGUUUAUAUAUUAUUUAAAAAUUAUAUGAAAUGAUUAAAGACUUAUUAUAAUGAUUAUUCUGUUUUAUUAUAUGAAUUUUAGUUCAGAUUAUUUAAGUUAAUUAUUUUAACUUAAUUAUUAUUGUUAUGUAUGCAAGAUAAAUCAGAUAUGGAAUCCAAAUCCUAAUUUUGGAUUUUGAACAACGAAUGAGAAUAAUAAUAUAAUAUUAAUUAUAUUUUUAUUCUUCAGUGCUAUAAAUAUGUAUGUUAUGUUUGUAAGGUUAAUCUGGGGAGCAAUUUCCUUAUGACCUGAUAAAACCCUAAUUUGAAAGUCAAUUACGACUGUAAAAUCUGUUAAGUCAUUGUGAUAUGUGGUAUAUGAUUUGUAUUAUAAGUAUUAAUGUUAAUUAUAUAAAACCCUAAUUAGUAAUUUAAAACUCUAUUUUUCUUAUAUUAGAAACCCUAAACAGUAAUUAGCUAUCCGCUAAGUGGAAACCCUAAUUUAAAACUCAACUAUGAGUUUGAGACUAUUAUGUAACUGUGUUAUUAUGUUUAAGGUUAAGUAUUAUAGAAUUUUAUAUUAAUUAGAGAAACCCGAAUUAACAUUUAGAAAUCCUAAUUUCCAGAAACCCUAAUUUCUAAAUUAGUAAACCUAAUUUCUAAAUUAGUAACCCUAAUUUACUAAAAUAAAAUCCUAAUUGUUAAUUUAGCACGCUUAAUGAUAAUUAGUAAAAUCUAAACCUAAUUUUCAAGUCUAUGUAAUGAGGAAACCAAAUUAAUUACGAAACCUUAAUUUGUAUUUUUAGAAACUAAAAAUUUCAAUUUUUGUUUAAAUUAGAAAUCCUACAACACUUUGUGCUAAACCUUAUGGUCAAACCCUAAGGGUCAAACCCUAAGUGUUUGAUAAGUUACUAGUUUGCCCUUAAAUUGGUUAGCCAAAUGACAAAAAUACCCCUCUUGCAUUAUUGGACAUAACUUGUAAGACUAACCAAUUUUGAGUUGCUCAACAACUCUUACCAGCCCCAUUUGACUAAAAUGCCAGCAAUUAGCCAACUUGAUUUCAUGUUAUAUAUAGAGAGAUCAGGAAAGAGAAAUUUCAUUUAUUAGCCACAUUUGUACAAAAAACUCCUUACCAACUCUCUCUCUCCCAAAACCCACGAAAUGUUGUAGUAGAUCAGUCCCAUAUUAAAGCCCCACUAACACACUUAACCAAAUCAGCAGCCAGAAUCAAGAAUUGAUGUUUAAAGGUAUAAAAUCCUAAGUUAAAGUUUUGAUCUUGUAUGCUAUAUUGGAUUUAUGGUUUUUAUGUUUAAUCAUGUAGAAUAAGGUGUUAAUAGGUGAUCUGGGUUGGCACAUGUUAGAUCCAUAACAUCAAAGUGCUCGAAAUCUAAGUUUUUCAAAAUCUGGAAUUUUUUGUUUUUGUUGUCUGACAGCGAAUGUCAGGCCUUGUAGAUCUGUGCUUGUUUAUUGUUUUGAUGAUUUAAAGGUUUGAAGUGGUAGUUUGGUAUGAGGUCUUUCAUAUGAAAGUGGAAUCACUGUUAUUGGAUGUCUAGAUCGAAAGUUAUUGAUGGUCAAAAGUCGUUGACCAACCAUGACCGAGUGUAAAUCUGGGCAACCCAGAAAGCUUUUUCAGCGUCUGACAAUGUUUUGGAAGGCUUAGAUCUGUCAGUGUGUAAAUGAUUUGAUGAUGUUAUAAUAUACAGUUUAUAGCCUGUCAUAUGUACUUUAUAUUUGUGGCUUUAGAUCCUUUAAACAAACAAUUGAUCAAACUUAGUGGAUGGUCAAACUUGGCCCCUCGGUCACGAUUUCAUUUCUGGGAAUUUCCAGAAAAUCGGAAGAACAGCCCUCUGACAGGGUUUGACCAAGUUAUAUCUUGUAGAUCUGUUGAUGUUAAACUGAUUUGUUGUUAUAUUAUUGUUCCUGGACAUAAGGACUACAUCUUUGAGGCAUUAGAUCACUUGAAUCAUGAACGGAACCUAGAUUAAAUCGAGGAUGAAAGUGACUGGUCGACCACCUGGGUUUCUGGAAAACCCAGGAAUGCUCUGACAACAUAUUUGCAAGCCUAGAUCUCCUUGUGUGUUUGUUGUAUGACCUAGAUAUUGAUUGCUAGUUAUAGUGUUGUAUAAUGACUUCAAUAUUGAUGCUUAAGUUUGCCCAGAAACGAAUUAGACAGAGAAUUAUUAGUGGUCAAAGUUGACCCCUCAAACACAAAGCUAUAAGUGUUCUUGAGCUCAAGAACACCAACAGCGACGCUUACUGUCGCUAAAAGCCAAUAACGACGGUUUCUAAUACUUUUAAUUUCUGAUUUUUCGAAAAAUACUUAAAAAUAGAAAAUAAAUUAUAAAAAUUACAAAAAUGGUUUUAAAAAUUAUUUUCAAUUAUGAAAAAUAACUUUUAAUUAUUUGGGAUAUUUUUCAUUAAUAUUUAUAUAUUUUUUAAUAUUAAUAAUAUUUAAUUUAUUUAAUUAGUGUAUUAAAUAAACUAGAGAAAAAUGAUUUUAAUGUUAUAAAAAUCAAUUGAAAUAAGAAUAAAGUGUUUAAAAAUAUUUUUGAGUUAUAUAUGUAACUUUUAAUAUUUUUGUGAUGAAUUUCAUUAAUUAAUUAAUAUUGGUGAUAAUUAAGUAAUUUAAUAAAUGUAUUAAAUAAAUUAUGAAAAAUAGAAUUUGUGAUUUAAAAAUCAUAUAAAAGUGAUUUAAAGAUUAUAAAAAAAUAUUUAAAGUUAUAAAAUAUAACUUUUGAUAUUUUGUCAUGAAAAAUAUUAAUAAUUUAAUAUUAAUAAUAUUAGAUUUAUUUAAUGAUUAUAUUAAAUAAUUUAGUUUAAAAAUAAUUUUAUUAUUAUAAAAAUCAUUUUAAAUGAAAAUAAAGUGUUUAAAGAUAUUUUAAGUUAUAAAAUAUAACUUUUAAUAUUUAAAGGAUAAUUUCAUUAAUAAUUUAAUAUUAAUGAUAUUAAUUUAAGAUUUAUUGAUAUUAAAUUUAUUUAAUAAUUAUAUUAAAUAAAUAUUUUUAAAAUGGUUUUAUUAGUUUAAAAAUCAUUUAAAAGGAUAUAAUUGAAUUAAAAAUAUUUUAAGUUGGAAUUAAUGACGUUUAAUAUUUGGAUAAAUAGUAAAUUAAUAUUUUAAUAUUAAUGGUAAUUAUUUAAAAAUGAUUUUAAAUGUUUUAAAAAUCAUUUAAGGGUAGUAUUAGUACUUUAAAAAUAUUUUGAGUUAUUAUCAAUAACUUUAAUAUUUUGGUAAUGAUUAUAUUAAUAAUUUAAUAUUAAUUAAAUAUUAAUGAUAAUAUGAUUAUGUACUAUUUAAAUCAUUUAAUUAUGAUUCCAGUGUUUGAAAUUUCAUAAUAAAUUAUAAUAAAUGUUUAAAAAUUAUUAUAAGUCAUUUAAAAAUAAUAUGAUUGAUACUUGUAGAUAUUGAGAUACAAUAUAGAGUCUUAGACUCGAUAUUUACCCAAUAAAGCCGUCGGUAGACCGACAUAUUUUAAAAAUUGAUCUAGACUUAGAUAUUUGACUGUAUUAAUGUUUGUUUGUGAUUUAAUGAUUGUUGAAUAUGUGUGACAAUGUGAUUAGGUUAUGUCCUAACUGCAAUAAGAAGUGCUAUGUGUUAUAGUAUGUUAUUCUAAUCGAACAAAUGAUUUUAUUAAUGAUAGGUUUUGGUAUUAAAGAUAAAACUAAGUUGUGUAUUGUAAGUAGCAGACCAGACAAGUAUCCUAUCUUUGCAUUUUCAUUAUGCAAUGGACAUGAGUAAGAAGUUUAGAACUGUAUUACUACUGUAUCAGAUUAUUAACCCUAUUGUUAUAUAUGUUAUAUCCGAUUAUUGUUUAUCAACAUUGUGACGACCCCAAAAUAGUUAUACAACACCCAUUCUGAGUCGCCAUAAUACAUGGUACAGAAAGAAAACUACAACUUCACUAUUACAAUUGUCAUGCAAAAUACGACAACACAUACUGUGAGUUUAAAUACAAAUAUUGUCUUCUAGACAAUAUCCACAAUCAAAUAAGUCCUCAAUACAUUUAUUAAUACAUUAUUUUACAAAAAUAGUGAGGACUGCUAAAAUAACUAUCUUGAAUCAUCACUCCAUACCCCGGCUAGUCCCUGCUAUAUUCUCACCUCCUGAGAAGAAAAAUGGAACAACAAGAAAAAGGGUGAGUUCAACUAGCCCAGUAAAGAAUAUUAUGACUAAGAUAAUAUACAACAAAUUAUCAUUAGUCCUCAACAGGGAAAAAUCUGAUAGAAUAUAAUAGACAACAAGUUUUAGAUCAGCAAAUGCAGCGGAAACAACAAUCCAUUAGAAGAGUCACGUAGAGAAUGAGUUCUACUAUCUUCUAAGAUUUAAAAGUCCAUCAUCAAUAUUUUAUCCCUGUAACAACAAUCAAUAUACAUCUUUACACUACAGGCCAAAGAUAUUCAUUUAAAUCACCAGUCGGUCAUGUUCAUCUCAACACCUGUUCAUCUUUGCACUACGGGCCAAAGAUAUUCAUCAGUUUAUCAUUCAUCUUUGCACUACAGGCCAAAGAUAUUCAGUAAUAUCAUCAUUUAGGACUGAGGAUGAUGAAAAAUAUUUUUUUUUAAAGAAACGAAUCCAGUGAAACAAAAGGACAAGGAUUAAGAAUUCGUACUUUAGUUUGUCCAAAUUCAAAAAUACUCCAUAAUAAACAAUUAUGGGACAAAUUUUAAGAAUGAAGAUCAAAACAUGGAUAUAAUCAAAGCUAGUAUCAUAAUGGACAUUUUGGAUAAAAAGGAAAUUUUUUAUUUUUCGGUGAAUAAUGUCGUAUUCGUGAAUAGUGCUGUAUACGUGAAUAGUGCCGUAUACGUGAAUAGUAACCCCGACACAAAAAGUUCCAAAUUUGAUAAAAAGAUCAGAUCAAUAUUUCGACGUAAUGAUAUUGACGAAAAUAAUAUCAUUCAUGAAGAAAAUAAUAUUCCUUACCUCAAAGAAGCAGUACUUCGGAAUGAAAGGUCGGAAGUGAUGCUGAAUGAAACUUGUACUGAACAACAACUCUCAAAGUAUCUAAAUACUCACAAAAUACGCUCGAUAAUAUAGAGAGAAAGAGAGAAAGCUUAUGUUUCUUGUGUGAUUUUCAAUUCUAACUUAGCCAUCUAUUUAUAGAAAAAUGUUAACCCGCCGAAGCAGACUUGACCUGCUACCUGAUGGCUUUACCUGUUACUAUUGCCACCCACCACAUUUAAAAUUCAAUUUGAGCACAUUUCUCACCAACCACAAGUGGGGCCCAUUCAAUUCUAGAAUUUUCCACCAAAAUCAUUUAUAACCCUAAUUUCCGAAGCAGUCACCUCUUAAAAUUCAUAACAAAUCAUUCGUUCAUUUUUAACGGUUCAAAAUUUGUGGACAUAUACCCAACUUAUAUAUGUAUAACAUAACCAAAAAUCACAACAAUCCAACGGUCAGAGUAAAAAUUAUAACUCACGCAAUAUAUCGUAAAAAUACUGAUUUGAUUUUUAAUACCUCCAUUCCGACAAAAAUAUAGAUAAAACACCUCAACAUUAACUCCUUCAAUUAUAAUCACAUAAAAUAAACAAAUCCAUCAUUUAUAUAAAAUAAAUAUUUCCUUAUCAUAUAAAUCAAUAAUUAAUUAUUCACAAAUAAUAUUAUAGAAUCACAAUUAUGACAACCAAGCCGUUUCCAGGAAAGAGGGGGCUUUCCAAUAAGGAUUUCUCCUUACUGGCGCGCAAUUAGAUGACCUAACCUCUCCUUAACAGAACUUUCUAGACAUUGCCAAUAAUGCUAUCUAAUAAUAUUAUUAAAGCAAUAUGAAUUAUUGAUCUGAUAAUGGGAAAUACUGUGCAGUAACAAUAAUUGAAAUAAUAAUAAUAUAAAAUAUCAACGCAGCAAUUAUUGAAUCAAUAAAAUAAAAUAUUAAACAGUAACUACUGUAACAAUUAUUGAGUAGUGCCUUCUUACGUAAGAAUCAAUAAUUCAACUAUACUGUGUAAUACCGUGUGCUACUGUGCAACUACGCGUAUUACUGUAUUUUAACCACCAGGUAAUCCAACAGUGUUAACGGUAACAACUGCGCCGUUAUUUAUAAAAACACAUACUUGUCGUUUUCCUUCAUCCAACCAUUUUUCAUUAUGGGGCCCACAAAUGGCUGCGCCGUCGUACGAAUAUUCCCUGACAGCAAGAAUAUUCCACGACGAAACGAAUAUUCCCCGACAACAAUGAAUAUUUUAUAACCACUUGCUUAUUUUGCAAAAUUUGCUUAUCUCAUCCAUAACCAAAAUAUUAUAUCAAAUUAACACCUUAUUAUUCACAAUAAUAAUAAUUAGAGGAAAUUCAAUUUCAUUUAUAAAAAGUUGGGGUCUUACAAACAUGAUAUUAUAUUAUAUAAUUCAGAUAUAUAUUCUGUUCGUUAAUUUCUAAAAAUGAUUUAAUCACAUGUUGAUAUAUAUAUAUAUAUAUAUAUAUAUAUAUAUAUAUAUAUAUAUAUACCUAUUGAACCCCAGUAUGUAUACAUUAAGUAAAAGUCGUCUAAGCUAUUCAACUAGCUAGACACAGAUUUAGAUAUAUCAUUGAAUAUGAUAAAACUUUUUUGUAUCCAAUCAAAUUGUUUUGGUUCGGAUUCCAGACUAAGUAUGAACAUCCAGAACAUGGGAAAACUUUUAUGCACCUAAGACGGACAGAGUGAAUGAUAAUAUCGUUCUUGCAUGCAGUAUUGAUCAAUACAGGGUCCUUGGGAUGUACACCCUCGUGCCCAUAAGUUAUGACGGUUUGCAAAUGAAGUUCUACUUUACCUUUUUGAAAAUAGAAAAUAAUGUUCAUAAUAUGUCACCCUAACCCUAUAUAUAGUCAAUACGUAGUUUCAAAAAUGUGAGAUAGAGUUGUUAUGUUAUUAUUAUCGGUUUAGUUUACUUCACAACUAUUGAAUCGUUGUAGAAGUAAUGUACAAAGAAAACAUUUAAUUCUUUCAGAUAAUUAUAUUUAUAAUUGUUAUUACUUGCUGGGCACUCAAAUGCUCAUCCUUGCUUAAUUUAAAUGUUUUCAGCUAAGCGUGAUCAAUCUGAAGGUUUAGACAAUAAUAAGUGAAAAGGAAAGCAAACAGAAUAUGUUUAACGGUAUCUUUUGUAAUAGUUAAACUGUAUUAAGAUAAUGAUAUGUAUUAUCUAUCAUGUAAAGAAUUAUAGUAAAUGUUGCGUACUUGGGAUUAGACUAUGAUAUUUGUAAAUUAAGUUUGAUUUUUAUAUUAUUGUUAUUAUUAUUAUUAUUAUUAUUCUGCUCAUAAAAAUGGUAUCGUGAAGCACCGAGUUCGGGUUUCAAGUACCUAAAUUUGGGGGCGUCACAAAUAUGGCUCAGUUAUUGGAGCGCGAUAAUGAGUCAACCCAACCAAGAGAGAGUAGCCGACAAAAUGAUAAUACCAGUGGUAGCAGUCAUCGAAGCGGUGUCAACAAACGUGGAGGGAAUCAACAUGCUAGAAAUGGUAACCACUUCGGUAGUAAUCAUGGCGAAGAUAAUAAAAAUGGAAAUUUCAAGAAGAGGAGAAUCAACAAUGAUGGAAAGACGUCAGCACCAGAACCCGUUGGUAAGGAAGGAGAACGACCAGCGAUCGUAUGCUACAAAUGCGGAGGGGAGGGAUACAUCAGUCCAAACUGUGCGCAGCCGUCCAAAAUGUAUUAUAAUUAUGGAAGAGAAGGUCACCUAGCUCGAUUUUGUCUUGCAAGGAAGCCAAGUCAAGCUGGGAUGGAGGCACCAAAGGUCAUCCCAGAAAAGUCAAAACCAGUAGUUCAAGGGAGAGCGUUUUUCGUGACCUCCCAGAAAGCAAGGAACCUGAACGAGGUUAUCAUGGGUAAGCUAAUCAUAAACUCUAGCGAAGUAUAUACCUUAUUUGAUAACGGUUCUACCCAUUCUUUUAUUUUACUAUUGGCACUCAACGUUUAAAUUUAACUCUGGAGAAAUUAGACUUUGACUUAUCUGUUAAAACUCCGUUGGGAGAAACCUUCAUUACAUCCACUGUUUAUAAGUCUUGUUUAGUUCAAAUCGGUACCCUCACAUUACCUGUCGAUCUUAUUUCUUUAAAAAUACUUGCAUUUGAUGUGAUUUUAGGGAUUGAUUGGUUAACUACUCAUCAUGCAAAAAUUGAUUGUUUUCGUAAGGUUGUUAGCUUUCAUAUUCCUAACCAACCUAUUAUGCGAAUUCAAGCAACCAAACCACUAAAGUCAAUCACUGUCAUAUCAAGCCAUAAAGCUAUUCAUUUAUUGAAAAAUAGAUGUCAAGCUUUCUUAGCCCAUGUCACAAAUUUAAACAAAAAUACGUCAUAUUUGAAUGAUAUUUCUAUUGUUAAUAAAUUUCCAGAUGUAUUCCCUGAAGAACUUCCUGGCCUACCCCCAGAGCGUAAAAUUGAGUUUGUAUUGACCUCGAACUCGGUAAAAGACCCAUUUCCAAAGCCCCAUAUCGAAUGGCUCCUAUUGAACUUCAGGAGUUAAAAACCCAACUGCAGGAGUUGUUAGACAUCUGUUUCAUUUUUCCUAGUACGUCUCCUUGGGGUUCUCCUGUUCUAUUCGCAAAGAAGAAAGAUGGGAGUAUGCGACUUUGUAUUGACUAUCGGGAGUUAAAUCAUGUCACUAUCAAAAAUAGGUACUCGUUGCCUCGCAUUGAUUACCUGUUUGACCAGUUGUAAGGAGCCAAAUUCUUUUCAAAGAUCGAUCUUCGUUCUGGAUAUCACCAGUUAAAGAUUAAAACUGAUGACAUCCGAAAGACUGCUUUCAGAACUCGGUACAGGCAUUAUAUAUGAAUUCCUAGUCAUGCAUGUCCGUUGGAUUGACUAAUGCUCCUGCUGCUUUCAUGGAUAUGAUGAACCGAGUAUUCAAGGAAUAUUUGGAUCAUUUUGUGGUCAUUUUUAUUGAUGACAUCCUCAUAUACUCCAAAAUCCGUGAAGAUCAUGAGCAACACUUGAGGUUUAUACUUCAAAAGUUUCGUGAAAACAAGCUUUAUGCCAAGUUGAAGAAAUGCGAGUUCUGGCUUAAGGAAGUGGCAUUCCUUGGGAACGUGAUAUCAAUUCACGGAAUAUCUGUUGACCCAUUGAAGAUUAAAGCAAUUCAGAGCUGGGAGCAACCUAAGUCAGUGACCGAAGUACGUAGCUUUCUGGGCUUAGCUGGUUAUUAUCGGAGAUUCAUGGAUGGAUUUUCUCGAAUUGCUACUCUAUUAACUCAGCUGACUCGAAAAGAUACAAAAUUCGGUUGGAGCGAGGAAUGUGAGAAAAGUUUUCAAGAACUCAAGAGAAGACUCAUUUCAGCACCUGUUCUGAUAAUACCAUCUGGCUCGUAGGGAUUUAUCAUCUACAAUGAUGCUUCAGGCAAAGGGUUAGGAUGUGUUCUCAUGCAACAUGGGAAAGUCAUAGCCUAUGCAUCAUGACAACUCAAAGAAUAUGAGAGGAAUUAUCCUACUCAUGAUCUAGAGUUGGCAGCUGUCGUUUUUGCGCUUAAGAUUCGGAGGCAUUACCUGUAUGGAGAGAAUGUGGAGAUCUAUACGGAUCAUAAAAGCCUCAAAUAUUUCUUCACUCAAAAGGAGCUCAACAUGCGACAACGACGUUGGCUUGAGCUAUUGAAAGACUACGAUCAUACCAUUUAAUACCAUCUUGGAAAAGCGAACGUAGUAGCUGACGCAUUGAGUAGAAGAUCAUAUGCGGGUACGAGUGCGAUAUUGUUAACGCAAAGACCCAUUUUGUAUGACUUACAAAGGAUGGAAAUAGAGUUAAAGACUCUAGGGACCCAAGUGAUGAUGGCAAAUAUACGAUUAGAACCGACUUUAAUCGAUAAAGUUAAAGCUGCUCAACUUACGGACCUGGAGCUGAUGCGUAGUAGGAAGAAAGUACAAGGUGCUAUCCUGGAAGCAAGAAUCGAUGAAGAAGGAAUACUAUGAGUCAACUCUAGACUUUGUGUUCCUAACGACCCUAAUUUAAAGUAUAAAAUCAUGAUGGAGGCGCACAACACACCGUUUGCAAUCCAUCCUGGGAGUACCAAAAUGUAUCGUGAUCUUCGACAUAUAUUUUGGUGAAGUAAUAUAAAGAGAGAGAUAACAGAGUUUAUCUCAAGAUGUUUAACUUGUCAACGUGUCAAGGCGGAGCAUCAAGUGACAAAAGGUCCAUUGCAACCACUUGAAAUUCUAGAAUGGAAGAGGGAGCACAUUACCAUAGAUUUUGUUAUUGGUCUUCCCAAGGUUUCUCAAGGCAUAGUUGCAAUUUGGGUCAUUGUUGAUAGAUUGACCAAGUCUGCUCAUUACUUACCUAUACGAGAAACCUAUACACUUGAACGUCUUGCUCGUAUAUACAUAAACGAGAUUGUAAGACUGCAUGGUAUACCAGUAUCCAUAGUUUCUGAUCGAGACCUAAGAUUACUUCACGAUUUUGGGUCAGUUUGCAGAAAGCUAUGGGCACGGAUUUGCGAUUCAGUUCUUUGAUGCCCCCAAAAUAGGUAUACAUCACCCAUUUUGAGUCGCCAGAUACAUGGUACAAAAUUCAAAUACAACUUAAUUAUACAACAGUCGUGUAAAUACGACAAAACAUAAUCUAAGAGUUUUAAUAAGAAUAUUGUCCAUCUAACAAUAUCCACAAUCAAUGGAGUCCUCAUUACAUUUAUAAUCACACUAUUUCACAGAAUAGUGAGGACUACUAAUACAAACAUCUGGACCGUCACUCUGUUCCCCGACUAGACCCAGCUACGUUCUCAUUUCCUGAAGAGAACCAUGAAAGAAAAGGGUGAGCUCAACUAGCCCAGUAAGAAAUAUUAUGACUAAGAUAAUGCAAAAUAAAUUAUCCUUAGCCUUCAACAGUAUAACAACUGAUAGAAUAUAAUAGACAACAAGUUUUAGAUCAAAAACUGCAGCGAAAUAAGCAAUCCAUUAGAAGAGUCAAGUAGAGCAUAAAAUCUACUAUCUUCUAUGAUUUAAAAAGUUUUUCAAAAUUUUUAUCGCUGAGACUCAGCUUAAUAUAUAUAUAUAUAUAAAAGCAAUAAACGCACCGGAUGUAGACUUACAGUGGACUGCCAAAGUAGACUUCUUGGACUGCAAAUGGAUGAACACUCGUCUCUCGCCGGACUAAAAGUAGCUAUAUACGAGCUAACUAGUGUUUAAAGAAAAGGAAACACUCAAAAGAUGUGUAUGCAGAGCUAAACGGACAGGGCUUCCUCGCCUUUUUCCCUCUCUUCCUUCUCUCAAAUGGCUGACCCCCCCUCUAUAUUUAUAGACGGAUGGCCGCAGGUCUACCUGCGGCUGGUCGUGGUGGGCCCGGGCAUCGCGGGUCUCGUCGUCUUGUAGUACGUGCACUUGCGCACGGUAAUGUCCAAUCGAACUUUCAGAACUUCAAUCCUAGCAUCCAAACGAAGCGUGUCUGUACUUCUUCGGACCGCUGGUGUCGAGAGUUACGUAAUGACAUGGAUUAGAGGUUGUACGAAGUCAGGAAGCGGGGUAUAUGCCCAUGGUCUUCAGGCUUCAAAUUCUAUCCAAAGUAUUGUCACAGGUAAUAGUCACUCGGGAUUGUCAUUCCUCGGUUAUUUGGGACAUUGUUGUAUGUAUGUAUGUCUGAAAGGUUGAGACGACGUGCCAUUUGUUGGACGAACAAGAUGAUGUUUGACUCUUUGCCGGAGUUAUCGCCUGGUUGAGCUGAAAGUAACCGUUGCUCAGGUUACAUCUGAGAUUGGACUACUUGUUGGUAUGCUGCUAUAUCAUCUUGUUACGAGAUGACGUUGGUGACUCCUCACCGGGUUUAUCGCCGGUUUAAGCGGAAAGCAGACGUUGAUCAGGGUUACAGCUAAGAUUGGACCGCCUAUUUGUAUGCCUCACUGUCAUCUGUGAUUGAAGCUGAUUGCAUGUGUUUGCAACAAGCAAUUCUGGAGUUAUCGCCGGAACUGCGAUGGCAUCACUUGGGGUUAUCACCAAGGAUGGGACUACUACUCCCAAUGUUGUCUCUGGGACUGGAACUGAACGUCGCGGUGUCAUCACCGAGACAGGACUGUCCUCUCCGGUGUUGUUGCCGGUCUUUUGAUCUGCACAUCUCGGGGUUAUCUCCGAGAUUGGAAAUGACGUGCCCGGUGUGUGUUCCGGGUUUGGAACCGAUGCUCCCGGUUUGUGUUCCGGUUUGGAGCGAAACUUCCGGUAGUAUCUGGACUUGUUGUGAGCUGUCUUUCAGGGUUAUCUCCAAAAGACGAAUCUACCCUCCUGCAAUGUUAGUAAUAGGAGUGCAGAAAAUUUCGAGUGUCUACAACACCUAGCAACCCAGAUCAUCACUAUAGACUAAAAACAACAUAUUCUAACACCCAAACAUAACAUUUAACAACAUAUCAAAGGUCAGAUUUUUAGGUUUAGUGUUAUACCUUCUUGCUCAAUUUCUUGAUUUUAUGUUACUGAUUUGUUAUGGGAUUUCGUGGGGCUUGAAAAUGGGACAAAAAUGCUAUAGAUUUUCGUUGGUUCUAGUGAGAGAAGCUCUUGGUUGAGUGUUGUGCAAUUUUUAGUGAACAAAUGCAUUUUCUCUAUCCUUAAAUCUAUUUAUAGACAAAUUAGAUACAUGAAUGGCUGAGCUAGAACUUGUUGUUGUCAAUUUAGUGUCACAUGGCUACUCUAGGGUUAGCCAACCACUCCAUCUAGACCUAUUUCUACAAGCAAGCUUCAAUAAUACAAUAGGGCACAAAAGUCUUUUGGCUAGCAAUUUUAAGGGCAUUUUUAUAACUUGUCAAACCCUUAGGGUUUAACCCUUAGGGUUUAGCACAUAACACAAAUGAUUUUUAGCAACUUAGGGUUUGAAUAAAAUAAAAUUAUUUUAGCUUCUAAAAUUUGAAAAUCAAGAUUUGUUAAUUAGAUUAAGUUAGUAAUUAUAUUAUACAUGAACAUUAGGGUUUAGUACCACUAAUCAUAAUUAACCUUGCCAAAAUAGCAAUUAGGGUUUAAGAUUUUAAUAAUUAGGAUUUCUAAAACUCAAUUAGGAUUUUCUAAUUAUCCAAUUAGGGUUCUGAACAUUAGGGUUUUAAUUUAAUAAUUAUGUUUACCAUAAUUAGCAAUUAAAGUCUAUUGUACGUGUUAUUAAUCACAGUAACAUAAUUUUUGACAGAUAAAAUUCUUCAGUUUAAGUUUUGAUUUAGGGUUUCUAAUAUCAGAAAUUCAAAUCUAAUUAGGGUUUGACAUUUAUAAUUAGGGUUCCCUAAUUGGCAUAUCAUUAUGUAACACAACAUAUAACACAGUUAUAUAACAGUCUCAAAUUUCCCAUUUAAAUUGAAAAACAGGGUCAAACCAAUUAAUGCUAGGGUUUGGUCAAUAUACACCAUAAUUGACCAACCAUCAACAGUACGUACAUACAGUACAUAUUUAUGGCACUGAGAAAUUAAAAUAUUAUAAUAUUAUAUAUUAUUCUCAUGCCUUGAUCAAAACCCAAAAUUAGAGUUUGGAUUCCGUAUCUGAUUUAUCUGCCAUAAAUAACCUUAUUAAUUAAGUUAAAAUAAUUAACUUAAUAAUCUGAACAAAAUUCAUAUAAUAAAAUAAUUAUUAUAAUUAUUCUAACAUCAUUUCAUAUAUUACUUAUAUUUUCAAGGAAAAUAAUUAAUAAAACAUUUCUAAUAUAAAAUUAACUGUUAUAAGAAUAUAAUUUAUAAUAAUUAAUAUUUCUAAAAUAAAUCAAUUUGUAAUAAUUAAUGUAAUAAAUUUUAUUUAUCACACAUAUAAUUAUACACAUAUUACCUUGGCACAUAUCACCCAUAUUUAUUUUAAUAAAUAAUAAAAAAAAAAUUUAUACGCAAAAUUUAUGAUUUAUUUAUAUAGAAAAUAUCGGGUUGUCACAUUCUUCACAUUCAUCAGAUUCGGGUGUGUAGCUUGAGCGGCUUUAACUUUAUCGAUUAAAGUCGAUUCUGCUCGUAUAUUCGUUAUCUUCACGUGGGUCCUUAGAGUCUUUAACUCUAUCUUCAUCAUUUGUAAGUUAUACGAAAUGGGUAUUUGUGUUAACAACAUCGCACUUGUAAACACAUACGAUCUUCUACUCAAGGCGUCAGCUACUACGUUCGCUUUUCUACGAUGAUAUUGAAUGGUAUAGUCGUAAUCUUCAAUAGCCCGAGCCAACGUCUUUGGCGCAUGUUACGUUCGUUUUAAGUGAAGAAAUAUUUGAGGGUUUUAAAAAUGGGUUUUGUACUGGGGUCAAUACAAAAUUUGAUUUCACGCUCUAGGGGUAGGCUAAGAAGUCUUCAGGAAUACGUCAGGAAACUUAUUAACGAUAGAAAUAUCAUUCAAAACUGUGACUCUCAUCCCAAGACUUGGAUAGCCCGUCAUAUUGAUACCUAUCAACUUGCCACCGUUAUUCACGGCGUCCCCUACGGAUAGUCUGGCUUCGGUGUAUUCCAAGACUUGGAAGUCAUCAGCGAAAGGCUUAGGUCUCUUUACUUAUGGCUUGAUAUGACAAUGAUUGGCUUUAGUGGUUUGGUUGCUUGAAUUCGCAUAACAGGUUGGUUAGGAAUAUGAAAGCUAACAACCUUACGAAAAGCAUGAUGAGUAGUUAACCAAUCGACUCCUAAAAUCACAUCAAAGGCAAGUAAUUUCAAAGAGAUAAGAUCGACAGGUAACGUGAAAGUGUCGAUUUGAAUUAAACAAGAUUUAUAAACAGUGGAUGUAAUUAACGAAGGUUUCUCCUAACAUAGUUUCAACCGAUAAGUCAAAGUCUAAUUUCUCCGGAGUUAAGUUCAAACAUUGAACACAACUAGGUGAAAUAAAAGAGUGAGUAGAACCGGUAUCUAACAAGGUAUAGACUUCGCAAGAGUUUAUGAUUAACUUACCCGUGAUAACUUUAUUCAGGUUUCUCGUCACGAAAAACGCUCUCUCUUAAACUACUGAUUUUGACUUGUCUGGGACAUCCCAGUUGGACUUAACUUUGCUGUAGAGUACAUUCCACCCUUAAUUGCUUCAUCACAUUCCUGAUCCAUGAUUCGAAUCAUUACUCUCUGAUCCAUAUCGAAUUGGGGUUAACCGCUCUGCACAGGGUAAUUUCGAAUUCGAUGUUGGAUUCUCCCAAUUGUUGUCCAAAAAGCAAAAUCCAUUUCAUCUAUUUUAGCCUUAUUGGAUCUGACGUCUUUUUCUACAAUAUCUACACGUCGUGCGACUUUUACCCAUGCAUCAUCUAUUCUCAUUCGUUCAGUUGUUUUUUCUUUCAUCAGAACUUUGAUCAUAGCAUUCUUAAAUUCCAGCUCUAAUAUCUUAUACUCUGCCAAAGAGUGCUUCUGUUCGAGCAUCGUACAUCGGGUAACACAAUUUUGAAUUGCUACAUCUCUUUGCUCCACGACCGCCUGUCGUUCUUCAGCCUGCUCUUCUAGCUCAUGAAUACAAUUUUGUAAUUCUAAAUUUCGAUCAUAAAAUUCUUCUAAUAAAUUCACCUCAGGUUCCUCUUCUUCCUCACUCUCAGCUGCUACCUCUGCAACUAGCUCGAGUGCAACUAUUAGUUCUUCACUCACCAUGUAGAUAUCUCUAAUUUCUUCUUCGUUUGACAUCACAUUAACCUGGUUAGUGAUUAAAGGUGUCUCAACGAUCUCAUUCACUGCAUUGUUAAUAUUUUUAGCCGCCAUUUUUAAAUACUGUCAUAAAACAAGGGUGAAUUAACAUAUCACAUAUUAUCAAUAUAUUAUGACCGACCAAUUAAAUACCAAAUAAACUUAGGUAGGUCAUACUAGCAAAGGAAUUCCCCGUCUCUCCCCUCCUAGUUCUUGUCUCACAUCUCAGCCAGGGAUCAUAUCCCUAAGCUUUGAUACCAACUGUGACGCCCCCAAAACAGGUAUUCAUCACCCAUCUUGAGUCGCCAAAUACAUAGUACAAAAUUUAAAUACAACUUAAUUAUACAACAGUCGUGUAAAAUACGACAAAACAUAAUUUAAGAGUUUUAAUAAGAAUAUUGUCAUCUAGACAAUAUCCACACUCAAUGGAGUCCUCAUUACAUUUACUGUCACACUAUUUAACAGAAUAGUGAGGACUACUAAUGCUAACAUCUGGACCGUCACUCUGUUCCCCGACUCGUCCCAGCUAUAUUCUCAUUUUCUGAAGAGAACAGUGAAAGAAAGGGUGAGCUCAACUAGCCCAGUAAGAAAUAUUAUGACUAAGAUAAUGCAAAAUAAAUUAUCAUUAGCCUUCAAUAGUAUAACAACUGAUAGAAUAUAAUAGACAACAAGUUUUAGAUCAAAAACUGCAGCGGAAUAAGCAAUCCAUUAGAAGAGUCAAGUAGAGCAUAAAAUCUACUAUCUUCUAUGAUUUAAAAAGUUUUUCAUCAUUUUUAUCGCUAAGACUCAACUUAAUAAAUAAAAUUGAAUCAUCCCUGCACCACAGCGAAGUUUAUUCAUGUAAUCAUCAAUGGUCAUGACUAUACCGAAUAAUCCCUAGUCAUAAUCAUACCAACAACUGUCCACCAAUGAAUUACAUGCCAAUGAUGACUUUUACCACAUCAUUCGUCACAUUACAGUCAUGAUUAUACCGAAUAAUCCCUGGUCAUAAUCAUACCAAGUCCAUCUAUGCACGUAAGUCAAAGAUGACUAUCAUCACAAUAUAAGCAUGAAGAUGAUAACAAUGACAUAAUAAUUCAAUAAAACAAGUUCAAGGAUAAAUUUUAAAGAUUUAUAAUUUAAUUUAUCCAGGAAUCAAUAACGUCUAAUUUGUCAACAUGAUACUGCUUUGUGGAGUAAAAUUCAAGAAUGCUCAGAAGAAUAUUUCUAUGAAAAGAUACUGGAUGAAGUGCAAAUAUCUAGGAUAUUCUACUAAUUUUAUGGAGUAUAGAAGCCAAAACUUUAACCAACUGAGUAUAAUAGAAUAUAUGAAGCUGUAAAUGGAUUUUCGCCCGCCAUGCGGUAAUCCAUGUAGACAGAUCAUUUCCACAUUUUAAUAAGGAAUGAAUACGAAGGAUCAUUCACCAUGCAUGCGAUAAUCCACAUAGACAUGUUAUUCCAACAGAAUAACAAAGUAUGGAAUAACAGAAGAAUUCACCAUGCAUGCGAUAGACCACACAGACAGGUUAUUCCAACAGAAUAAUAAAGAAUGAAAUACUAAAAGAAUUCACCAGGUGUGCGUAGUCCGCACAGACAGGUUAUUCCAGCAGAAUAAUAAAGAAUAGAAUAACAGAAGAAUUUACCAGGCGUGCUUAAUCCGCACAGACAAGUUAUUCCAACAGAAUAAUAAAGAAUGGAAUAACAGAAGAAUUCUCCAGGCGUGCGUAAUCUGCACAGACAGGUUAUUCAACCAGAAUAAUAAAGAAUGGAAUAAUAGAAGAAUUUUGCCACGCAUACGGUAAUCCGUGUAUACAGGUUAUUCCAACAGAAUAAUAAAGAAUAGAAUAACAGAAGAAUUUCACCACACAUACGGUAAUCCGCGUAUACAUGUUAUUCCAACAGAAUAAUAAAGAAUGGAAUAACAACCCUGACAAGUAUUGAAAGAAAUAACUCUCUUAAUAAAUACGAAAGAAAUAAUACCCCUUACCUUAGAAGAAAACUAGAAUAGUGAGGUAGCAGACUUCUCUUCUUCUUUCUCUCUAUAAUUUCUCUCUAUAAUAAUUUCUCUAUAGCUUUAGUGAAUUGGUGAACAAUAAUGAAGGAAUGAGCUUCUAUUUAUAGAAAAAUAUAGUUUCAACAAUUGCACAUUUUGGGGCUCAAAAAAUUACAGUAUAAUAUCUUCUUCUUUUUCUUCAUUUUUAAUUUAGUCCUGCAAGUAUUAUCAAACUUGCACCACCUCCUCUUGGAAGUCCUUGAAUCAAUCAGCUCGAAACAAUCCUUCUUGGACUCAAAUUCUAGUUAAAAUUACCUUUUCUACGCGUACCCAAGCCCCAGCUUGGGUAUUGCCUUGUAAAUAGUAAGCCCCGGCUUGCUAUGCUUCUGAUUUUGAACUCAGGACCCCAAGCCCCGGCUUGGGUAUAAAGCUUAAAAGAGCAAGCCCCGACUUGGGUGCAAGCUGCUAAUAGUUUUUUCUGCUGCAGUGUCCUCAGGUAAAAUGGCCAUAACUUUUGAUCCGGGAGGAGUUACGGGGCCUGCCACCUAUCAAAUCAAAGAUAUCGACGAGAUCUACAACUUUCAUUCUUUGAGAAUUGAGUAAUAACGAACGAAUGAAGGUAGAAAUUGGACUAGAAAUGACUGUUAUGCAAAUGGCCACCCAAAAUAGCGAAGUUAUUCAACAGUCUCCUGUGCUCCAUUGAUAUUCUCAACAUUCUCGGUUGUCAUUUUCAAAUACUGCCACAAAACAAGGGUUAAAUAACAUCACAUAUUAUCUCUAUACUCUGACCGACCAAUUAAAUACCAAAUAAACUUAGGUAGGUCAUACUAGUUCCCCGUCUCUCCCCACCUAGUUCUUAUCUUACAUUUUAGUCAUGGAUCAUAUCCCUAAGCUUUGAUACCAACUGUGACGCCCCCAAAAUAAGUAUACAUCACCUAUUCUGAGUCGCCAAAUACAUGAUAUAAAAUACAAAUACAAUCUUAAAUAUACAACAUAAGUUGUGAGUUUUAAUACAAACAUUGUCUUCUAGACAGUAUUAAAACUCAAAAUAAGUCAUCAAUACAUUUAUUAACACACUAUUUCACAGAAUAGUGAGGACUACUAAUGCUAUCCUCUGGACCAUUACUCCAUUCCCCGACUCGUCCCAGCUAUAUUCUCAUUUCCUGAAGAGAACAAUGAAAGAAAGGGUGAGCUCAACUAGCCCAAUAAGAAAUAUUAUGACUAAGAUAAUGCAGAAUAAAUUAUCAUUAGUCUUCAACAAUGUUAAACUGAUAAAAUACAAUAACUGCAGCGAAAUAAGUAAUCCAUUAAAAGAGUCAAGUAGAGAAUAAAAUCUACUAUCUUUUAUGAUUUAAAAGGAUUUUCAUCACUUUUAUCGCUGAGACUCAGUUUAAUAAAUAAUCCACAUCAUCGAAUCACCCCUGCACUACGGCCAAGGAUAUUCUUUAGUAUUACAACCAUAAAUAUCCAUGCACUACGGGCCAAGGACAUUCGUGUAUUCAUUAAUGGUCAUGAUCAUGCCAAAAACUGUCCAACAAUACACUACGGUCAAUGAGGACUUUUACCACAUCAUUUGUAACAUUACGGUCGUAAUUAUACUGAAUAAUCCCUGGUUAUAAUCAUACCAAGUCCAUCUAUACACUACAGGCCACAGAUGACUUUCAACAGAAUAUAAACAUGAGGACGAUGACAAUGAUAUAUGAAUUCAAUAAAACAAGUUCAAGAAUUUAUUUGUCCAGGAACCAAUAACGUCCAAAUUGUCAACAAGAUACUGUUUUGUGGGAUAAAAUUCAAGAAUGCUCAGAAGAAUAUUUUCAUAAAAAGAUAUUGGAUGAAGCGCAAAUAUCAAGGAUAUUCCACUAAUUUCAUGGAGUAUAGAAGUCAAAACUUUAACCAACUGAGUAUAAUAAAGAAUGAAAUAACAAAAGAAAUCACCAUGCACGUGGUACUUCGCAUAGACUGGUUAUUCCAACAGAAUAAUAAAUAACGGAACCAGGUUAGGCAAAAUUCGCACCGAUAGGAUGUUCCAACUGAAUAAUAAAGAAUGGAAUAACAACAGAAAUCACCAUGCAUACGGUACUUCGCAUAGACAGGUUAUUCCAACAGAAUACUAAAUAACAGAACCAGGUCCGGCGUAAAACGCACAGACAGGAUAUUCCAACACAAUAAUAAAGGCGGAACCAGGUCCGGCGUAAAAGUCACAGACAUGAUAUUCCAACAGAAUAAUAAAUACGGAACCAGGUCCGGCGUAAAACGCACAGACAGGAUAUUCCAACAGAAUAAUAAAGAAGAAAAUAACAGAAGAAUUUCAUCAAAUAUAGGGUAGCCCGCGUAUACAGGUUAUUCCAACAGAAUAAUAAAGAAUGGAAUAACAGAAGUUCUCUUCAUGAAUACAAAAGAAAUAAUACCCCUUACAGUUACAACAAAUAAUAUCCAUUACCGUAAAAGAAACUGGAUAUAGGAAAAUAAAGUUAGCAGACUUCUCUUCUUCUUUCUCUCUAUAAUUUUCUCUCUUUAAAGUUUCAGUGAAUUCGUAAGAAAUAAUGAAGGAAUGAACUUCUAUUUAUAGAAGAAUGGACUGCAUAGUAACUAAUUCAUGAACGGUCCAGAUUGAUUUACUUUUAAUCGAACGAUCCAUAAUUAAAGCAAAGUUUUUUAAAUAAAAUAUAAUAUAUUAUAUAUAUAACAUGUGCAAGAAAAGAAAAAUCACGGGUGGAAGACCCGUGAAUUCAUCUUACUCCCUCUGUCCAUUUUUUCAAACUUACAUAUAUAUAAUAUAAUAUAAUAUAAUAUACAUAAUAAUACUCCUCCCGUCCAUUUCAUCCAUACCCCCCCACCCAAGACUUUUCAUCACAUAUAUAAUAUAAAACAUAUAUAUAUAUAUAUAUAUAUAUAUAUAUAUAAUACUCCCACUAACUUUUCCUUCAACCAACCCGUGACAAACAUAACAUUUCACCCAAGACUUUCCUCCACAAAUGGGCCCCACCCGUGGCCCUCCUAAAAUAACUUCUAUCGAUUAUUUUGAAAACUGGAUAAAUAGGGAUCCAUAAAAUACGUCAAAAUUCACAACAAUUACUAUAACAAUAAUUGAACAAAACUGAGUAGUUCAACAGUAUUAACGGUAAAACUUCCGCCGUUACUUUCAAUAAAAUAUUUUUGUCGUUUUCUCAAUCCGACAAUAAUUCUGUUGUGGGGUCCACCAAUGAUUGUACCGUCGUACGGAUAUUCCCUGACAAAAAGAAUAUUUCCCGACCAAUCGAAUAUAAUAUGACAACUUGCAUACUUUGCAAAAUUUAUAAAUAUUACCCACAAUUAUAAUAUUAUAUCAAAUUAUUCCAUAAUAUUCAAAAAUGAUAUUUAUUGAAAAUUCAUUUUUAUUCAUAAAAGUUGGGGUCUUACAGUAGUUAAAUUCUUAUUUUUGACAUUUUUCAAAUAUUUCAUCCAUGCUUUUACAAUAGACAUCUUUCACUUUGAUGGCGUUUGACAUGCUUACAACAAGUAAUAGAAAUCAUUUUACAGUCAUUAUUUGCAUUAAUCAAGCAUGUUAGUCACAUAGUCAAGUCGUAGUUUCAAUGGUAAUGAAUAGAUUUCUUAUAUGUAAUACAUUUUUCAAAUAUCUCAUCCAUGCUUUUAUCAUCACCAUUUUUCUCUUUGAUGGGGUGUAGUAUGAUAAUAACAUGCAACCAUACAUAUGUAUAGUUACACCAUAUUAAGAACUUAGUUACAUGAAGUUUUCAUGCUUUGCUUAGAGACUUCUAGCAUACAAGGUGCUUUUGUAACUUAUUUUAUGCCUUUGAAAAUAUUCACAACUUGGUUGAGUAAUUUAUAGUUCUUAUAACACUUUUUAGCUUUAUUCUUGUAUACAAAAGUGUAUCAUUCUUGAUUUUCCUCUCUUUCCCAAAAUAGUCCUAACAUGAUCUAUUUGGGGCAAUCAAGCUAGCUUCUCUUGACCAUUUGGGCUUAGUCAGGCUUGGGGUAGCCUAGAUUGGCCUUGCAGUCCCAAUUGGCCUCUAUCUAUGGCAUGAUUUUAUUAAUACCCUCUUCUAUUAAGGUUUACUCUCACCUAUAUCACCAUUUGAUUCUGUUAUUUAUAGGUGAGGAUUUCUUUGAACUGCUACAUGUUUGCUACUUACUUGAUUUUGUUUUCUUUCCGUUUGUAGCUAACUACUCACUAGUAGCAGCUCUCUACUUUAGAUACUAAAUUUACUAGCUUUUAAUCUCCCACUAAACUUUUGGGUCAGCAGCUAGGGGACACAACUCCCUAAUAAUAGAGCAUAUUGGUUAAUUAUCUUAAGCAAUAUAGUUGUAUUGUCUGAAGGUCUAAAGGACAAGUUCAUUACCCAGCUCAGCUACUGUUGCUAUUAGUUGUUAUUUUUCAGUAAUAGAUUGACAGUCUUCAAACUUACCAUGUUUCUUCUUUAAUAACUUUUGUCUAGAAAAUUUCUAUUGCACUAUGUGCACCUUUGAAUACUUGCUUAAAUAAGUAACAAUUACACUCUAUUUAAUUCUGCAGUUUGCAUUUCAAAUCCAAACUACGUUGCCUAUAGCAGUUUAUUGAGGAUGUUUAUUAUUGCCUUAUAGCAACAACCCCCCCUAUUUUGUAAAAUUUCCCAAAUCACAAUUUUAGAUUAACCUAGACUGCCCAAAACCAUUUUAGUAAUGGCUCAUAGCUACAGUUUUAAGCCAACUGUUGCUGCUCCUAGGUAGCAGCUACAUUUGAUUUUGUUUCAUGCCUUGAACUCUCCCUAAUUUUGGUUUACUUGCACUUUAUUUGAAAGUUAUAUAACUAACAUUUUCAACUAAUAGGGAAACUUUAAAUCAAUAGUGAAAUUAUAAUCUAUAUGAUCCAACAUGUUAGCUAAACUGACCCUAGCGAGUCCAGAACAAUGGUCUACAGUCUUCUUUUGUUUUUCUAUGCCAGCAACCAAGCUUGGCUUGGCCCUGUAAGGCUGAUCACCUAAGCUUGGUGUGGCCCUGCUUGGCCUCACGGUCCCUAAGUCAAAUCCAAAGUUGUUAUAGCAGCUGCUAUCUUGGCAACUGCUGCCAUCAAGGAAUAACAGCCCUGCCACUCUUCUUUAAUUCUUAUACUUGCAAACCCCAGAGGAAUGUUUAUACACUAACUUCAACCAUACAUCCUAGUUAGCUCUUAUAAAGUUAUAUUAAUUUGUUAAACAGACUGCCCAAAACUGCUUUAGCAGUCAUUCACUUGUCGACUGUCGCUGCUUGUUUCUAUAACCAGUAGGCAGCCGUCCCAAGUCUUAUGCCACUAAAAGCUUUUACCUCUUAGAUUGAUAUGAAAUCUUGGCAUGUUAUAGGUGAUUCAAAUUCUGAUUAUUUUUAGCUACCAACUAGACUAGGAGAAAAGCUUGCUAGUGCCACUAAAGGUUAAUAUUUCUGCUGCUGCGACAUGCUUUUUGCUGCUGCUUGCAGCUAAUUGCUGCUGCCAAUGGGCAGCUGCGCCCCUUACUUCAGGCCAUUUUUGGCUUCACAUCAAUUAGCCUAUUCACAACCCACUUUCAUUGAUCAAUAAAUGGUACACCUGCCUUCUAAGCUAACUUAGCAACUGUGGCCCAAAUGUACUAUAUGUAAAUCAAAAUGGUGUGCUAACCUUCCUGCUCGGCUCUGCAGAGCAGUGCAGCACAACGCUGGGCGUUUACUGCCAAUGCCUGCAGUAGCCUCAGCUAGCUUUGCCCAAGCUCAAACAUUUUUUUUUCUUAAAAUUUGUUUUUCUUUCCAUUAAUAUGUCAAAACAUAUUUCCUAAUCUUAUAUAAGACGUCCAUAUAUAACCCCAACUUUAAUUCCCUCUAGAAUUCUCUUUUUAGCCAAAACAGUCCACUUGGGACUUUUAACAAAUAUAUGGUGUGCACAGUUUUAAUUUACUCUUUCCAUAGCCAUUUACUUGUGUUAUAAUCUCAUGUUAGCCUCCUUAUUACUCCACAGCCACCUAUCUCCUUGUGCCUAAAUUACAUACAUCUAGCAUGCUAGUGAAUAACCUUUACAACAAUAAAAAAGUAAAAUAAAUGCUAUGUGACUUUACCAGGCCAUUCGGCCAUAACAGUCCAUCACAACUUGCACGAAAUAGUGUUAAACAAGAUAGUUUAUUACUUGAUAACUUUUCCUUAAAAGUUUGAUAUCACAACUUUUACAGAAGAUUACAAUUACCCAUGACAAGUAUAAUUUACUAACACAUCUACAUUACAACAUUAAUAAUACUAACAAUAUAGCAGCCCCUUCUUUUUUCUUUUCAGGCCAUUCGGCCACUGUAGAUUACUAGCAGCAAGAAACUAAAGUGGAAAAGGAUUGGAAAUCUUACCUUAUUGAUUCGAAGGAAACAAAGAAGUUAUACUGCCCAGCUUCUCCACCUACUCUUAGCCGAACUCUUCCACCCUCUCUCUAUAUGACCGAAUUGCUAUAGCUAUUUUGUCUCUACUAAGUGAUGAAGCUAAACUAGUUAAUAAGCUUGGCCCCUUUUUUAUGGCUGAGCUUGGUUCCUUCUACUGUUAACUGCAUCACCUCCUAGUUGGCCCCUACACAGUCAUCAUUCCUAACCUAGCUUCACAGCCACCCUAGCAGACUCUACUUACCUGCUAAGCCUUAUCUUCUGCAAGCUUAUCUAACAUAUUCUUUGUCUGUUAUACAAACUAACCUACCUGUUAACUAGAACCAACUUAGAAACCAUAUGCUUACAGCCUGACUAUGUACUCACGUUAUGCCACUGCUUUUCUUAUUUAGUCUGAAACAGUUAGCUUGUUAUACACCACUGGGUUUACAGGAUUGGUUUAGGUAGGAGUUUGAUAAAUACUUAAUUUGGGCUUAAACCAAUCCUCAAUGGUGGCUGCCGAAAUUGGGCUAGAAAAUGAGUUAGAAUUGGCUUUAUAUUAGACCCAAUACCAUAACCCUUAUUCCUACAUUAAUUAAAGGAGACUUGCAAACAUACAAUUGCAAAAAUUUAUUAUGGCCUAAUAUUUUAAUAUGGACUCUUGUUAAAUUAACACAUGGACUUUUAUAUAUUAUUUUCUCUAGCAACAAUAGUUAACACAUAUAUCAUUAAAAUGUCUAUUCCAUGUAAUCUUAAAUAAUUCAUGGUGGUACAAUAUUUCUUUAUCCUUCAUAAUUUAAGAUGUUUAAUAACCUAUUAAAUAAAUAAUAGUUUUGUCACAAUGAGAAAUAACAUAAUUAAAAUAAAAUAAAAAAUAUACUCACAAAUUGACAUUAUAAUAAUUAAAUAUUACAUAGGAUUUUUUGAGUCAUUACAUACGCGAUAACUCUGCCGUUCUGCAAAAGCACACAGCCUUGUCCUUUAUGCGAUGCAUCAUUGUAUACCACAAAAUUCCCUGUAUCAUCAGGCAAUGACAACACAGGUGUUGAACUCAACCUUUUCAUUAAUUCUUGAAAACUUUCCUCCCACUUCUCUGUCCAAACAAACUUAACCGUUUUCUAGUUAAAUUCGUCAACGGAGUUGCGAUCUUGAAAAAGUCUUGAAUGAAACGCCUAUAGUAACCCGCCAAUCCUAAGAAACUCCUUACUUCUGACGGUAUCUUCGGCUGAUCCCAGUUUAUUACAGCUUCAACCUUUGAUGGAUCUACCGAAAUUUCGUCCUUAUCAAUAACGUGUCCGAGAAACUGUACACGUUCCAACCAAAACUCACAUUUUGAAAAUUUUGCGUACAACUUUUCUUUUUUCAACGUCUCUAACGUCAAUCUCAAGUGUUCAACAUGUUCCUCUUUGGUCUUGGAAUAUACCAAUAUAUCAUCGAAUCAAAUCCAUGAUAUAUUGGUAUGAACAGGGUGUUUAUAUCAUUUGUCUAAGAAUGGUUUAAACACCUUGUUCAUCAAAUCCAUGAACGCUGCAGGUGCAUUGGUUAAACCAAAAGACAUAACCAGAAACUCAUAAUGACCAUACCGAGUUCUGAACGCUAUUUUUGGUACAUCCUCUGGCCUCACCUUUAACUGAUGAUAACCACUCCUCAAGUCUAUCUUUGAGAAAUAGCUUGUUCCCUUCAGUUGAUCGAACAUGUCAUCGAUUCUAGGUAAUGGAUACUUAUCUUUAAUCGUGAUCUUAUUCAAUUCUCGAUAGCAAUGCAGAGCCGUAUCGAUCCAUCUUUCUUCUUAACAAACAACAUCGGCGCUCCCCAUGGCGACACACUCAGUUGAAUAUACUUUUUGUCGAGUAAUUCUUGCAAUUAUACCAUCAACUCCUUCAUCUCUACUGGGGCCAUUCUAUAUGGUGCAUUAGAUAUCGGGGUCGUUCCUGGUAAUAAGUCAAUUACGAACUCGAUUUGUAGAUCCGGCGGAAGACUCGGCAAAUCGUCUGGAAAUACGUCUGCAAAAUCUCUUAUGAUUGGUAUCUCUUCUAACUUCGCACUCUUCUUUUGUGUAUCGACUAUGUAGGCUAAGUAUCCUACACAUUCUUGUCUCAACAACUUCUUGGCUUGCAUCACCGUUAGACAACUUGCUUGUCGAGGUGACUUGCUGCCGUAGAACACAACCUUUGAUGGAGUCAUAAGGUUAACACAUUUCCUUUCGCAAUCAAUUACUGCUCCGUAAUUGAAUAACCAAUCCAUUCCCAGUAUAACAUCAAACUCACAAAGUCUAAUUGGUAUCAAAUCUACCAUCAUCUCGUGACCUUUUAUAACCACCCUACAAUUCCUAUAUAUAAAUCUAACAGGAAUCACUUCCUUAUUCGCAAUCUCUAUGCUUAAGGGAAAUUCUAAUUCUUCCUGAGGCAAAUCUAAAUUUUGAGCAAAUUCAUUGGAUAUAAAUGAAUAAGUAGCACCCGAAUCAAAUAGUACAUAAGCAUUAAUACCAUUAAUCUAAAUGAUACCUGAGACCACAUCCUUAGACUAUAUAACAUCCUGCACGGUCAUAUUAAAAGUCCUCGCAGUAGGUCGACUUUGUGACGCCCCCAAAAUUAGGUAUACAUCACCCAUCUUGGGUCGCCACUUACAUGGUACAAAAUACAAAUACAACUUAAUUAUACAACAGUCGUGUAAGCUACGACAAAAUAUAAACAAUGAGUUUUAACUCGAAUAUUGUCAUCUAGACAUUAUUCAAACACAAAUAAGUCCUCAAUACAUUUAUUGUCACACUAUUUAACAAAAUAGUGAGGACUACUAAUGCUAUCAUCUGGACUGUCACUCCGUUCCCCGACUCGUCCCCGUUACGUUCUCAAUUCCUGAAGAGAAUAGUGAAAGAAAGGGUGAGCUCAACUAGCCCAACAAGAAAUAUUAUGACUAAGAUAAUGCAGAAUAAAUUAUCAUUAGUCUCCAACAAUGUUAAACUGAUAAAAUACAAUAGACAUCAAGUUUAACUGCAGCGGAACAAGCAAUCCAUUAAAAGAGUCAAGUAGAGAAUAAAACCUACUAUNNNNNNNNNNNNNNNNNNNNNNNNNNNNNNNNNNNNNNNNNNNNNNNNNNNNNNNNNNNNNNNNNNNNNNNNNNNNNNNNNNNNNNNNNNNNNNNNNNNNNNNNNNNNNNNNNNNNNNNNNNNNNNNNNNNNNNNNNNNNNNNNNNNNNNNNNNNNNNNNNNNNNNNNNNNNNNNNNNNNNNNNNNNNNNNNNNNNNNNNNNNNNNNNNNNNNNNNNNNNNNNNNNNNNNNNNNNNNNNNNNNNNNNNNNNNNNNNNNNNNNNNNNNNAAUAAUUAAAACGGAACCAGGUCCGGCGUAUAGCACAGACAGGAUAUUCCAACAGAAUAACUGAAUAAUUAAAACGGAACCAGGUCCGGCGUAGCACAGACAGGAUAUUCUAACAGAAUAACCGAAUAAUUAAAACGGAACCAGGUCCGGCGUAUAGCACAGACAGGAUAUUCCAACAAAAUAACUGAAUAAUUAAAACGGAACCAGGUCCGACGUAUAGCACAGACAGGAUAUUCCAACAGAAUAAUAAAGACAGAAUAAUAGAAGAAUGUCACCAAGUAUAGGGUUGCCCGCGUAUACAGGUUAUUCCAACAGAAUAAUAAAGAAAUGGAAUAACAGAAGUUCUCUUCUUGAAUACAAAAGAAUAAUAUUCCUUACCAGAAAAGAACUUAAUAUAAGAGUAGUUUCAGUAGCAGAAUACUUUUCUUCUUUCUCUCUUACAAUUUAUCUCUCUAGAGUUUCAAUGAAUUUGUAAGAAAAUAAUGAAGGAAUGAGCUUCUAUUUAUAGAAAAAUGGAAUGCAUAGUAACUAAUUCAUGAACGGUCCAGAUUGAUUUACUUUUAAUCGGACGGUCCAUAAAAUAUAUUAUAUAUAUAUAAUAUAUAUAUAUAUAUAUAAUAACAAUAAUACUCCCUCCGUAUAAACCAAAAAAAUAAUUUGACAACUUUGAAAAAAACUCCCAACCUUUCAAUUUUCAAUACCGUGGGCCCCACAUGUUCCCCUCCCCCCAACAUGUCAAUAUCACAAGGGUCUCAUUAUAUGUAAAUAACUUUCUAUCAAUAAUAUUGAAAAAUAGGUAAAUGGGGGUCUAAAUAAUACGCCAAAUUUACAACAACUACCUCAUAAAAAUCCCUUCAAUAUUUUUAACAAUAUUUAUCAUCUUUAUUACAAUUCACAAUAUUAAUCGACCAGGUCGUUCCCAGGAUAGAGGGGGCUUUCCAAUAAGGAUUUCUCUCUAUUGGCGCGCAAUUAGAUUAUCUAACCUCUCCUUGACAGAACUUCUAGACAUCGUUAAUAUUGCAAAUAAUAACAUUAAUAACUUUGUCGUCUCAAUUAUUGAUUUAAUAAUAUAAAGAAUAUCAACAAUAAUUGAAUCAAAUAACGUGAGAUACUAUGCAACAAUUACUAUAACAAUAAUUGAAUAAAACUGAAUGACUUCUCACGUAAGCAUAAAUAAUCAAUACCGUGUGCUACUAUGCAACCACGCGUAUUACUGUACUUUUACUACUGAGUAGUUCAACAGUAUCAACGGUAAAACUUCCGUCGUUAUUUUCAUAAAAAUAUUUUUGUCGUUUUCUCAAUCCGACAAUAAUUCUGUUGUGGGGUCCACUAAUGAUUGCGCCGUUGUACGAAUAUUUCCUGCUAAAACGAAUAUUCCCCAACCAAUCGAAUAUAAUAUAGCAACUUGCAUACUUUGCAAAACUUAUAAAUACUACCUUCAACUAUAACAUUAUAUUAAAUUUAUUGCAUAAUAUUCAAAAAUGAUAAUUAUAGAAAAUUUAUCUUUAUUCAAAAAGUUGGGGUCUUACAACCCCCCCUUCUUAAGAAAUUUCGCCCUCGAAAUUAGGGUACGUACCUGGUAUAUCGAAGAGGUAAGGAUACCUUGAUUUCAUUUUAGAUUCUAACUCCCAGGUCAUUUCCUCAACAUCGUGGUUUCUCCACAAAACUUUGACUUGAGGUAUAACCUUGGAGCGUAAAAUAUGUUCCUUGUUAUCCAAGAUUUGAACAGGAACCUCUUUAUACGUUAAAUCUUCCGCUAUUUCGUCUGGUUCUAGCUCAAUAAUGUGGUUCGGGUCUUCCACAUAUUUACGUAACAUGGAUAUGUGAAAAAUGUUAUGAACACCAGACAUACUAGGCGGUAAAGCGAGUCUAUAGGCCACAGUUCCUACUCGAUUGAGGAUUAAAAAUGGGCCAAUGAAUCGAGGAUUGAGCUUUCUUAUCUUUCCAAAUCUCGUAACACCUUUCCAUGGAGCAACAUGUAACAACACAUGAUCUCCAAUAUCGAAUUCCACGUCCUUUCGAUGAAGAUCAGCAUAACUCUUUUGUCGAUCUUGUGAGGUUUUUAUACGUUGUCGAAUCGUUUGAAUCUUUUCCGUAGUCAUACGUACCAACUCCGGUCCCAACAACGUUGCUUCACCCACCUCAUCCCAGCAUACUGGAGAACAACACUUUCUCCCAUACAACGCCUCAAAUGGAGCCAUGCCAAUACUUGCUUGAUAACUAUUGUUAUAGGAAAACUCCACCAAUGAUAAGAACUUAUCCCAACUUCCAUUGAAGUUAAGGACACAGAGUCUUAAUAAAUCUUCUAGAGUUUGAAUAGUCCUCUCUGAUUGUCCGUCCGUCUGAGGAUGAUAUGCUGAACUAAAUCGUAAAUCUGUGCCCAUAGCUUUUUGCAAACUAACCCAAAAUCAUGAAGUGAAUCUUGGGUCUCGAUCAGAAACUAUGGAUACUGGCAUACCAUGCAGUCUUACAAUCUCGUUUAUGUACAUACGAGCAAGACGUUCAAGUGUAUAAGUUUCUCGUAUAGGUAAGAAAUGAGCAGACUUGGUCAAUCUAUCAACAAUGACCCAAAUUGCAUCUAUGCCUUGAGAAACCUUGGGAAGACCAGUAACGAAAUCCAUGGUAAUGUGCUCCCACUUCCAUUCUGGAAUUUCAAGUGGUUGCAAUGGACCUUUUGGUACUUGAUGCUCCGCCUUGACUCGUUGACAAGUUAGACACCUUGAGAUAAACACCGCUAUCUCUCUCUUCAUAUUGCUCCACCAAAAUGUAUGUCGAAGAUCAUGAUACAUUUUGGUACUCCCAGGAUGGAUUGCAAACGGUGUGUUGUGCGCCUCCAUCAUGAUUUUAUACUUUAAAUCAGGGUCGUUAGGAACACAAAGUCUGGAGUUGACUCGAAGUAUUCCUUCUUCAUCGAUUCUUGCUUCCGACAUAACACCUUCUUGCACUUUCUUCCUCAUACGCAUCAGCUCCAGGUUUGUAGUUUGAGCAGCUUUAACUUUAUCAAUUAAAGUCGAUUAUACUCGUAUGUUCGCCAUCAUCACAUGGGUCCCUGGAGUCUUUAACUCCAUCUCCAUCCUUUGCAAGUCAUACAAAAUGGGCCUUUGUGUUGACAAUAUUGCACUCGUACCCACAUAUGAUCUUCUACUCAAUGCGUCAGCUACCACGUUCGUUUUUCUAGGAUGGUAUUGGAUGGUAUGAUCAUAAUCUUUCAACAGUUCAAGCCAACGUCGUUGUCGCAUGUUGAGUUCCUUUUGAGUGAAGAAAUAUUUAAGGCUUUUAUGAUCCGUAAAGAUCUCCACUUUCUCCCCAUACAAGUAAUGCCUCCAAAUCUUUAGUGCGAAGANNNNNNNNNNNNNNNNNNNNNNNNNNNNNNNNNNNNNNNNNNNNNNNNNNNNNNNNNNNNNNNNNNNNNNNNNNNNNNNNNNNNNNNNNNNNNNNNNNNNNNNNNNNNNNNNNNNNNNNNNNNNNNNNNNNNNNNNNNNNNNNNNNNNNNNNNNNNNNNNNNNNNNNNNNNNNNNNNNNNNNNNNNNNNNNNNNNNNNNNNNNNNNNNNNNNNNNNNNNNNNNNNNNNNNNNNNNNNNNNNNNNNNNNNNNNNNNNNNNNNNNNNNNNNNNNNNNNNNNNNNNNNNNNNNNNNNNNNNNNNNNNNNNNNNNNNNNNNNNNNNNNNNNNNNNNNNNNNNNNNNNNNNNNNNNNNNNNNNNNNNNNNNNNNNNNNNNNNNNNNNNNNNNNNNNNNNNNNNNNNNNNNNNNNNNNNNNNNNNNNNNNNNNNNNNNNNNNNNNNNNNNNNNNNNNNNNNNNNNNNNNNNNNNNNNNNNNNNNNNNNNNNNNNNNNNNNNNNNNNNNNNNNNNNNNNNNNNNNNNNNNNNNNNNNNNNNNNNNNNNNNNNNNNNNNNNNNNNNNNNNNNNNNNNNNNNNNNNNNNNNNNNNNNNNNNNNNNNNNNNNNNNNNNNNNNNNNNNNNNNNNNNNNNNNNNNNNNNNNNNNNNNNNNNNNNNNNNNNNNNNNNNNNNNNNNNNNNNNNNNNNNNNNNNNNNNNNNNNNNNNNNNUCAAAAUCCAAUUUCUCCGGAGUCAAAUUUAAACGUUGAGCGCAAGUAGGAGAAAUGAAAGAGUGGGUAGAACCAGUAUCAAAUAAAGUAUAAACUUCGCUAGAGUUUAUGAUAAGCUUACCCGUGAUGACCUCGUUCGGGUUCUUUACUUUUUGGGAGGUUACAACAAAUGCUCUUCCUUGCACUACCGACUUUGACUUUUCUGGGAUGGCCUUUGGUGACUCUAUCCUAACUGAACUUGUCUUCGGUGCACGACAAAAUCGAGCCAGGUGACCUUCUCUUCCACAGUUGUAACAUGCUUUGGAUGGCAUCGCACAGUUGGGACUGAUGUGUCCCUCUCCUCCACACUUGAAACAUAUGAUAGGUGGUCGUUCCCCUUCCUUAACGACAGGUGCUGAUGUUGACGUCUUUCCAUCAUUGUUGAAUCUCCUCUUUUUGAAAUGUCCAUUUUUAUUGUUUUGGCCAUGAUUACCACCGAAGUGGUUACCAUUUCUGGCCUUUUGAUUUCCUCCACGCUUGUUGUCACCGCUUUGAUGACUGUUCUCACUGGUAUUAUCAUUUUAUUGGCUGCUCUCUUUUGGUUGGCUUAACUCGUUAUCACGCUCCAAUAACUGAGCCCUAUUAACAACAUCCGAAUACAAACACAGUUUAUGAGAGAUAAGAUAUUGACGUAUCUCAGGUUUCAAACCUCUUAAAAACAUUCGCGUCAUUCUCUCCUCAUUAUCAACCAAAUGGGACGCAAACUGGGACAACUCGGCAAACUUGGCUUUGUACUGCGAUACUGUCAUGUUGUUUUGUUCCAGCCUGAUGAACUCUACCUCUUUCAUGUGACGAAUACUUUUGGGAAAGUACUUGUCGUUGAACAAUUCUUUGAACUUCUCCCAAGUCAUCUUCAGUGCGGCAGGUUGAGUACGCUUUACAGAUUCCCACCAGUAAUCUGCCUCUCCUCGCAACAUGAAGGUGGCAAAGGAAAUCUUUUGUUCCUCGGAGCAUCCCAAGACAUCAAAUAUCUUGGUAAUCUACUUUAUCCAUGUCUCCGCCUUAAGUGGUUUUGGUUCUCCAAUAAACUUCGGUGGUCCCAGCUCCUUGAACUGUUUGGCGGUGACCAUCCGAGAGUUGCUAGUGUUUUCACCUGCAUUUUGGACAGGAGCCGCUCCUGCCUGAUGUUGUAUGAAUUGCAUGAAUCCUCGAAACAUUUUGUUGUUCAAUAUUUGGUCAGUGUUGUUGUUUGCAUGAGGAUUUUUGCCUUCCUGAUGCACAUUGUCCUGAUUGUUGAUCUGUGGAGACUCAACGGUCUCCUGUGCUCCAUUGAUGUUCUCAACGUUCUCGGAUGCCAUUUUCAAAUACUGCCACAAAACAAGAGUUAAUUAACACAUCACAUAUUAUCCCUAUACUCUAACCAACCAAUUAAAUAACAAAUAAACUUAGGUAGGUCAUACUAGCGAAGGAAUUCCCCGUCUCUCCCCUCCUAGUUCUUAUCUCACAUCUUAGCCAGGGAUCAUAUCCCUAACCUCUGAUACCAACUGUGACGCCCCCAAUAUUAGGUAUACAUCACCCAUCUUGGGUAGCCACUUAUAUGGUACAAAAUACAAAUACAACUUAAUUAUACAACAGUCGUGUAAGAUACGACAAAAUAUAAACAAUGAGUUUUAACUCGAAUAUUGUCAUCUAGACAGUAUUCAAACACAAAUAAGUCCUCAAUACAUUUAUUGUCACACUAUCUAACAGAAUAGUGAGGACUACUAAUGCUAUCAUCUGGACUGUCACUCCAUUCCCCGACUCAUCCCCGCUACGUUCUCAAUUCCUGAAGAGAACAGUGAAAGAAAGGGUGAGCUCGACUAGCCCAGUAAGAAAUAUUAUGACUGAGAUAAUGCAGAAUAAAUUAUCAUUAGUCUCCAACAAUGUUAAACUGAUAAAAUACAAUAGACAUCAAGUUUAACUGCAGCGGAACAAGCAAUCCAUUAAAAGAGUCAAGUAGAGAAUAAAAUCUACUAUCUUUUAUGAUUUAAAAGGUUUUUCAUCACUUUUAUCGCUGGGACUCAGCUUAAUAAAUAAUCCACAUCAUCGAAUCACCCCUGCACUACGGCCAAGGAUAUUCUUUAGUAUCACGACCACAAUUAUCCAUGCACUACGGGCCAAGAAUAUUUGUGUAUUCAUUAAUGGUCAUGAUCAUGCCAACAACUGUCCAUCAAUGCACUACGGGCCAAUGAGGACUUUUUCCACAUCAUUUGUAACAUUACGGUCAUGAUUACACCGAAUAAUCCCUGGUCAUAAUCAUACCAAGUCCAUCUAUGCACUACAGGCCACAGAUGACUUUCAACAAAAUAAUAACAUGAGGAUGAUGACAAUGAUAUAAGAAUUCAAUAAAAUAACUUUCAAGAAUUAAUUUGUCCAGGAAUCAAUAACGUCCAAAUUGUCAAUAAGAUAUUGUUUUGUGGUGUAAAUUAUUCAAGAAUGCUCAGAAGAAUAUUUUCAUGAAAAGAUAUUGGAUGAAGUGCAAAUAUCAAGGAUAUUCCAUUAAUUUCAUGGAGUAUAAAAGUCAAAAUUUUAACCAACUGAGUAUAAUAACGAAUGGAAUAACAAAAGAAAUCACCACGCAUGCGGUACUUCGCAUAGACAGGUUAUUCCAACAGAAUAAUAAUAACGGAACUAGGUCAGGUGAGAUUCACACCGACAGGAUGUUCCAACAGAAUAAUAAAUAAUUAAAACGGAACCAGGUUCGGCGUUUAGCACAGACAGGAUAUUCCAACAGAAUAACUGAAUAAUUAAAACGGAACCAGGUCUAGCGUAUAGCACAGACAGGAUAUUCCAAAAAAAUAACUAAAUAAUUAAAACGGAACCAGGUCCGGCGUAUAGCACAAACAGGAUAUUCAAACAAAAUAAUAAAGACAGAAAAAUUGAAGAAUGUCACCAAGUAUAGGGUUGCCCGCGUAUACAGGUUAUUCCAACAGAAUAAUAAAGAAAUGGAAUAACAGAAGUUCUCUUUUUGAAUACAAAAGAAUAAUAUUCCUUACCGUAAAAGAACUUAAUAUAAGAGUAGUUUCAGUAGUAGAAUAAUUUUCUUCUUUCUCUCUUACAGUUUAUCUCUCUAGAGUUUCAAUGAAUUCGUAAGAAAAUAAUGAAGGAAUGAGCUUCUAUUUAUAGAAAAAUGGAAUGCAUAGUAACUAACUGAUGAACGGUCCAGAUUGAUUUACUUUUAAUCGGACGGUCCAUAUUUAAAGUAAAAUCUUUUAAAUAAAAUAUAUUAUAUAUAUAUAUAUAUAUAUAAACAAUAAUACUCCCUCCGUAUAAACCAAAAAAAUAAUUUGACAACUUUGAAAAAAACUCCCAACCUUUCAAUUUUCAAUACCGUGGGCCCCACAUGUUCCCCUCCCCCAACAUGUCAAUAUCACAAGGGUCCCAUUAUAUUUAAAUAACUUUCUAUCAAUAAUGUUGAAAAAUAGGUAAAUGGGGGUCUAAAUAAUACGCCAAAUUUACAACAACUACCUCAUAAAAAUCUCUUCAAUAUUUUUAACAACAUUUAUCAUCUUUAUUAAAAUUCACAAUAUUAAUCGACCAGGUCGUUCCCAGGAUAGAGGGGAUUUUCCAAUAAGGAUUUCUCCCUAUUGGCGCGCAAUUAGAUUAUCUAACCUCUCCUUGACAGAACUUCUAGACAUCAUUAAUAUUGCAAAUAAUAACAUUAAUAACAUUGUCGUCUCAAUUAUUGAUUUAAUAAUAUAAAGAAUAUCAACAAUAAUUGAAUCAAAUAACGUGAGAUACUAUGCAACAAUUACUAUAACAAUAAUUGAAUAAAACUGAAUGACUUCUCAUGUAAGCAUCAAUAAUCAAUAUCGUGUGCUACUAUGCAACCACGCGUAUUACUGUACUUUUACUACCGAGUAGUUCAACAGUAUCAACCGUAAAACUUCCGCCGUUAUUUUCAUAAAAAUAUUUUUGUCGUUUUCUCAAUCCAACAAUAAUUCUGUUGUGGGUUCCACCAAUGAUUGCGUCGUUGUACGAAUAUUCCCCGCUAAAACGAAUAUUCUCCGACCAAUCGAAUAUAAUAUAGCAACUUGCAUACUUUACAAAACUUAUAAAUACUACCCACAACUAUAACAUUAUAUUAAAUUUAUUCCAUAAUAUUCAAAAAUGAUAAUUAUAGAAAAUUCAUCUUUAUUCAAAAAGUUGGGGUCUUACAGACUUGACUGUGCUGAUCCAGAGAUAGUUAAUGUACCACCAACGUUGUUGUUUCCUUUUCCACCACUUGCACUUCCUGCUGGCUUCUUAGGGCAAUCACGAGCCAUGUGAUCCUACGAACCGCAGGUAAAACAUGCUCCUUUAUUUGGACUAAAACAGUUCAGUGUAAUGUGUCCCUCCUGACCACAGUUGAAACACACCCGCUUUCCCUUCAAACAUACUCCAUUAUGAUUGUUUCCAUAAGUCGCAUAAGCUUCAAACUUUUUCUUCUGCUGAUUUCCUUGUUGUCCUCCCGCAGUCGAAUUUUCACUCCACUUCCUCUUCUGAUUGUUAUUUCCAACGUUACUUCCACCAGCCUUAUUUUCAUUCUCAGUCUUCCUCUUCUUAUAUUCUUGGUUGUACUUGGUCAAGGCAUCGCUUUCACCUUCUGCGAUAAUUGCCUUUUCCAGUAUAACCGCAAAUGUAUUUAACUGAAAUAUUGAAACCUUGCUAUACAGCCAGGGUUUCAAUCCAUGUUCGAACCUUAUCGCCUUUCGUUCAUCAGUAUUGACUUAAUAAGUGGCAAACCUUGCCAAUUCAUUAAACUUCGCAGCAUAUUCUGGCACCGUCAUAGUUCCUUGUUUCAGUUCCAGAAAUUGCAUUUCCAACUUAUUCUGAGAACUCGCUGGAAAGUACAUUUCAAAAAAUAUCUCCUUAAAUCUAUCCCACGCUAUCACUCCUUGUCCCCCACGAACCUUAUUUGCCUGCCACCAGUAGCUAGCUUCAGACUUCAGCAUGAACGUUGUGAACGCAGUCUUCUGAUCCUCGUUGACUCUAGAAACGUUGAACACUUUCUCCAUUUCCAUGAUCUAGGUUUGGGCUUCUACUGGAUUCAUAGACCCUUGAAACUCUGGCGGUCCAACCGCUUUGAAUUCCUUAAAGGUCAUGACUUGAGCUUGCGGUUGAUUCGCAAGUGCACCUGUUAACAAGGUUACCAACUGCUGAACCGGGUUAGCAUUGGCCUCGUUAUUAUUUUUAGUAGACCCCUCAGGAGGUGGUUGUUGACGUGUUUUUCUUCUUCUAGGAGGCAUUUUCUGUUAAGAUAUACGCUCAUUAGUUCAUUACUCAACUUCUUGAUUAUUUGAAGUUUAACUUAAAUAUUCUAAGAUUAAAGUUAUAACACAUAACAUUUCAAAUAAACUCUGGUAUUUUAUUCAUUCAUAAUGUUUUAAAACAUAUUAAAGAUAGCAUAACCGCUAUUAACAUUCACUUUCCUGAACUAAGCAAGUUUUAGGAUUACAUAUUCAUACUACCCCUUUAUUUAUCUCAAAAUAAGGGAUUCACAGUUUAUAUACUCACUUACUUAACCACGUAUUAUUAUUCUCAUUCUUUCUAUCUAGACAUAUUAAGAUGUCGUAAGGCUUCUCUAUGUUCUUCCUCCAUAAUUCGAUACAUCGUUCUACGAUCCAUCAUGAACUACAACGAAUCUUCAAAUUGAGGUGGAUAAUAAAAGACUCGAUCCUGGGCCCUAUCAAUUGCAGAAUUAAAGGCAUAAUCCAUCCCAUUCAUCUUGGCCUUCUUCACUUGAACUUUAUCCUCGGCACGGUCUGCACGUUAAGUCACCUUUAUCCAAGCGUCCUCUGCUCUCGUACGUUUAGUUGAAUCCUCUUUCAAGUCAUCUUUUAACUUCUCCACAUCAGUCUUCAUCUUCUUGUUCACUGCCAACAAAUCUUCAUGCUGACCCUUGGUAUGAAAUAGGUCCCACUCCGUGUUUCCAAGUCUUGAGUCGAGUUCUUGAAUCUCCGCAUCCUUCUGCUCUAUCGUAGCGUGAUGCAUCUCAACCAACUCCUUCAGCUCCUGAACUUUGUCUUGUAAUUCUAUGUUACGAUCGUACAGAGCAUCAUACAUCUCAGCUGAUAUGGAGCUUUGUGGAAACGCCACAGGAUCCUCUUCCUCAUCAUCCAACUCUAUCUCUUCAGAACUAUCCUCCUCGGGAUCGGUCACAGGUUCAUCCUCCUGGAUCAACUGUUCACGCAUAACAUGAAUAUCCCGGGGUUCCUCAUCUCUAGGUAUCUGAGGUAUUACUUCCCUAGCUGGAAUGGAUCCUCCUUCAUUAGACAUCCUAACAACAAAAUAUUUUAAGUUUACUUAACAUUUUUCGAUACUCGCGAGCACAUAAGUUAUUACACAUAGCACAUAAUGUCUUUUAUUAUUUAUCUUCAAUGGAUAGCUUAAUCCAUUCAUUAAAACUCGAUAAGAGUUAGACACCUCUAUAUUUUCUGUCUUCUUAAAGGUUACUUCCUAAGGUUUCCCCACCUAAGGUUCAUAACCUAAAGCUCUGAUACCAACAUGUGACACCCCCAAAUCUGGGUAUUCCUUUUCCACAGGAUUUGGUGCUCACUAUCCAAAACCAUUACAUCUAACUACCCAUAACAAAGGAUAAAGACAUAAUUUAAAUAACUUAACAAUAAUCUUCCCAUUAAAGGGUUACAUCGUCAUAAAACAAUCCCAAAUAAUUUAAUCUUAAAUUAUUACAUAAGUUUGCGGAAUACAUCAUAAAAUAAAACAAGUCUUAUAACAUAAACAUUUAAAUAAACUUUCAUAAAUCUUCAACACUUGGACAUCUUUCCCUUUUCUUUGCUAGUAGAUGGCUCAUCGACUUUCUCAACUUUAGCUGCAGUGUUAAAUGCAAGAGUGAGCAAACAAUUGCUCACUGAUAUAGAGAGUAGUAAUGAUAACAACAUAAGAUUAAACAACGAAUGCUGAACAAUAAUGAAAUUGUUCUAUGAAUAAAAAAUAGAAAACAAGUUCAAAUUUAAUAUCUGAGGGUCUUAAGACCACGAACUAUGUCCCCGAUAUUUAGGUAUUAUUACCCAACCUUAACAGUCAUUUAGACUAUACAAACCCUUCUUAACGUACUUAGGGGGAUCAGCCCUUUGUACCAUGUAUUGUGCACAAACAUCUAAACGUUACACGUACAAAAUCCCCUAUGUUAGGGUUGUUCGUCUCAGCUUGAAUUUAGAAUUUCUGCACUAAAGAGAGUUUAGCUCGGAACUAACUUAUCAAUGGUUCUAGAAUUUUAGAACACUACUCAAUUAUAGACUAAUUCAAUCAAUAAGAGUUUGCUUGCUACUUGAAGAUUUAAUAUAACAAAAAUAGAAUUGAACAAGGCUAUCAAAGUCAAAGAUCGAAUAUCAACAAUAUACAGUUGAGCACUACAACAAAAAAGCUUAUCAGCGACCGCCUAUCAGCGACCGCCUGUGGUCGCUGAUAUCUAUCUGCGACCGUCUACUCGAGUAAACAUGAUAUACAUGCAAAGUACUAUAUCCAAAAGAGUUAGAAUAAUCUCCUUUGAAUCAAUGUAUUAGAACAAUAUAUUCUUUUGAAUAACAAUAUCAAGAUUUAGGAAAGUGAAACUCGCUCAAUGUAACAAACUAGAUUACAAGAGAUUGUACGAUACACGAGAUAGAAUCAAUAGGCUUGCUGAACUUUAAUGUAAAAUUUAGAAUUAGAAAGCUUGUUUGACAUAAAAGAUAACAUAGCUAUGAAACUUGCAUUCAUUAAUAAAAGAAUGAAGUUAGAAAACUUGCUCAAUAAAAGUUUAGGAUAAGAAACUUGCCUUGUAUGUAAGCUACACAAGUGUAAUAAUGUUCGCCAAUUACCCUACACAUAUCAUUGGAAUCGCAAUAACAAUUAGUUGUAUUAUUAUUAGCUUUAAGGGUUUAAACCACCAUUUAGGUCAUAACCUUAACUUAACAUCUAACCAUGUUGGUUAACACCUUUAACAAAUCUAAAAUCCCUCUAUAAACUAACAUAAACUUUAUCAUUCAUUUCUUACUUUCAUAAACAUUAUUUUUUUAUUCAUUACAUAACUUAAUUAAAUAAUCACUUAAAAUCUUCAUACUUUAUAUUACAUCACGUUGAAAUAUGUUAUUGUAGUUCACGUUAACAUGUAUGCCAAACUAGAUUAAGUCCAUUAAUCAUAACCUAUAAAUAAGCAGAAGUCAUUGCCUAGGCUCAGGGCACGGCGCAGCUGCGCUGUCCCAAGCCUUGGCAUCGGCACAGCUGCGCCGUACACGGACAGGAACUGCAGCAGCAGCUCUGUUACACAGCACACACCAAAACUCAAUCAAAUUUCACAGAAAUCAUAAAACUCAACAUCUAAAACUUUGUGAUAACAUUAAUAAUGAUGUUAUUCAUCAUUCUCACUACCUAAACAUUAUAUAUAUUAAAUUUUAAAAGAUCAAAACCCCAAUUUUUCCAAUUUCAUCAUUUUUUUACGCUUUUAGCGAAUUCGAUUGCUACGAAUUCAUUUCUUAAUCAAUUGACACAAUUCAAACUACGUUGUUUUCGUUUCUUAACAUACUAACACAUUCUAACAUCAAAUUACAGAUUAUAGCAAGUAUUGAUCAUGAAAUUUCGUACUUUCUAAAGCCAUUUUUCAAAAAUAAACACUAUUAUUAUAACUUCUUCCUUACAAAGCCAAUUCUCACAUGUUUGGAAAUCAAAUAGCACUCACAUAUAAUGAUUAACAGAUUAUAAACCAUAUAUACAUGUAUUUGUAUUAAUCCAUCGUAAUUAUCAAUAGAAAUUUCAAACAUAAAAGUUAGAAUUAGAGUUAUACCUUACUCCUUUGAUUGUUUGCUAGCAAAAAGAUGGUGACUAGGUUUAGAAAUCCCUCUCCUUGACAAUCAUAAAGAAUUCAAACUCACUGUGUUUUCCUCUCUUGCUCUCUCUCCAAGCUCUCUGUUCUUCACUAAUAUCUAGCCUUAGGGAAAGGAAUAAUACGCGUAAAAAAAUAUACUAACUCCCACUUUCCCCACUAAUGUCAGGUCACAAACCCAAAAGUUUGUGUCAGUUAGAAAUAAGCCAAAGGCCACAGGGCCUUGUUUGGCUAACCACAAUUUCUCCUCUACUAGAUUAUUUUUAUAUUAUUUUUAUUAUAUAGUUUUUAUUUGUCACACUUGCCACCAAUUUAAAUAGCUUACAAUAAUAAUUAUAAUAAUUAUAAUUUUUAUUAUAAUUAUUCUGAUGAUUAAUAAAUAAUUAUAUAUAUAUAAUUUAAUUAAUAAAUUUGACUUAAACAUUACUUUAUUUAAUUUACCUAUUUUCUUUAAUAUAAAAAAAAAUUUAAUUUAAUUUAAUUAUUUCAUUAAAUUAAAUCUUUCAAAUAAAAAAUAGCAUUAUUCAAUUUAAUUAACAUUAAUCAAUUUAGUCACUAAAUUAAUGCACCACAAUUCAUCAAUUAUUUAUUUUUCUCAAUAAAUAAAUUAUUUAAAAUAUUUAUUUAAUUCAAUAAAUAUUUAAAUUAAAUUACAAAUUUCUCGAUCGUUACACUAUUCAUUCGGUUAGUAUUUACCCGGGGUACUAUUCAUGACAAAAAUUGAUUUCUUUUAUGUCCAAAUUAUUUUUGAUACAAUAUUAUUCUUGAAUUUUACUCCACAAUUGGUGAUCAUGUUGACAAUUUAGAUAUUCUUAAACUCUGGAUAAAUUUAAUUAUAAAUAUUUAAUAUUUAUCCUUUAUCUCGUUUGAUUGAUUCUUUAUAUCAUUGUCAUGAUCCUCAUGCUUAUAUUGUGAUAAAAGUCAUCUUUGGCCCGUAGUGCAUAGAUGGACUAUUGGUUAUUGGUUUUACAGUUGUUUUUCUUUGGCCCGUAGUGCAAAGAAGAACUGUUGAUUGAUAUCUUUGGUCGUAGUGCAAAGAUGAAUUGUUGAUUGAUAGCUUUGGCUCGUAGUGCAAAGUUGGACAGGUGUAUGACAUGAUCAUGACCACUGGUGAUACUAACGAAUAUCCUUGGCCGUAGUGUAUGGAUAAUUCAAUGAUGUGAUUGGCAGGAUCAUGACCAUUAGUUAACAGUUGAAUGUCUUCGGCCGUAGUGCACUGACAGACAAUUGAUUGGUAUGAUCAUUGUUAUUACACUUGAAUGUCUUAGCCUUUGGGGUAAGGAUAUUGAGUAAACGUUCUAUUAAGCCUUUGUGGCAAGGAGAAACUGUUGAUUCACAUUAUUAUAAACAUGAAUUGUGAAUUUAUCUAAAAUCUUUGGUGGUUCAGGUGAAGACAGGUGAUGAAAUUUCUCUUUGUCUUGGUAUAAUAAAGAACUGUUAAUGGGUAUUAUAGGGAUAAAAUUGAUGAUAAACUUUUAAAUCAUAGAAGAUAGUAGAUAUCAUGCUCUACUUGACUCUUCUAAUAGAUUGCUUAUUCCACUGCAGUUGUUGAUCUAAAACUUGUUGUCUAUUAUAUUCUAGCAGUUGUUAUACUGUUGAAGGCUAAUGAUAAUUUAUUCUGCAUUAUCUUAGUCAUAAUAUUUCUUACUGGGCUAGUUGAGCUCACCCUUUUCUUUCAUUAUUCUCUUCAGAAAAUGAGAAUAUAGCUGGGACGAGUCGGGGAAUGGAGUGAUGAUCCAAGAUAAGUGGCUUUAGUAGUCUUCACUAUUCUGUGAAAUAGUGUGAUAAUAAUUGUAAUGAGGACUCCAUUGAGUUUGGAUAUUGUCUAGAAGACAAUAUUUGUGUUAAAACUCUCAGCUUAUAUUUUCUCGUAUUCUACACGACAGUUGUAUAAUUAAGUAGUAUUUGUAUUCUGUACCAUGUAUCUGGCGACCCAAGAUGGGUGAUGUAUACAUAUUUUGGGGGCGUCACAUCAACAACCACCACAAAUAUAAAACCUUUGAAGCCAAGCCUGUGAGACCCCAAAUUUUAUGAAUAAAGAUUUAAAUUUCUCGAAAUAUUUUUUUUGAAUAUUACGGUGUGGAUUUGAUAUAAUGUUAUAGUUGUGGGUAAUAUUUAUAAAUUUUACAAAGUAAACAAGUUGUUACAUAAUAUUCGUUUGGUCGGGGAAUAUUCUUUUUGUUGGGGAAUAUCCGUACGAUGGUGCAAUCAUUGGUGGACCCCACAACGGAAGUAUUGUCGUAGUAAGAAAAUGACAAAAUUAUCUUUUUAUAAAAAUAAUGGCGAAAGUGUUACCGUUAAAACUAUUGAACUACUCCGUAGUAAAAGUACAGUAAUACGUGUGGUUGCAUAGUAGCACACGAUAUUGAUUAUUAAUACUUACGUAAGAAGUCACUCAGUUAUACUUAAUUAUUGUUAUAGUAAUUGCUGCAUCUAUCUCUCAUAUUAUUGAUUCAAUUAUUGUCACAGUAUCAUCUGCAUAAUAUGUUAUAUUAUUAAAUCAAUAAUUGAGACGACAAAGUUAUUUAUAUUAUUAUUUGCAAUAUUGAGAAUGUCUAGAAGUUCUAUCAAGGAGAGGUUAGAUAAUCUAAUUGCGCGCCAAUAGGGAGAAAUCCUUAUCGGAAAGCCCCCUCUUUCUUGGAAACUACCUGGUUGUUAAAUAUUGUGAGUUAUAAUAUUAAUGAUGUAUAAGUUUGUGUUGAUUAAAGAUGAAAUUGAUAGUUCCAUUGUGUUGGGAUUAUUAGUGUUAGUGGAAAUCGACAUUUAUUUCGAUAAUAAUUGAUGUUUGGAAGUUAUAUUGACCAAUCGGGUAAUUAACCGGAUAAAUGAGCAAUUAAUUGCUAUUAAUUCACAUGCUUAUAACUAUGUGUUCACAUGUGUGUACUAUUGAUUCACAUGAUUUACUAUUAGGGGAGUUGGUGCAAGAUUGAUAAUACUUGCAUGACUAAAUUAAAAAUAGAGGUAUAGAUGAAGGUACUAUACUGUAAUUAUUUUUUUCACAUGUUUAGAACUAUUGAGUCACAUGAUUUACUAUUGAUUCACAUGAUUUACUAUUAGGGGAGGUGGUGCAAGUUUGAUAAUACUUGCAGGACUAAAUUAAAAAUGAAGAAAAAGAGGAAGGUAUUAUACUGUAAUAUUUCGAGCCCCAAAACGUGCAAUUAUCGAAACUAUAUUUUCCUAUAAAUAGAAGCUCAUUCUUCCUUCAUUUCUCACCAAUUCACUAAAGCUUUAGAGCAAUUAUUAUAGAGAGAAAUUAUAGAGAGAAAGAAGAAGAGAAGUCUGCUACCUCACUAUUUUAGUAUGCAGUUUCUUCUAAGGUAAGGGUAUUAUUUCUUUCGUAUUCAUGAAGAGAGUUAUUUCUUUCAAUACUCGUAAGGGUUGUUAUUCCAUUCUUUAUUAUUCUGUUGGAAUAACCUGUCUGUGCGGACUACACACGCCUGGUGAAUUCUUUUGUUAUUACAUUCUUUAUUAUUCUGUUGGAAUAACCUGUCUGUGCGGACUACGCACGCAUGGUGAAUUUUUUUUUAUUCUAUUCUUUAUUAUUCUGUUGGAAUAACCUGUCUACGCAGACUACCGCAUGCAUGGUGAAUGACCCUUCGUAUUCAUUCUUUAUUAAAUUAUGUAAAUGAUCUGUCUACGUAGAUUACCGCAUGACGGGUAAAAAUCCAUUUGCAGUUUCAUAUAUUCUAUUAUACUCAUAUGCGAUAUCAUUUCUUUUGUACUCGUCAUAUAAUAUCAUUUUCUUUGGAAUUUUUCUUUUACGAGUUACUAUUGACAGAUUACUAUUCACCUGAUUAUUAUUCACUCUAGUAUUAUUCACUCAGGUAUUCGGGGCACUUUUCGUGUCAGAGUAUUAUUCACGGGUUACUAUUCACCCGAUUACUAUUCACUCUAGUAUUAUUCACUCGGAUAUUUGGGACACUUUUCGUGUCGAGGUACUAUUCACGGAGUACUAUUCCUGAAGUACUAUUCAUGAAAUACUAUUCACCCAAAAAAUAUAUUUCUUUUCAGUCCAAAUUAUUUUUGGGUACAAUAUUAUUCUUGAAUUUUACUCCACAAAACAAUAUCAUGUUGACAAAUUGGACGUUAUUGAUUCUUGGAUAAAUUAAAUUAUAAAUCUUUAAAAUUUAUCCUUGAACUUUUUUUAUUGAAUUAUUAUGUCAUUGUCAUCAUCCUCAUGCUUAUAUUGUGAUGAAAGUCAUCUUUGGCUUACGUGCAUAGAUGGACUUGGUAUGAUUAUGACCAGGGAUUAUUCGGUAUAAUCAUGACCGUAAUGUGACGAAUGAUAUGGUGAAAGUCCUCAUUGGCCUGUAGUUCAUUGAUGGACAGUUGUUGGUAUGAUUAUGACCAGGGAUUAUUUGGUAUAAUCAUGAACAUUGAUGAUUACAUGAGUAUCAUUGGCCGAGAUGCAGGGAUGAUUCGAUUUUAUUUAUUAAGUUGAGUCUCAGCGAUAAAGUUGAUGAAAAACUUUUUAAAUCAUAGAAGAUAGUAGAUUUUAUGCUCUACUUGACUCUUCUAAUGGCUUGCUUAUUCCGCUGCAGUUGUUGAUCUAAAACUUGUUGUCUAUUAUAUUCUGUCAGUUGUUAUACUAUUGAAGGCUAAGGAUAAUUUAUUCUGCAUUAUCUUAGUCAUAAUAUUUCUUACUGGGCUAGUUGAGCUCACCCUUUCUUUCACUGUUCUCCUCAAGAAAUGAGAAUAUAGCUGGGACGAUUCGGGGAACGGAUUGACGGUCCAGAUGGUUGUUUUAGUUGUCCUCACUAUUCUGUGAAAUAAUAUGAUAAUAAUUGUAAUGAGGACUCCAUUGGGAGUGGAUAUUGUCUAGAAGGCAAUAUUCUUGUUUAAACUCUCAGUUAUGUUUUGUCGUAUAUUACCCGACAGUUGUAUAAUUAAGUUUGUAUUUGAUUUAUGUACCAUAUAGUUGGCGACUCAAGAUGGGUGAUGUAUACCUGUUUUUGGGGUGUCAAAGUUGGUAUCAAAGCUUAGGGAUAUGAUCUCUGGCUGAGAUAUGAGACAAGAACUAGGAGGGGAGAGACUGGGAAUUCCUUCGCUAGUAUAUAUGACCUACCUAAGUUUAUUUGGUAUUUAAUUGGUCGAUCAGAGUAUAGGAAUAAUAUGUGAUAUGUCAAUUAACCCUUGUUUUGUGACAGUGUUUGAAAAUAGCAUCUAAAAAUGUUGAGAUCAGCAAUGAAGCACAUGAGACCGUUGAGUCACCAACGAUUAAUACCUAGGAUAAUGUGCAACAGGAAGAUAAUAAUCCUCAGGUAAAUAACAACACCGAUUAGAUGAUGAACGAUGGGAUGUUCAGAGGCUUUAUGCAAUUCAUGCAACAUCAGACGAGAGAGACUCUUGUUCAAAAUGCAGGUGGAAACACUGUCAACUCUCGGAUGGUCACCGCUAAGCAGUUUAAGGAGUUGGGACCACCAGAGUUUUUGAGAGAGCCAGAACCACUUAAGGCGGAGACGUGGAUAAACAGAUCACCAAGAUAUUUGAUGUCUUGGAAUGCUCAGAGGAGCAAAAGGUUCCCUUUGCCACCUUCAUGUUGCGAGGAGAGGCAGAUUACUAGUGGGAAUCAGUAAAACGUACUCAGCCUGCCGCACUGAAGAUGUCUUGGGAGAUGUUCCAAGAACUGUUCAACAACAAGUACUUUCCUGAAAGUAUUCGUCAUGUGAAAGAGGUAGAGUUCAUCAAGCUUGAGUAAAACAAUAUGACCGUGGCGCAGUACGAAGCUAAGUUUGCCGAGUUAUCUCAGUUUGCGUCCCACUUGGUUGAUAAUGAAGAGAGAAUGACGCGGAUGUUUCUAAGAGGUUUGAAACCCGAGAUACGUCAAUAUCUAAUUUCUCACAAACUGUGUUUGUAUUCAGAUGUUAUGAAUAGGGCUCAAUUAUUGGAGUGUGAUAAUGAGUCAGCACAACCAAAAGGCAACGACCAACAACACGAUAAUAAUCAUACCGGUGGCAACGGCCAUCGGAACAAUGAUAACCAUCGUGGGGGAAAUUAUUAUGCCAAGAAUGGUAACCACUUCGGUGGUAAUCAUGGCCAAGUUAAUAGAAGCGGAAAUUUCAAGAAGAGAAGGUUCAAUAAUGAUGGAAAGACGUCAUCACCAGCACCCGUUGUUAAGGAAGGAGAACGACCGCCGGUCGUAUGUUACAAAUGCGGAGGGGAGGGACACAUAAGUCCAAACUAUUCACAGCCUUCCAAGGUAUGUUUUAGUUGUGGAAAAGAUGGUCACAUAGCUCGAUUUUUUUCUUGUAGCGAAAUCAAGUCCAGUUGGGACAGUGGCACCAAAGGCGGAUACGGACAAAACAAAGUCGGUGGUUUCAGGAAGAGCGGUUUUUAUGACUUCUCAAAAAGUGAGUAACCCGAACGAAGUUAACACGGGUUAGUUAAUUAUAAAUUCUUGCGAAGUCUAUACCUUAUUAGAUAUCGAUUCUACCCAUUCUUUUAUUUCUCUUGCUUGCGCUCAGCGUUUAAAUUUGACUCCAGAGAAAUUAGACUUUGACUUAUUGGUUGAAACUCUGUUAGGAGAAACCUUCGUUACACCCACUGUUUAUAAAUCUUGUUUUAUUCAAAUCGACACUUUCACGUUACCUGUCGAUCUUAUCUCUUUGAAAAUACUUGCCUUUGAUGUGAUUUUAGGAAUCGAUUGGUUAACUACUCAUCAUGCCAAAAUUGAUUAUUUUUGUAAGGUUGUUAGCUUUCAUAUUCCUAACCAACUUGUUAUGCGAAUUCAAGCAACCAAACCACUAAAGUCAAUCACUGUCAUAUCAAGCCAUAAGUAAAGAGCCCCGAGCCUUUCGUUGGUGACUUCCUUGUGUGGAAUGCAUCGAAGCCGAACUUUCUGUAGGGGACGUCGUGAAUAACAGUGGCAAGUUGAUAGGUAUCAAUGUGACGUGUUAUCCAAGUCUUGGGAUGAGAGUCACAGUUUUGAAUGAUAUUUCUAUUGUUAAUAAAUUUCCUAGCGUAUUCUUGAAGACUUCUUAGCCUACCCCUAGAGCGUGAAAUCGAAUUUUUUAUUGACCCCAAUACAAAACUCAUUUAUAAAACCCUCAAAUAUUUUCUUUACCCAAAACGAACGUAUAAUGUGCCAAUGACGUUGGCUCGAGCUGUUGAAGGUUACGACUAUACCAUUAAAUUCCAUCGUGGGAAAAGCGAACGUGGUAGCUGACACAUUAAGUAGAAGAUCGUAUGCGUUUACGAAGUGUGACGUUGUUAACACAAAAACCCAUUUCGUAUAACUUAUAAAUAAUGAAGAUGGAGUUAAUGACUCUAGAGACCCACGUGAAGAUAACGAAUAUACGAGUAAAAUCGACUUUAAUCGAUAAAGUUAAAGCCGCUCAAACUACACACUCGGAGCUAGUGAAUACGAAGAAGAAGGUUCAAGAAGGCGUUAUUCUAGAAGCAAGAGUCGAUGAAGAGAGAAAAUCUCAAUCCUCGAUUUAAUUGGGCCAUUUGAAAUCCUCGAUGGAGUAGGAACUGUGGCCUAUAGACUUGUUUUACCGCCAAGUAUGUCGCGUGUUCAUAACAUUUUUCAUGUAUCGAUGUUACGUAAAUAUGUGGACGACCCGAACCACAUUAUUAAAUUGGAACUAGACGAGAUAGCAGAAGAUUUAACAUAUGAGGAUAUACGUGUUAAAAUCUUGGAUAAGAAGGAUCGUAUUCGACACUCAAAUUUUAUACCUCAAGAGUUAGAAUCUGAAAUAAAGUCAAGGUAUCCUUAUCUCUUCGGCAUACCAGGUACGUACUUAAAUUUUGAGGGCGAAAUUUCAUAAGAAGGGAAGAUUGUGAGAUCCCAAAUUUUAUGAAUAAAGAUUUAAAUUUCUUGAAAUAUAUUUUUUGAAUAUUACGGUGUGGAUUUGAUAUAAUGUUAUAGUUGUGGGUAAUAUUUAUAAAUUUUGCAAAGUAAGCAAGUUGUUAUAUAAUAUUCGUUUGGUCGGGGAAUAUUCUUUUUGUCGGGGAAUAUCCGAACGACGACACGAUUAUUGGUGGACCCCACAACGGAAGUAUUGUCGUAGUAAGAUAAUGACAAAAUUAUCUUUUUAUAAAAAUAACGGCGAAAGUGUUACCGUUAAAACUGUUGAACUACUCGGUAGUAAAAGUAUAGUAAUACGCGAGGUUGUAUAGUAGCACACGGUAUUGAUUAUUGAUGCUUACGUAAGAAGUUACUCAGUUAUACUCAAUUAUUGCUACAGUAAUUGUUGCAUCAUAUCUCUCAUAUUAUUGAUUCAAUUAUUGUCACAGUAUCAUCUGCAUAAUAUGUUAUAUUAUUAAAUCAAUAAUUGAGAUGACAAAGUUAUUCAUAUUAUUAUUUGCAAUAUUGACAAUGUCUAGAAGUUCUAUCAAUGAGAGGUUAGAUAAUCUAAUUGUGCGCCAAUAGGGAGAAAUCCUUAUCGGAAAGCCCCCUCUUUCCUGGGAACGACCUGGUUGUUAAAUAUUAUGAGUUAUAAUACUACUGAUGAAUAAGUUUGUGUUGAUUAAAGAUGAAAUUAAUAGUUCCAUUGUGUUGAGAUUAUUAGUGUUAGUGGAAAUUGACAUUUAUUUUGAUAAUAAUUGAUGUCUGGAAGUUAUAUUGACCAAUCGGGUAAUUAACCGGAUAAAUGAGUAAUUAAUUGCUAUUAACUCACAUGCUUAUAACUAUGUGUUCACAUGUGUGUACUAUUGAUUCACAUAAUUUACUAUUAGGGGAGUUGCUACAAGAUUGAUAAUACUUGCAUGACUAAAUUAAAAAUGGAGGUAUAGAUGAAGGUACUAUACUAUAAUUAAUUUUUUCACAUGUUUAGAACUUUUAAGUCACAUGAUUUACUAUUGAUUCACAUGAUUUACUAUUAGGGGAGGUGGUGCAAGUUUGAUAAUACUUGCAAUUAAAAAUGAAGAAAAAGAGGAAGGUAUUAUACUGUAAUAUUUUGAGCCCCAAAACGUAUAAUUAUUGAAACUAUAUUUUUCUAUAAAUAGAAGCUCAUUCUUCUUUCAUUAUCACCAAUUCACUAAGCUAUAGAGCAAUUAUUAUAGGGAGAAAUUAUAGAGAGAAAGAAGAAGAUAAGUCUACUACUUCACUAUUCCAGUAUCCAGUUUCUUCUAAGGUAAUGGGUAUUAUUUCUUUCGUAUUCAUGAAGAGAGUUAUUUCUUUCAAUACUCGUAAGGGUUGUUAUUCCAUUCUUUAUUAUUCUGUUGGAAUAACCUGUCUGUGCGGACUACACACGCCUGGUGAAUUCUUUUGUUAUUAUAUUCUUUAUUAUUCUGUUGGAAUAACUUGUCUGUGCGGACUACGCACGCCUGAUGAAUUCUUCUAUUAUUCCAUUCUUUACUAUUCUGUUGGAAUAACCUGUCUACGCGGACUACCACAUGAUUGGUGAAUUCUUCUGUUAUUCCAUUCUUUAUUAUUCUGUUGGAAUAACCUGUCUACGCGGACUACCGCAUGCAUGGUGAAUGACCCUUCGUAUUCAUUCUUUAUUAAAUUAUAGAAAUGAUCUGUCUACGUAGAUUACCGCAUGGCGGGUGAAAAUCUAUUUGCAGUUUCGUAUAUUCUAUUAUACUCGUAUGAGAUAUCAUUUCUUUUGUAUUUGUCAUGGAAUAUCAUUUUUUUUGGUAUUUUUCUUUUACGAGUUACUAUUCACGGGUUAGUAUUCACCUGGUUACUAUUCACUGUAGUAUUGUUCACUCGGGUAUUCGGGACACUUUUUGUGUCGGAGUACUAUUCAUGGGUUAUACUAUUCACGGGUUACUAUUCACCCGAUUACUAUUCACUCUAGUAUUAUUCACUCGGGUAUUUGGGACACUUUUUGUGUCGGGGUAUUAUUCACAGGGUACUAUUCUCGAAGUACUAUUCACGGAGUACUAUUCACCAAAAAAAUAUAUUUCUUUUCGAUCCAAAUCAUUUUUGGGUACAAUAUUAUUCUUGAAUUUUACUCCACAAAAUAGUAUCAUGUUGACAAAUUGGACGUUAUUGAUUCCUAGAUAAAUUAAAUUAUAAAUCUUUAAAAUUUAUCCUUGACUUGGUAUGAUUAUGACCAGGAAUUAUUCGGUAUAAUCAUGACCGUAAUGUGACGAAUGAUGUGGUGAAAGUCCUCAUUGGCCUGUAGUUAAUUGAUGGACAGUUGUUGGUAUGAUUAUGACCAGGGAUUAUUCGGUAUAAUCAUGACCAUUGAUGAUUACAUGAGUAUCCUUGGCCGUGAUGCAGGGAUGAUUCGAUUUUAUUUAUUAAGUUGAGUCUCAGCGAUAAAGUUGAUGAAAAACUUUUUAAAUCAUAGAAGAUAGUAGAUUUUAUGCUCUACUUGACUCUUCUAAUGGAUUGCUUAUUCCGCUGCAGUUGUUGAUCUAAAACUGUUGUCUAUUAUAUUCUAUCAGUUGUUAUACUGUUGAAGGCUAAGGAUAAUUUAUUCUGUAUUAUCUUAUUCAUAAUAUUUUUUGCUGGGCUAGUUGAGCUCACCCUUUCUUUCACUGUUCUCUUCAGGAAAUGAGAAUAUAGCUGGGACGAGUCGGGGAACGGAUUGACGGUCCAAAUGGUUGUUUUUGUAGUCCUCACUAUUCUGUGAAAUAAUGUGAUAAUAAUUGUAAUGAGGACUCCAUUGGGAGUGGAUAUUGUCUAGAAAGCAAUAUUCUUGUUUAAACUCUCAAUUAUGUUUUGUCGUAUAUUACCCGACAGUUGUAUAAUUAAGUUUGUAUUUGAUUUAUGUACCAUAUAUUUGGCGACUCAAGAUGGGUGAUGUAUACCUAUUUUGGGGCCGUCACAAAGCCCAUACACUCCCAUUUUAGAUCAUAGCUCCUAUGCCCAGACCCAUUAAGAGCAUACCCAGCCCCUACUAAUAUGCACAAUCUAAGCUCCCAUGAUCUAAAGCCCCUGACUUUGCAAAUAUAGAUCGAUAGAUAGAUUUUCGGGAAGGAUCACAUUUUGGUAGAUAGAUGGUUUAAUUUGUUUAACUAUUUAUUAUAAAAUUGAGUAUAAUUUAAUAUAAUUAAUUAUUUAGCUUACCUUCUCUCUCCUUGUCUGCAUUGACACAUAGAUUUAUUGAUUGCCACGUCCUUCUUCUGUUAAAUGGUUAACAGACAUAGACGACAAAAUUAAUUUUUGUAAAUAAAGUAUAGUUCAAUGAGUUGACCGUAAAAAAAUUUAGUUUAGUGAUGCAUUUGUAAACCGAUGUUGAGUAGAGUGGAGAAAAGUGUAUUUAAUCCGCUCCAAAAGUCACCACUUUACAAGUCUCGUCAACAAUCAGCACCAUGUAAACACUCACCCUCUUUGGUGAACUUGAAGAGUUUGAAAAUCAACUUAGGAGGUAUGAUGAUGAAAAUGAGGCACCAAUAAAGAAGACAUUGACACUUCAAGCUGAGAGUAACAAUGAAUGUGAUAACGAAGAUUUUGAUAAAGAAAUUGAAAUGCUCUCAAGAAACUUGAGAGACUAUUUCAAAAGAAAAUAAAAAAGGUAGCUCAACUCCAGUGGGUAAGUUCAAAACAGAACAAGAAGAAGAAAUUGUCCAACUCUAUUUCAUAGGACUAGAAGAUGAUGAUCAACUUGAGGUAACAAAUUUUCAUGAAGCUUUUGAAAUAUCUAUGCCUGAUUAUAUUGCUUUACAAAAUGAAAAUCAACAACUCAAAAAAAAAACUGUUUAUUUUAAGAAUUGCGUAAAUGCUAAUGAAUGAAGUUAAGUCAUUUAUUAAAGAGAGAAAAGAAAAUGAAUAUCUUAAAAAUGAAAAUGAAGUUUUAAAAGAAAAUUUAAAAAUGAGAGAUGAAUGCAUAAAUGCUUUUAAUGAUGGAAAAAUGAUGAAUGUGCAACAUGAUGAUAAUGUCACAAAUGCAAAAAUAACAUCUUUAAAAAAUGAUCUUGCUAAAUUUGUGCAAUGAGAAGAGAACCUAAAUGUUAUGUUAGGGGCACAAAGGUCUAGUCUUGAUAAAUAAGAAAUUGGGUAUAAUCCUAUUAAAAUGUGAAAAAUAGAACUAAUAAUAAUAUUAUAAUGAUUAAUAGAAAACCAAUGCAUAAACCACUUUAUUGUUCACCGUUUGUUACUUGUAAAAAAUAUGGUUUUAAAGGUCAUUUUAAAAUGUGGCUUUAUUAGAAUAAAGCAAAUUUGGGUAAAGAAAUGUGAUUUAUAUGCUACUAACCUAAUAGGACCCAAGAAGAUUUGGGUACCAAAAUGGUAGAGACUAUUUGUUCAUUUUGUAGAUGUCUCAAGGUCAAAAAGGAGACAGAUAAUACUUAUAAAUUAUUUGGCAAAAUUCGCAAGUACCUUAUUUUUUUAAAUAGAUUUUUAAUUAGAUAUAUUAUGAAAACUCUAUGGAUUUCGUAUCAUAUGGCUUCAUAACAUCAUUUAUUAUAAAGUUUUUAUUGUGCUAAAUGCUCCAUAUUUAAUACAAACGACAAUCUUGAUGAGGAAUAAGUGAAUAUUAUUUUUGAUGAACUUAACCAUGAUCUGUUAAAGGAAGAGAAUGAGGUUUCUGCUGGAAAUGACUAUCUGAAUUGUGGAACCCAAACAGUUCAAUCCGGAUAGUCUAAGCCGUCUCUAUCAGAAGGAAAGAUAGAUGAAAUCAGACAAUUUGACCCGUCUGUUUUAGAAGAAAACUCAAAUUUACAAACACCUAAAUCCAAACAGAUCGAGUCGUCUACUUUAGAAGACAAAACAUAUGAAUAUUCGGAUGCAGUAACUUAUAUUCCAGAGGAUGAAUCUCAAAAGCAAAUGACUACUGCCAGGCUUCCUAAAUCUUCUAGAACUAUGGGAAAUCAUCAUCCAAGUCUGAUCAUCAGAAAUUUCAACAUUAGGAUGUCCACAAGAAGAGGUUUUGAAGAAAUUUGUUUGCUACACUAAGGAGCUUAUCUAUUAAGCUUAUUGUUGGUAACAAAAUUGUGGAUAUAUAGGUAACAAAUCACAAAGGUAUGGUCAUUUUAUUUAAUUGCUAUAUGUGAUAUUGUUAUAAGCUUGCUCCCGUGUCUUUAUUUUAUGAAUUAUUUUUUGUUUGUCACAAAUGGGAUAGAGAUAUAACUAAAUUGAUGAUUUUUUUUUUUUUGAUAAUAACAAAGGGGAGAAAUGUUUAGAAAAAUUGAUGAUUAUGAUAUCUGAUGGUUAUAUUGAUUAUAAUAUGUUUAGAUUUUUUUGAUAUCAUAUUGAUGAUAAUGGUUGGAUAUUUUGAUUCAUUAUCUGUUAUAGCUUAUCAUUAUGCAUUAUUUAUCAUAACAGUUAUGUGAUCUUUAUAUCUCCUAUAGGCAUAAAUUUAUGGGGAGCAUGAUUGCAAGGAAUAAUAUAUUGUCAUCAUCAAAAAAGAGGGAAAUUGUUAGUUUUAUUAUUUGUGAUUUUAAUAAUGACAAUAUAUUUGUAAAUAUAAUUUAUUUAAUGUAUUGAAUUAAUUUUGUAAUGGUUUGUUGAAUAUGAUAUAUAGUAAGUUUGGUUCAUGAUAAUUUAAUUUGGUUAUAAUUCAAAUUGUUAUUACGUGCAGGAUUGAAUUGAAAUAUUUUCUUCCAGGUUGUUAUUUUGUUAAAACAGGUUGUUUCAAUUUUGAAUUGGAAUAUGUUAAGGAGUUUGUUUAGCAGUGUAAUCUAUCUAUUAAAUAUAUUAAAAUGCAGUACAUGAUAUCAUAGCUUGACAUAUGUCAUUCUCACAAUUCAACACGUGUCCUGUCUAAUUAAUAUUCCUUAAGACCCUUAACAAAAGUGCCCAGCUAACAUAACAAAUGAGGAUGAAAACAAACUUUAAUUCAUUCCCCUAAAUUUUAGAUUUAUAAUCCCCUAAAUCAUGCUACAAAUCUAAACUAUUUUGAUAAUAUCAACUGUUUUGAUAUUAUCCUUUGUAAUUUAAUUAUUAUUUAAUAAAAUUACUUUUUUAUGCUAUUAAUUAAUUUUUUAGAUUUAUAAUCUUCUAAAUAACUACAAAUCUAAACAGUUAAUAACAUAAUGUCAUUCUCUUAAUUUUUUAAAUUUACAAUCCUCUAAAUCACUACAAAUCUAAACUGUUUUGAUAAUAUCAACUGUUUUGAUAUUAUCCUUUGUAAUUUAAUUAUUAUUUAAUAAAAUCAUUACUUUAUCUCAACACCACCCCCUACAAUGUAUAUUCAUUUGUUUUUCUGUGUAAAAUUUGAUCAUCGCACAACAAUCUACCAUCUUCUUAUUAUAUUUUAAUUUAUUAAUUAUACAUACAUAUUUAUUGAAUAAUUCCGCCCGCAACGCACGAGUUUGUAUCUAGUGUGGUCUAAUUUGGAGUCUUUAAAUUAACUGGUUUAGAUAUUUGUGUAGAGUAUGGGCUCUAUCUACUCGUUAAUUUUAGCCUAUGUUGAUUACGUAUCUUUGAUUUUCUAAUUUUGAGAAUAUUUUAAGCUGUUAGCUAUAUCUAUAGUUCUGAAAUAUCAAAUUCUCGAAAUGAAAGACCAAGUCAUGCUAACCAUUUCAUAUAGUCGUUGGACUGAGUUCUAUAUAUUUUCUUCAUGUUUGUCUAUAGUGAGCAGGACUCUUGAAGCUUAUAGCAGCCAUAUUACACAGAUUAAUCAAGAGCUUUUCAAAGUUAUUUUCAGCUACUCAUUAUAUUGUUAAUUUAUUUCAGUUAAAAAUUAAGAGUCUAUUAUAAUCUAUAUUUAUUGUAUUAAAUUUUAGUUCAAGUCUUGUUUGGCUUGAUCGAUCCAAUAGUGGAUAGGUUUGUUCGAAGAAAACUUUUAAGGUUGCAGAGGUGCAAAUGUCUCAGUGGUGAGAAAGGUUGCAAUGAUGCAAAGGGGCAGAGGUGUUCAUCGCAGUGGAAAAUUUUAUUUGAACAGGGAGUUCUUUUUAUUAUACUUAAUGGAGUCUUAAAAGUUUAAUAAAAAGAGUCCAAUACCGGUUGGUUUUGAACGUGGAUUAAGCCGUUAGAGUUUAAGGGCAGAACCACGUAAAAAUUCUUGUCUGUGGUUUGUUAAUUCUUCUGGGUUGAUAAUUUAUUUCUCACGUUGCAUCUAAUCUCAUUCAUAUUACAUUUUAUUGUUGGUAGGAAAAGUAUACUAAUCUAGACACUAUCUUCUGUCUUUAUAACAAAAGUAAAAUUGACUCUAAAGCAGACACUUUUAUUUGUCUGUUUUAAGUUUAGCAGCAAGUUCAGCAGCAGGAAAAUAAAAUUAGUCAUUGUUAGUGUGCUUAUUUAUAGAAUUACAUCCACAUCUGUAAUUCUACUGAGAUUUAAUGAAUGUUUAUUUUGCCGAUUAAAAAACAAAGGAAAAAGAAUAAAAGUAAUAAGAUGUUCGAAACAUUUGAUUGUAUUAUUAUAUUUUUGUGAGCCAAGGUGAAAGCAAAGCCACCUAGUGGUAGUUGUUUUAUUUAUAAUAUGGUAAUAACAACCAUGAACUGAUAGUUGAUUUAUUUAUUAUAUGCUAAUAACAGCUAUCAGCUAGUGGUUGAUUUAUUUAUUAUAUUCUAAUAAACAGCCAUCAACUAGUAUAUAGUUUCUUGAUCAACUGUUCAUAGGAAGAUUACUGAUCGUUCAUUUAGGCGUUGGGGGGACUAAUUUGAACACCAUAGAUAACUAAACCCGUCUCCAUAGUCGUGUUUUCACUCCCGUCGAGAGCAAAUUUGAAAUCUCCAGAGUCAAAGCUAUUCAAGAAUUCCCCAGCUUUGAGUGAAAUCGGUGUGUUCCUCGGACAAUCCAUCAACCUAUAUCCAUUCACUUGCGUGGACCCAUCCGGAGGAGUAAGUGUAAGACUCACCGGACUUUCUAUGUUAAGGUUGUCUUUCAGCAGCACCACAAAAGACACCUCAUAAGUUCAUUUUUCAAGAGUUUCUGUCGGAUAUUUUCCAUCAACAUGUAGGACUAAGCUACCAAUUAAUUCAGCACUGGCAUCACUGAAAAAAAAUGAUAGUAGAAUUAAAGUCAGAAACUUUUGAUAUAAGGAGCUUAAAUUCAUUAAGGUGAUUUUAUUGAUUUUUUUUUCUGGAAAAUUUUUAAUGUUAAGUCCUUCUAUCUGACUAGAGUCUAGACUUCAAUAAAAUUUCUAUAGUCCUUCUAUCACUUUAAUUUAAUGACAUAGUUGCUUAUAUAUCCCUAUUUUUAACUGAAUAAAAUUCAGGUGUUUAAACACAAAUCUUGACCUUUGACAUCAAUUAAGUUAACUAAGUCUUAUUUCUACUUACGUAAACUUCCAGCCUGAAGGGUUGGCAUAAUUGAGUUCCUUUGCAUGCACAAAAGCCCAACUGCUCUGAAUAAGUCAACAGAAAUUUACAUUAUUAUAUGGAUAGAUAAGGCAAACCAGCGGUGACCAAUAAAUGAUAUGUCGAUGCCUUUAUAAAUAUAUAUAUAUAUAUAUAUAUAUAUAUAUAUAUAUAUAGAAUAUUGACGGUUGACAUUGUCAAAAUAACAAUUAUAAAAGUGUUGCCAAAUGUAUAUUUACUCUGAUAGCGAUGACAUUAUCAACCACCUAUAUAUAAAUAGCAAAUGUUUCAUAGCAAAAGUUUAUUACAGAAUAUGUAUCACUCAAACCAUCUUAUAUCAAUCAUGCAUUACAACAUCAGAUAGAUGAGAUCUUAAAAUUUUUGAACACUCCGCGACAUUAUGUUGCAAAUGGUACCAAAUUUUAAAAAUCCCAAAGGUGUAAGAUGGUCUAAAUUUUGCAAAAAUGUAUCACUUGCAAAAUUUACAAAUAUUAAGGAUUAUUUUUGUUCUGUAGACAACUUUAGUGUGUAUAUAUAUUUGAUGUUUGUUUCCAAUUUCAGUGGACUUACCUUCUGGCCCGGGUCCUUUUUGAGCAACGCAUUUUCCUUAGCUUGAGACAACAAUGUCUUGAGGUCAACCUUGUGAUACCUCACUACUUGUGCCAUUUCGCCUUUAAUUCUGCUAUAUAUAUUUUUUGUUUUUGUUCUUGAUGUCUAUAUAUCUCUCUUCCAAAGGCUAGCUCUAUUUAUAGAUAGCACAAAAGAGGGUAUAUUCAAUAAUAACCUAUCUUCAAAUAUUCCUUCCUUUUUCACAGUGGGGAUCCUGAUAAGUUUAACAUCAUCAUCAUCAUCGCCAAGGAUAUAGAGCAUCAGAUUCUGUUUAAUAAUUUUGUUGGAAUAUUUCUUUUCCAUUUCUCAGUUCAAUAAUUCUUUCUUUAGCUUGUUGCGCUGGCAAAAUUCGAUGAAGGCGAAAGGUACGUAGGCAUUCAAGUAAGUGAUGAUUUUCUUCUAACCAGAAGUAUGAGCAGGUUGAUGAUACAUAUGUCAUGCCAACAUAACAAACUUUAGAGGAGCCGAGUUCGAAAAAGAGAGGGUACUGGUAUAAUUGCCUUAAUUCGAUCUUAUCACCCAAGCACGGGUGCCAUCUAUUUUGGUUCAAUAUAAUGGAGUAUAUAUUCAAAUCAACAAAACAAGGCAAGAACAAAAAAUAAAUUUAAAGUGCAUAUUUUAAUAGGAAUAUCUAUUAAUAUAUAUAGGUAUGUUACUCAAAUAUCUAUACCAUCUAUACCAAUUUAUAGCAAGAUAAAUACGAGUUAUUUAAGUUGGUCUUGAGCCAAUUUAGUAAUCCAAUUUUGGUGACUCCGUAACUCAAAAUGUUUUUUUUUUGUUUUUUUGUUUGAUUUUUAUGUAUUCUUGGUCAUAAAUUUUGAUAUUCCCAAAAGUCAACUAAAACACUCAAAAGUUAUAUAUUUUCACAAAAUUUUAGUACACAUUUAUUAUUAAAGAUGGAAUAUAUUAUCUAUCAUUAAGAAUUGAGUAAAUAUAUAAAAAUAAAAUAAAAUUAAUGAAAUAACUUUUGAGCUAUCAAGUCAUCAAAUUUGGAGAGCUGAGUUGACUUGAGUUAUAUUAAAAUGUCAUUCAAAAAUAUUAUAUAUAUAAUUUACCAAAUAAAUCGUUUUUAAACUUAUCCGUACUUCGUACGGAUUAUUAAUUUUGUUUGUAUUAAAAGUAGAAGUAUAAGCAUCUCGCAGGCCAAAAAUAAAAAAAGAAAAAAAAAAAGAAAAGAAGAGCAAGACUACUUCUUUUUCUUCCUUUUUAUCUCCUUUCUUUCUUUGUUUCUUUUUAGACGGAGGACUUCAUUUCAUCUUUGAAAAUAAACAUAAGAAUUUAUCAAAGGAAAUACAAGAUAGACGAUACAAAUAUUGAGAUCUAAUGGAACUUUUGUUGUCUAAUUAUUAUUAUUUUUUAUUUUCAAAUAUACGCAUACAUGAUAAAGAUUCACAAUUAUAUAUAAUAGGCUAAAAUCAACAAUCCGCUAAAAAAUUUGCGGUCUGUCAAAAUGUUUAGUUGUCGAGCUAGUAUAAAUUACCGUCUACCAAAUCGUUAUUAGUUAACAAACUAGUGUAAAAAUUUCACUUUGGAAGCUAAUAUAAACUAUCAUCUAUCAAAUUGUUAUUAAAUGGGGAGCUACGAAUGUAAACUAUCGUCUAACAAACUUUAUUAGCUGAUGAGCUAGUGUAAAAUAUCAUUUAUCAAACUGUUAGAUAGAGUGUUGGUUACAGUUAAAUGUGUCUUUGGAUCAAUUCCUAUACAGUCCGCUUCUCCAACGGACCGGUUUGUCAGCGAACCAACUAUAGUGACGGUUCAAUCCGUCGUUAUAGCAUAGAAAAAUGUUAACGCCAAGAUUCGUCCACGUGCAAAAACGAAAUCACACAGAGGAACUUGUCGGCUUGGGCCGCCAGGGGAUAGCUCUGGUAUAAGAAUAAGUACUGACUGAAUAAAGUUAACAAUGGAGGCUUAUAAUUUUAGUGCUGAAAAAAUAAUAAGAUAUUGUGUGCAUGUGAACCAGGGUAUAUAUAGCCUUGUAUUUAUAGUGAUCACACCUCUUUAAAACGCAUCAUCUCGUAUAGGAGUAGAAUUCCUCAUUAAGAUGGAUACCUUAAUGGGACAUGAUUGAAUCUCCUUAAAAAAAGAAAGUCGGAUACUAUCCUGACUCUUUCCUUAGAAGUUAGAAAUUAAAUAUAAUUAGGAAUCCUAGAUUCCUUAAAAUUCUCCCACUGCCCGUGGGGAGACUUCCUCCACGUGGACUAUGGCCCACCGAAUUCUGUGGUCCCAAAUAAUCAUGUUCCAACAUUGUCCCCCAUUGUAAUACCUAGAAAAAUAAUUAAAAAAAUAAAAAACAUUUAAGUUUAUAUUUUAAAAUAUAUUAGUUGGAUUUUAUUAUUUAUUUGGGUCAAAGUGGUCAUUAAUUUAUGUGGGCUAAUAAAUAUUAAUAAAUUAGGGAUAAAUUAAUUUGAUAAAAUUGAGCCUUAAAACUAAUUGGGUCUAAUUUAUAUUUGUGUAAUAAUAAAUCUUAUUAAAAUUUUAUUAAAAUUAAAAGAAUUAAUAAAACAUAUUAAUUAAUGAAUAAAUAACAAACCUAAUCUUACUUUUAUUAUACAAACUGAGGGAAAGAAAAAGAAGAGAAGUAGGUGAGGCGACUUAAGAGUGAAGAAUGAAAAUUUGUCACUCUUGAUAUUUGGCAAGACACAUUUAGUAAGUUGUUACUAUUUGUUUUUUAAAUUGUUAGAUCCAUCAUGUAGAAAGCCAGUGAUUCAUAAGAAAGUUAAAAUACAUUAUAUAUGAAGUAUACUUUUAGAAGUUUGAUACAUUAUUGGUUAAUGUGGAUAGCCUUUAAGGCAGAGUAUCCAUGUGAAUUGGAUAUCGUGAAUGGCAUACUAAAAUAAUAUACGCUUAGUAUAUGGCGUGAAUCAGAUAAGAUCAAAAGGUAUUUACUGAUUAAAUGUAUCUGAAUAUAUCUAAAUAUAUCUGAAUGUAUCUGAAUUGUAUGUUCUCCAAAAUCCUAGCACCCAUAUUUAUAGGCCAUAGAAAAAUCCAUAACCAAUUAAAUAGGAUUUUUAAUAUAAAAUUGAGUAUAGAUAGAAACGAUAACUUUUCUAAAACAGAUUCUAGGUAAUACCUAAACCCAAAUCCAAUAAGGAUUCAUGUUAUACCCAACAAAUGUCCACCUUGACUUGAAUCCUCCGAAUAUUGCACAAACAGUAAACUUUUUCCUCUUCUCAAAAUGCACAACUCAAGUGCAUCGAACACUAACCACGUCCAAGCAAUGUUUGAACUUGGUAUGUGUUAACGGCUUCGUUAACAUGUCAUAUGGAUUUUCUGCUGUACCAAUCUUCAAGACCUUAUUGUCACCAUCUUCAACAAUGUCUCGAACAAAAUGAUACCUGACAUCAAUAUGUUUCCCCCGAGGACAAUACUCACAGAAGUCAAACUUUAUUAUUUUUUGUAUAGACAACUCGCUAGAUUUCUUCGUCUCCUAAUCCGUAUCAGACAUAUCUACAGGCUUCAUUGGCUUCCCUACAAUGGCUUUCUUCAAGCCUUGCUGAGUAAAAACAGCCUUCAUCCGAACCUGCCAAAGACUGAAACUAAUUUUCCCAUCGAAUUUGUCAAUAGAAAAUUUUGUUGAUGAAGUCGAACUCAACGUCAUAGUAUAUAUCGAUAAUAACCAAGCUCUGAUACCAAUUUAUUAUGACAAACUAUGACAAACACAAUAAAUCAAUGCAGAAAGAUAAAGACAAUAACACAAGGUUUUACAUGAAAACUCAAAUUGGAAAAAAACUACGGAGAAGGCAAAAGAAAUCCACUAAAUAAAUAUCUGAAGAGUACAAGAUAAAAAAAGAGAAUACUAAAUUGAGUAUAGGUAAAAAAGAUAACUUUUCUAAACCAAAACAGAUUCUAGGUAAUACCUAAAUCCAAAUUCAAUAAGGAUUCAUGUUAUACCCAACAAAUCUCCACCUUGACUUGAUCAUUCCUCCAAAUAUUGCACAAAUAUUGAACUUUCUCUUCUUCUCAAAAUGCACAACUCAAGUGCAUCGAACACUAACCACAUCCAAGCAAUGUUUGAACUUGGUAUGUGUUAAUGGCUUCGUUAACAUGUCAUCUGGAUUGUCUACAGUACCAAUCUUCAAGAUAUUAAUGUUACCAUCUUCAACAAUUUCUUGAAAAAAAUGAUACCUGACAUCAAUAUGUUUUCCCCGGGACAAUGCUCACAGAAGUACAACUUUCUUACUUUCUGUCCAGAUAACUCGCUAGUUUUCUUCGUCUCCCAAUCCGUAUCAGAGAUAUUUACAGGAUUUAUUAGUUUCCAUACAAUGGCUUUCUUCAAGCCUUACUGAGUAAAAACAGCCUUCAUCCGAACCUACCAAAGACUGAAACUAAUAUUCCCAUCGAAUUUGUCAAUAUCAAAUUUCGUUGAUGAACUCGAACUCAACGCCAUAGUUUGGAUCGAUAAUAACCAAGCUUUGAUGUGACGCCCCCAAAACAGGUAUACAUCACCCAUCUUGGGUCGUCAAAUACAUGGUACAUAAUACAACUACAAACUUCUUUUAUACAACUGUCGUGUAAAAUACGACAAAACAUAGCUGAGAGCUCUCAAUGGAGUCCUCAGUACAUUUAUUAUCACACUAUUUCACAGAAUAGUGAGGACUACUAAAACAACCAUCUGGACCGUCAAUCCGUUUCCCAAUCAGUCCCAGCUAUAUUCUCAUUUCCUGAAGAGAACAGUGAAAGAAAAUGAUGAGCUCAACUAGCCCAGUAAGAAAUAUUAUGACUAAGAUAAUGCAGAAUAAAUUAUCCUUAGCCUUCAACAGUAUAACAACUGAUAGAAUACAAUAGACAACAAGUUCUAGAUCAACAAAUACAGCGGAAUAAGCAAUCCAUUAGAAAAGUCAAGUAGAACAUAAUGUCUACAAUCUUCUAUGAUUAAAAAGUUUAUCAUCAAUUUUAUCGCUGUAAUACCCAUCAACAGUUCUUUAUACCAAAGACAAAGAGAACUUUCAUCACCUGUCUUCACCUGAACCACCAAAGAUUUUAUUUAAAUUCACAAUUCAUGUUUAUAAUAAUGUGAAUCAACAGUUCCUCCCUGCCACAAAGGCUUAAUAGAACGUUUACUCAAUAUCCUUACCCAAAGGAUAAAGAUAUUCAAAUGUAAUAACAAUGAUCAUACCAAUCAGUUGUCUAUCUUUGCACUACGGGCCAAAGAUAUUCAACUAUAAAACCAUUAGUCAUGAUCAUACCAAUCAAUUGCAUGUCGGUGCACUACGACCAAAGACAUUCAACUGUUAACUAAUGAUCAUGAUCCUGCCAAUCACAUCAUCGAAUUAUCCCUGCACUACGGCCAAGGAUAUUCUUUAGUAUCACCAGUGGUCAUGAUCAUGUCAUACAGCUGUCCAUCUUUGCACUACGGGCCAAAGCUAUCAAUCAAUAGUUCAUCUUUGGAUUACGACCAAAGAUAUCAAUCAACAGUUCUUCUUUGCACUACAGGCCAAAGUCAUACAACUGUAAAACCAAUAACCAACAGUCCAUCUAUGCACUACGGGCCAAAGAUGACUUUUAACGCAAUAUAAGCAUGAGGAUCAUGACAAUGAUAUAAAGAAUCAGUCAAAUGAGAUAAAGGAUAAAUAUUAAACAUUUAUAAUAUAAUUUAUCCAGAGUUCAAGAAUAUCCAAAUGUUAUCAAUCACUUAAUAAUCUCAUAAUCUAAUAUCAUUAAUAUUAUAACAAUAUUUUAAUCAUUUCUUAAACUUAAUUAUAAACAAUUUAUUUUAAUUGUUUACACUUUACUAAUUAAUGCAUUUAAUCAGCCUAAAAUGCCAAACUCAUAAGAUUUCAUCACCAAUAACCAAAACUCUCAUAAAAAAUCUGCAUAUACCUUAUAUAGGAUUUUCAAGCCAUAAAAUCCUAUUUAUCAAUUUUUUAACUUCACAUAACUUAUUUAAUUUAUAUGUUCGUAACUAAACUAUUUUCAUGAAAAAUAUCAAAUCAGUCUAAAAAAGUUUUCUUUUCUGAGAUUUAGCAGAAUAUAGUCCCAUAUUGAACAUAUAUUUUUCUCGAAAUUUUUAAAAUUCAUUUACUAUUUUUCAUAUGGCCAAAAUUACCGAAUAUUUAAACAUUUAUCAUAAACUAUACUUUUGUCCAAAAAUUCCAAAAUUUACAGGGUAUACUCCUUUGAUAUAUAUGUACGCCCAAUAAAUUUUUUAUCAAUUUUGGAGUUAACCACAAGGAUUUAUAAAGGUUUACUUUUAAAAUAGUCUUUUCCCAUAAAAUUCAUAACUUCUAAUCUAUACAUCCAAAAAUCACCAUUUUUGGACACAAUCUAGAAAACUCAUCAAAUUAUCAUUUCAAAUUUUUCCAGAAUUUUUGACGGUUAGAAAAAUUACGAAACUGCAAAUGGAUUUUCACCCACCAUGCGGUAAUCCACGUAGACAGAUCAUUUCCACAAUUUAAUAAAGAAUGAAUACGAAGGGUAAUUCACCAUGCAUGCGGUAGUCUGCGUAGACAGGUUAUUCCAACAGAAUAAUAAAGAAUGGAAUAACAGAAGAAUUCACCAUGCAUGCGGUAGUCCGCGUAAACAGGUUAUUAAUUCCAAUAGAAUAAUAAAAAAUGGAAUAACAGAAGAAUUCACCAUGCAUGCGGUAGUCCGCGUAGACAUGUUAUUCCAAUAGAAUUAUAAAGAAUGGAACAACAGAAGAAUUCACCAUGCAUACGGUACUCCGCGUAGACAGGUUAUUCCAACAGAAUAAUAAAGAAUGGAAUAGCAAAAGAAUUCACCAUGCAUGCGGCAGUACGCGUAGACAAUUUAUUCCAACAGAAUAAUAAAGAAUGGAAUAACAACCCUUACGAGUAUUAAAAGAAAAUAACUCUUUUCAUGAAUACGAAAGAAAUAAUACCCCUUACCUUAGAAGAAAACUGGAUAAUAGUAAGGUAGCAGACUUCUCUUCUUCUUUCUCUCUAUAAUUUCUCUAUAUAAUAAUUGCUCUUGUGAGACUUAGUGAAUUAGUGAGAAAUGAAGGAAGAAUGAGCUUCUAUUUAUAGGAAAAUAUAGUUUCAAUAAUUGCACAUUUUGUGGCUUGAAAUAUUACAGUAUAAUACCUUCCUUUUUUUCUUCAUUUUAAUUUAGUCCUACAAGUAUUAUCAAACUUGCACCACCUCCCUAAUAGUAAAUCAUGUGAAUUAAUAGUUCAUUCAUGUGACUCAAUAGUAUAAUCAUGUGAAAAAAAAACUAAUUAUAGUAUAGUACCUCCAUCUAUACCUCCAUUUUUAAUUUAGUCAUGCAAGUAUUAUCAAUCUUGCACCACCUCCCCUAAUAGUACUUGCAUGUGAAUCAAUAGUACACACAUGUGAACAAAUAGUUAUAAGCAUGUGAAUUAAUAGCAAUUAAUUGCUCAUUUAUCCGAUUAAUAAUCCGAUUGGUCAAUAUAACAUCCAGACAUCAAUUAUUAUCGAAAUAAUUGUCGAUUUCCACUAACACUAACAAUCCCAACACAAUGGAAAUAUUUUUAUCAACAAAUUUAUUUUUGAAAUUUUGAAGUUUGACUUUUUCUGCAAAAGUCAAAUGUUGACUUUUUGACCAAAAAGUCAACCCCAGUAAAUUUUGUGUUUAUAGUCUAUUUUUACUAAUUUUAUCGUUCUGGACUCAAAUAUCACGUUCGCGUCUCCAAAUUUAAUUCUGAACUCAAAUUCUAGUUUUUAAUAACAUUCAUAAUUAAUAUUAUAACUCACAAUAUUAACAACCAGAUCGUUCCCAAGAAAGAGGGGGCUUUCCGAUAAGGAUUUCUCCCUAUUAGCGCGCAAUUAUAUUACCUAUCCUCUCCUUGACAGAACUUCUAGACAUCGUCAAUAUUGCAAAUAAUAAUAUGAAUAACUUUGACGUCUCAAUUAUUGAUUUAAUAAUAUAAAAUAUUAUACAUAUGAUACUGUGACAAUAAUUGAAUCAAUAAUAUGAGAGAUAUGAUGCAGCAAUUACUGUAGCAAUAAUUGAGUUUAACUAAGUGACUUCUUACAUAAGCAUCAAUAAUCAAUACCAUAUGGUACUAUGCAACCACGCGUAUUACUGUAUUUUUACCACCAAUUAUUAUAUGACAACUUACUUACUUUGAAAAAUUUUCACAUAUCACCCUUAACUUUAACAUUUUAUCAAUUUAACUAUUUACUAAAUAGAAUAAUAAUUAUAAAAAUUGAAUACUUUCAUUUCGUAAAAUUCGGGGUCUUACAAUCUCAUCUCCUUAUGAAAUUUUGUCCUCGAAAUUUACGUACCUAGUAGUUCGAAGAGAUGAGAAUACCUUGCUUUCUUUUUCGUUUUGUACCUUCCCGGUUAUUUCCUCUCUAUCAUGAUUUUCCCAUUUCUCAUCUCCUGUAUUUCAGAUAUCAUUCUAGAAUAUAGAUUCAAAAUAAGGGUUAAUUAACAUGCCACAUAUUAUCUCUAUAUUCUGACCAACCAAUUAAAUAACAAAUAAACUUAGGUAGGUCAUACUAGCGAAUGAAUUACCCGUCUCUCCCCUCCUAGUUCUAGCCUCACAUCUUAGCCAGGGAUCAUAUCCCUAAGCUUUGAUACUAAUUGUGACGCCCCCAAAACAGGUAUACAUCACCUAUUUUGAGUCGCCAAAUAUAUGGUACAUAAUACAACUACAAACUUCUUUUAUACAAUUGUCGUGUAAAAUACGACAAAACAUAGCUGAGAGUUUAAACAAGAAUAUUGCCUUCUAGACAAUAUCCACUCUCAAUGGAGUUCUCAUUACAUUUAUUAUCACACAAUUUCACAGAAUAGUGAGGACUACUAAAACAACCAUCUGGACCGUCAAUCUGUUUCCCGACCAGUCCCAGCUAUAUUCUCAUUUCCUGAAGAGAACAGUGAAAGAAAAGGGUGAGCUCAACUAGCCCAGUAAGAAAUAUUAUGACUAAGAUAAUGCAGAAUAAAUUAUUCUUAGCCUUCAACAGUAUAACAACUGAUAGAAUACAAUAGACAACAAGUUUUAGAUCAACAACUGCAGCGGAAUAAGCAAUCCAUUAGAAGAGUCAAGUAGAACAUAAUGUCUACUAUCUUCUAUGAUUAAAAAGUUUAUCAUCAAUUUUAUCGCUGUAAUAUCCAUCAACAGUUCUUUAUUAUACCAAAGACAAAGAGAACUUUCAUCACCUGUCUUCACCUGAACCACCAAAGAUUUUAUUUAAAUUCACAAUUCAUGUUUAUAAUAAUGUGAAUCAACAGUUCGUCCUUGCCACAAAGGAUUAAUAGAACGUUUACUCAAUAUCCUUACCCAUAAGGAUAAAGAUAUUCAAAUGUAAUAACAAUGAUCAUACCAAUCAGUUGUCUAUCUUUGCACUACGGGCCAAAGAUAUUCAACUAUAAAACCAAUGGUCAUGAUCAUACCAAUCAAUUGUAUGUCAGUGCACUACGGCCAAAGACAUUCAAUUUUUACCUAAUGGUCAUGAUCCUGCCACUCACAUCAUCGAAUUAUCCCUGCACUACGGCCAAGGAUAUUCUUUAGUAUCACCAGUGGUCAUGAUCAUGUCAUACACCUGUCCAUCUUUGCACUACGGGCCAAAGCUAUCAAUCAACAGUUCAUCUUUGGAUUACGACCAAAGAUAUCAAUUAACAGUUCUUCUUUGCACUACAGGUCAAAGACAUACAACUUUAAAACCAAUAUCCAACAGUCCAUCUAUGCACUACGGACCAAAGAUGACUUUUAACGCAAUAUAAGCAUGAGGAUCAUGACAAUGAUAUAAAGAAUCAGUCAAAUGAGAUAAAGGAUAAUUAUUAAAUAUUUAUAAUAUAAUUUAUCCAGAGUUCAAGAAUAUCUAAAUGUUAUCAAUCACUUAAUAAUCUCAUAAUCUAAUAACGUCCAAGUUGUCAACAUGAUACUUCUUUGUAGAGUAAAAUUCAAGAAUGCUCAGAAGAAUAUUUUCAUGAAAACAUACUAGAUGAAGCGCAAAUAUUAAGGAUAUUCCACUAAUUUCAUGGAGUAUAGAAGUCAAAACUUUAACCAAUGGAGUAUAAUAAAGAAUGAAAUAACAAAAAAAAUCACCAUGCAUGCGGUACUUCGCAUAAACAGGUAAUUCCAACAGAAUAAUAAUAACGGAACCAGGUCAGGCAUAAUACGCACCGACAGGAUAUUCUAACAGAAUAAUAAAGAAUGGAAUAACAACAAAAAUCACCAUGCAUGCGGUACGUCGCAUAGACAGGUUAUUCCAACAGAAUAACAAAUAAUGGAACCAGGUCUGACGUAAAACGCACAGACAGGAUAUUCCAACAGAAUAAUAAAGACGAAACCAGGUUCGACGUAAAACGCACAGACAAGAUAUUCCAACAAAAUAAUAAAGACGGAACCAGGUCUGACAUAAAAUGCACAGACAAGAUAUUCAAACAGAAUAAUAAAGAAUGGAAUAAUAACAGAAUUUCACCAUGUAUGCGGUACUUCGCAUAGACAUGUUAUUCCAGCAGAAUAAUAAAUAAUGGAAUAACAAAAGAAUUUCACCAAGUAUAGGGUAGUCCGCGUAUACAGGUUAUUCCAACAGAAUAAUAAAGAAUGGAAUAAUAGAAGUUCUCUUCAUGAAUACAAAAGAAAUAAUACCCCUUACAGGUACAACAAAUAAUAUCCCUUACCGUAAAAGAAACUUGAUAUCGGAGUAGUGAAGUAGCAGAAUACUUUUCUUCUUUCUCUCUAUAGUUUCUNNNNNNNNNNNNNNNNNNNNNNNNNNNNNNNNNNNNNNNNNNNNNNNNNNNNNNNNNNNNNNNNNNNNNNNNNNNNNNNNNNNNNNNNNNNNNNNNNNNNUAACUUUAUAAAAGUAUUCUGUUUUAUAUAAAAAGAUUUUACUAUUAGCCUAAUAAAACGAAUAACUUUAUAAAAGUAUUCUGUUUUAUAUAAAAAAAAAUUCUAUUUUAUUACAUUAAUAAUACUAAUAAAACAAAACUUAUAUAUAUAUAAUAUAUAUAACAAUCAACAAUAAUUGAAUCAAAUAACGUGAGAUACUAUGCAGCAACUACUGUAGCAAUAAUUGAACAAAACUGAGUGACUUCUCACGUAAACAUCAAUAAUUAAUAUCGUGUGCUACUAUGCAACCACGCGUAUUACUGUACUUUUACUACCGAGUAGUUCAACAGGUUUAAUGGUAAAACUUCCGCUGUUAUUUUCAUAAAAAUAUUUUUGUCGUUUUCUCAAUCCGACAAUAAUUCUGUUGUGGGGUCCACCAAUGAUUGUGCCGUCGUACGAAUAUUCCCUGUUAAAACAAAUAUUUCCCGACCAAUCGAAUAUUAUAUAACAACUUGCAUACUUUGCAAAAUUUAUAAAUACUACCCACAACUAUAACAUUAUCUCAAAUUCACACCAUAAUAUUCAAAAAAAUAUUUCGAGAAAAUUAAAUCUUUAUUCGUAAAAUUUGGGAUUUUACAUUGUCGGCUCACAAUCUCCAGAAGACUAAAAGCCUCCUAUAAUUUUUCAUUAUAAUGUGUUUUUACCCGGAGAUAACUUAACGAAAGAGCCAGCCAUAGUUCAGAAUACAUGGAUCAAUGAUAUUGGAUGGGGGAAGAAGGAAAGAUGCCCUGACCAUCGAUCCACUAACAUUGUGAAAUGUACAUUAUAUACAUUCUCCUUGCUAGCUUUUGUUGGUAACCAAACCUUCACACCAAGGUAACCAAACUGUCAUACCAAGGUAACCAAUCCACACCUCCAUACCAAGGUAACCAAACCUUCAUACCAAGGUAACCAAUCCACACCUGUAGUUUUUUCAUAAUGCAGUUGGUAACCAAACUUUCAUCUCAAGGUUACCAAACCUGCAGUUUUUUUAUAGUGCAGUUGGUAACAAAACUUUCAUACCAAGGUUAUCAAUCCACCUCCACACCUUCAGUUUUUCAUAGUGCAGUUGGUAACUAAACCUCCAUACCAAGGUAACCAAUCCACACUUGCAGUUUUUUCAUAGUGCAGUUGGUGACCAAAUAAACUAUCAUACCAAGGUUACCAAACCUGCAUACCAAGGUUACCAAUCCACCUCCACACCUGCAGUUUUUUCAUAGUUCAGUUGGUAACCAAACUUUCAUACCAAAGUAACUAAACUGUCAUACCAAGGUAACCAAUCCACUUCCACACCUUCAGUUUUUUCAUAGUGCAGUUGGUAACCAAACCUUCACACCAAGGUAACCAAACCUUCAUACCAAGGUAACAAACCUUCAUACCAAGGUAAUCAAACCACAUCCACACCUGCAGUUUGUUCAUAGUGCAGUAAUUGGUAGCCAAACAUUCAUACUAAGGUAACCAAUUCAGUGUUAUUAGGUUACCAAUUUAUUUUGAAUGUGAUGCAGUUGGUAGCCAAACCUUUAUGCAGUGGGUAGCCAAACAUUCAUACCAAGGUAACCAAUUCAGUUUUAUUAAGUUACUAAUUUAUUUUGAAUGUGAUGCAGUUGGUAGCCAAACCUUCAUGCAGUUGGUUGCCAAACUUUCAGUCCAAGGUAACCAAUUCAUACUGUAGGCGUUGAUGUAGAUUGGUUACCUUAGUAUAAAGGUUUGGUUACCUUGGUAUAAAAGUUUGGUUACCUUGGUACGAAGGUUUGGUUAUCAACAUUACAUUACACAUCACUCUCUUAUCUCUCUCUUUUCUAUUCAGAAAAUAAUUUUUUUUUAUAAAACUAGAACUGAAGGUGUUCCAGUACUAUUAUUAAGUAGCUAGCUAGCUUAUUACAUGAUGACACCAAUUAUGCCUUUAUCUCCGUUCAUGUCAUGAACUCUAAUUGCUCUCUGGUGCCAUGACAUUACUAAUGAUCUUCUCCUCUGCAGUAUCUCGUGAAUUUUCUUUUCUUACCGGAAAACGGUUGCUCCCGCCACCACUGCCCCACCCUCCACCUCCACCGUCUCUGUAACCACCACCUGAGCCACCACCGCCAACUCCNNNNNNNNNNNNNNNNNNNNNNNNNNNNNNNNNNNNNNNNNNNNNNNNNNNNNNNNNNNNNNNNNNNNNNNNNNNNNNNNNNNNNNNNNNNNNNNNNNNNNNNNNNNNNNNNNNNNNNNNNNNNNNNNNNNNNNNNNNNNNNNNNNNNNNNNNNNNNNNNNNNNNNNNNNNNNNNNNNNNNNNNNNNNNNNNNNNNNNNNNNNNNNNNNNNNNNNNNNNNNNNNNNNNNNNNNNNNNNNNNNNNNNNNNNNNNNNNNNNNNNNNNNNNNNNNNNNNNNNNNNNNNNNNNNNNNNNNNNNNNNNNNNNNNNNNNNNNNNNNNNNNNNNNNNNNNNNNNNNNNNNNNNNNNNNNNNNNNNNNNNNNNNNNNNNNNNNNNNNNNNNNNNNNNNNNNNNNNNNNNNNNNNNNNNNNNNNNNNNNNNNNNNNNNNNNNNNNNNNNNNNNNNNNNNNNNNNNNNNNNNNNNNNNNNNNNNNNNNNNNNNNNNNNNNNNNNNNNNNNNNNNNNNNNNNNNNNNNNNNNNNNNNNNNNNNNNNNNNNNNNNNNNNNNNNNNNNNNNNNNNNNNNNNNNNNNNNNNNNNNNNNNNNNNNNNNAGAGUGUUGGGAGAUAGCAUUAGAUAUACAUAAUAUUUUUACAUAUUUACUAAUACACAAAAUCAUUUUCUAAUUUCUCUUUCAUCUUUCAUUCUAAACUAGCUAUCAAAGCAAAACAAAAAAGAGAGAGGGAGAGCAUAGAUUUGAUAGCCUUAAGGAGGUAAAGGGGAAGAAUUUUAAUCUUCAUGCACCCUAAGUUCAUCAAUUACUUUGGUAAAAGAAGAAGAACAUCCCAAAGAACAAGGUAAAGACCCUAAAAAAUUUCAAGUUUUGUUACUUUCUUUUGAUAAGUUUUGAUGAAAUAAAGAGCUUGUGUUCUUGAACUUUAAAACUCUUGAUCUACAUGUGUAUGCUUUUUUCACAUGUAGGUCUAGUUAUUUUUGAAGUUAAAAGUUUUUAAAAAAAAGAAAAAAGAAGAAGAAAUGAAAGUAUGUUCAAAAGGGGCUAAACACCCUAAAUUAACUAUUUUUUUUAUUUAGUUUUUUUUGAUGAAAUGUAAAGAUGAUGUUUCUAAGUUCUAAAAUUUUUUAUCUUUAUGUUUUCUAGUGUUUCAUAUAAAGAUCUAACCAUUUUUUAUGUUAAAGGUUUGAUCAAAGGUAAGGAAAGGAAACUAGUUUUUUUUUAACGAAUAAAAACCCUAAAACUUUUUAUUCACUUUGAAAUGCUAUCAUUUAAAAUCUACAUCUCCUAUUUAUGAUCCGUCAAAGAUGGGUGCUAGAUAUAGGAGUUAGCUUUCAAACCUAAGUGGUAUCACUCAAAUAUGUUGAAUUUACAAGCUUUGGUGACUGUUUUAACAAAGCUAUCCAGAUUUUUAAAAGAGAAAAAUGGAACAAUCUCAUUAUACUACAAAACAAUAUUAUUAAGGUUUAUUUACACUAUUUUAAGAGAAGCUAGAAAUGAGUUGCUGUUUGUCCAUAAGCAACAGCCACAAAGGUACUGUCUGAGAGCCUAGGAAGAGCUCCCAGACACUGUUUGUAUGCCUACUGCUACUGCCGAGGCAGUAGCCCUGCACCAAGUUCACUUUUAGCAACUUCUGAUAUUCUACUUUGCUUAGGCUAAAUUUUUAGAGAUGGUAAAGGUACUAUAUUAGUCUCUUUUAGAAACCUACGAGGCUUAAAUUUCACGUUUAUUUACUGUCCAAAAACAAUUGUCAAAGUGACUUAACAUAAUAGGUUUUAAUUUUUCACUUUGGCCUAAUAAUGUAGUUUAUUUCAUUUUAGUAAUGUUAAACUUAUUAAUUAUCUUUAUAUGUGUUGUCUCAACCACACUCAAGCUGCAAUUCCUUCUAAAAUCCCAUUUUUAGUUAAAACAGUUCACCUAGGACUUUUAACAAACAGGUGGUGUGCACAGUUCCAAUUUCUUCUUUUCAUAGCCAUUUAUUUGAGUUAUAAAUCCAUUUUUAUCCUCCUUAUUAUUCCUCAGCCCAACCUAGCUCCUUAUGCCUAAAUCCAGCUCAUAACAGUUAAAUACACGAUUUAAUAUGUGUAUAAUCAAGUAAUUGACAACUAUCUAGUUAUAACUUAGUUAGCUCACUAAUUUUCUUACUUUCAACCUUAUUAACAAUACAUUUCCAGCCCCAACAGUAGGCACAAUCCAUAACAGUUCUAGGCAUAGCAAUAUAUUGUACAAUCAUAAGCAUGUGCAAUCACUUAUUACAAUUAUAGGCAUAAGCAGUCACUUAUUACAACCUAACAAUUUCAAUUCUUGACAUACAAACUUAGUAAACAAUGGUUUUAUUACUCUACAUAAACAAGGUUCACAACUUAUAACUUUAAGCAUGAUAACUAGAAACAACCUCUAUCUUGAUUAAGGUGAAUAUUAAAGCACUUGGAAUAUGUAGUCUCUAAAAGAUAUUUGCAUACAUAGCUUCAAUUGGAUAAAUUCUUAGCUUACAUGUGAUUCUCACAACACAGUUUUUUUAUUAGUUAGUAAUAUAACCAAAUCAAGUCAUGACUUUGAAAUUAUAGGUAGCUAGGGGUUGUUUUGAAUCCUAAUCCAAAACAGGCCCAGAUUUGCCCUACUCUAGGCUCUUUUGAAAACUUCCAUAAACCUUCAUGGUUAGGUUCUUUAGACCCCAUGUUAUAAAGUAUAACCCACUUCAUUUUCAAGGACAGAUAAGUUCUUAUAUAAGUUUAUCAAUCUAGUUAAAAGUGGUUUCAUUUUGCUUAUGUAUAUGAUUGUCAUGGUAUGUAAGUUAUACCAAUACAUGUUAUACUUAGGCAUAGAGGGUACUUGAAGCAUAGCUACCCUUUAAAUGAGAACUUAAACAUAAUUUUGGACUCCAUUCCCAGCCAGCCUAUUUUGACACUAUAACAGUUUUAGAGUAGCAUUUUAGGCAUGGUUUAUUACACCAAAACAGUAGCAAGCACUAACGUAUAUGCCUUUCUAACACAUGAACCUUUUAUGUACCAUAUUUUCAUGAUUUAAAGCAUCUAAAGUCAAGGUCUUUAUGCUUUAGGCCAACACAACCCUCUUUAGUAUUUAAAUUCAAAAACAAACAUGGUUUACCAACAUGUUUACGAAGAUAGCAUAAGUGUGCAACAUAGAAGCUUAUACUAUCUUUUUAUAUAGUAUUUAACAUGCAUAAUAUAUGUUUGGAUGACAUGGAAUAUGUAAGACCCCAACUUAUUAUAAAUAAAAUUGAAUUUCUCUAUUUAUUAUCUUGAAAUAAUAAGGUGAUAAUUUGAUAUAAUACUUUAGUUAUGGGUGAAAUGUGCAAAUUUUGCAAAAUAAGCAAGUGGUUAUAAAAUAUUCAUUUUUGUCGAGGAAUAUUCGUUUGGUCAUGGAAUUUUCUUGUUGUCGGGGAAUAUUCGUAUGACGACGCAGCCAUUUGUUGGACCCAUAACAGAAUAAUUGUCGGAUGAAGAAAACAAUAAGCUUGAGUUUUUAUAAAUAACGGCGUAGUUGUUACCGUUAACACUGUUGGAAUACCCGGUGGUUAAAAUACAGUAAUACGCGUGAUUGCACAGUAGCACAUGGUAUUACACAGUAUUUUUGAAUUAUUAAUUCUUACAUAAGAAGACACUACUUAAUAAUUGUUACAGUAAUUACUGUUCAAUAUUUUAUUUUAUUUAUUCAAUAAUUGUUGCGUUGAUAUUUUAUAGUAUUGUUGUUUCAAUAAUUGUCAUUGCACAGUAUUUCCCAUUAUCAGAUCAAUAAUUCAUAAUAUUUGAAUAAUAUUAUUAGAUAGCAUUAUUGGCAAUGUCUAGAAAGUUUUGUCAAGGAGAGGUUUGGUCACUUAAUUGCGCGCUAGUAAGGAGAAAUUCUUAUCGAAAAGCCCCCUCUUUCCUGGGAACGGCCUGAUUGUCAUUAUUGUGAUUCUGUAAUAUUAUUUGUGAAUAAUUAUUUAUUGAUUUAUAUGAUAAGGAAAUAAUUAUUUUAUAUGGACAUAAAUGAUAUGAGACCCCAGAUUUUAUGAAUAAAUAUUUAUUUUUCUCGAAAUAAUUUUUUAAUAUUAUGGCGUGGAUUUGAUAUAAUGUUAUAGUUGUGGGUAGUAUUUAUAAAUUUUGCAAAGUAUGCAAGUUGUCAUAUUAUAUUCGAUUGGUCGGGAAAUAUUCUUUUUGUCGGAGAAUAUCCGUACGACGGCACAAUCAUUGAUGGACCCCACAACGGAAUAAUUGUUGGAUUGAGAAAACGAUAAAAAUAUUUUAUUAAAAAUAUCGGCGGAAGUUUUACCGUUAAUACUGUUGAACUACUCGGUAGUAAAAGUACAGUAAUACACGUGAUUGCAUAGUAGCACACGGUAUUGAUUAUUGAUGUUUACGUGAGAAGUCACUCAGUUUUGUUCAAUUAUUACUACAUUAGUUGCUGCAUAAUAUCUCACGUUAUUUGAUUCAAUUAUUGUUGAUUGUUAUAUAUAUAUAUAUAUAUAUAUAUAUAAGUUUUGUUUUAUUAGUAUUAUUAAUGUAAUAAAACAGAAAAACUUUUUAUAUAAAACAGAAUACUUUUAUAAAGUUAUUCGUUUUAUUAGGCUAAUAGUAAAAUCUUUUUAUAUAAAANNNNNNNNNNNNNNNNNNNNNNNNNNNNNNNNNNNNNNNNNNNNNNNNNNNNNNNNNNNNNNNNNNNNNNNNNNNNNNNNNNNNNNNNNNNNNNNNNNNNNNNNNNNNNNNNNNNNNNNNNNNNNNNNNNNNNNNNNNNNNNNNNNNNNNNNNNNNNNNNNNNNNNNNNNNNNNNNNNNNNNNNNNNNNNNNNNNNNNNNNNNNNNNNNNNNNNNNNNNNNNNNNNNNNNNNNNNNNNNNNNNNNNNNNNNNNNNNNNNNNNNNNNNNNNNNNNNNNNNNNNNNNNNNNNNNNNNNNNNNNNNNNNNNNNNNNNNNNNNNNNNNNNNNNNNNNNNNNNNNNNNNNNNNNNNNNNNNNNNNNNNNNNNNNNNNNNNNNNNNNNNNNNNNNNNNNNNNNNNNNNNNNNNNNNNNNNNNNNNNNNNNNNNNNNNNNNNNNNNNNNNNNNNNNNNNNNNNNNNNNNNNNNNNNNNNNNNNNNNNNNNNNNNNNNNNNNNNNNNNNNNNNNNNNNNNNNNNNNNNNNNNNNNNNNNNNNNNNNNNNNNNNNNNNNNNNNNNNNNNNNNNNNNNNNNNNNNNNNNNNNNNNNNNNNNNNNNNNNNNNNNNNNNNNNNNNNNNNNNNNNNNNNNNNNNNNNNNNNNNNNNNNNNNNNNNNNNNNNNNNNNNNNNNNNNNNNNNNNNNNNNNNNNNNNNNNNNNNNNNNNNNNNNNNNNNNNNNNNNNNNNNNNNNNNNNNNNNNNNNNNNNNNNNNNNNNNNNNNNNNNNNNNNNNNNNNNNNNNNNNNNNNNNNNNNNNNNNNNNNNNNNNNNNNNNNNNNNNNNNNNNNNNNNNNNNNNNNNNNNNNNNNNNNNNNNNNNNNNNNNNNNNNNNNNNNNNNNNNNNNNNNNNNNNNNNNNNNNNNNNNNNNNNNNNNNNNNNNNNNNNNNNNNNNNNNNNNNNNNNNNNNNNNNNNNNNNNNNNNNNNNNNNNNNNNNNNNNNNNNNNNNNNNNNNNNNNNNNNNNNNNNNNNNNNNNNNNNNNNNNNNNNNNNNNNNNNNNNNNNNNNNNNNNNNNNNNNNNNNNNNNNNNNNNNNNNNNNNNNNNNNNNNNNNNNNNNNNNNNNNNNNNNNNNNNNNNNNNNNNNNNNNNNNNNNNNNNNNNNNNNNNNNNNNNNNNNNNNNNNNNNNNNNNNNNNNNNNNNNNNNNNNNNNNNNNNNNNNNNNNNNNNNNNNNNNNNNNNNNNNNNNNNNNNNNNNNNNNNNNNNNNNNNNNNNNNNNNNNNNNNNNNNNNNNNNNNNNNNNNNNNNNNNNNNNNNNNNNNNNNNNNNNNNNNNNNNNNNNNNNNNNNNNNNNNNNNNNNNNNNNNNNNNNNNNNNNNNNNNNNNNNNNNNNNNNNNNNNNNNNNNNNNNNNNNNNNNNNNNNNNNNNNNNNNNNNNNNNNNNNNNNNNNNNNNNNNNNNNNNNNNNNNNNNNNNNNNNNNNNNNNNNNNNNNNNNNNNNNNNNNNNNNNNNNNNNNNNNNNNNNNNGAUAUUGUUUAGAAGACAAUAUUUGUAUUAAAACUCACAGCUCUCUUGUUGUAUAUUAAAGAUUGUAUUUGUAUUCUGUACCAUGUAUUUGGCGACUCAGAAUAGGUGAUGUAUACCUAUUUUGGGGGCGUCACAGUUGGUAUCAAAGCUUAGGGAUAUGAUCCCUGGCUGAGAUGUGAGAUAAGAACUAGGAGGGGAGAGACGGGGAAUUCCUUCGCUAGUAUGAACUACCUAAGUUUAUUUGGUAUUUAAUUGGUCGGUUAGAGUAUAGGGAUAAUAUGUGUUAUGUUAAUUAACCCUUAUUUUGUGGCAGUAUUUAAAAAUGGCAUCCGAUAAUGUUGAGAAUAGCAAUGGAGCACAGGAGACCGUUGAGUCUCCACAGAUUAAUAAUCAGGACAAUGUGCAACCGGAUGACGAUAAUCCUCCUGUAAACAACAACACUAAUCAAUUGACGAACGACGGUACGUUUAAGAGCUUUUUAGAAUUCAUGCAACACCAAACGAGAGAGACUCCUGUUCAUAAUGCUGGAGGAAACAAUGGCAACCCACGGUUGGUCACCGCUAAGUAGUUCAAGGAGCUGGGACCACCAGAGUUUUUGGAAAAGCCAGAACCACUUAAGGCAGAGACGUGGUUAAAGCAGAUCACCAAGAUAUUUGAUGUCUUGGGAUGCUUGAAAGAGCAAAAAGUUCCAUUCGCCACCUUUAUGUUUCGUGAAGAAGCAGAUCACUGGUGGGAAUCUAUAAAACGUACCCAGCCUGACGCACUCAAGAUAUCUUGGGAGAAGUUCCAAGAGCUGUUCAACGACAAGUACUUUCCUGAAAGUAUUCGUCACAUGAAGGAGGUGGAGUUCAUCAAGCUGGAGCAAAACAAUAUGACCGUGUCGCAGUACGAGGCUAAGUUUGCCGAGUUGUUCCGAUUUGCGUUCCAUUUGGUUGAUAAUGAGGAAAGAAUGACGCGAAUGUUUCUAAGAGGUUUGAAAUCCAAUAUACGUCAAUACCUCAUUUCUCACAAACUUUAUUUAUAGUCAGAUGUUGUGAAUAGGGCUCAGUUAUUGGAGCACGAUAAUGAGUUAGCACAACCAAAAGGCAAUGACCAACAACACGAUAAUAAUUAUAUCAGUGGCAACGGUCAUCGGAACAAUGAUAACCAUCGUGGGGGAAAUUAUCAUGCCAAGAAUGGUAACCACUUCGCUGGUAAUCAUGGACAAGAUAAUAGAAGUGGAAAUUUCAAGAAGAGAAGGUUCAAUAAUGAUGGAAAGACAGUAGCACCAGCACCCGUUUCAAAGGAAGAAGAACGACCACCGAUCGUAUGUUUCAAAUGCGGACAGGAGGGACACAUCCGUCCAAACUGUAUGCAGCAAUCCAAAACGUGUUUUAAUUGCGAAAGAGAAGGUCACCUAGCUCGAUUUUAUCGUAUGGUAAAGUCAAGUCCAGCUGGGAUAGUGAUGCCAAAGGAUGUCCCAGACAAGCCAAAGCUGAUAAUUUAAGAGAGAACGUUUUUUUUCUCGUGACGAGGAACCUGAAUAAAAUUAUCAUGGGUAAGUUAAUCAUAAACUCUUGCGAAGUCUAUACCAUGUUAGAUACCGGUUUUACUCACUCUUUUAUUUCACCUAGUUGUGUUCAAUGUUUGUACUUAACUCCGGAGAAGUUAGAAUCUGAUUUAUCUAUUAAAACUCCGUUGGGAGAAACCUUCGUUACAUCUAUUAUUUAUAAAUCUUGUUUGAUUCAAAUCGACACUUUCAUGUUACCUGUCGAUCUUAUCUCUUUGAAAAUACUUAUCUUUGAUGUGAUUUUAGAAAUCGAUUGGUUAACUACUCAUCAUGCUUUUCGUAAGGUUGUUAGAUUUCAUAUUCCUAACCAACCUGUUAUGCAAAUUCAAGCAACCAAACCACUAAAUUCAAUCAUUGUCAUAUCAAGCCAUAAGUAAAGAGCCCCGAUCCUUUUGUUGUUGACUUCCUUGUGUGGAAUGCACUGAAGCCAGACUUUCUGUAUGCGACAUCAUGAAUGACGAUGGCAAGUUGAUAGGUAUUAAUAUGACGUACUAUCCAAGUCUUGGAUGAGAGUAACAGUUUUGAAUGAUAUUUCUAUCGUUAAUAAAUUUCCUGACGUAUUCCUGAAGACUUCAUAGCCUACCCCUAGAGCAUGAAAUCGAAUUUUAUAUUGACCCCAGUACAAAACCCAUUUCUUACACCCUCGAAUAUUUCUUCAACUAAAAUGAACGUAACAUACGCCAAAGACGUUGAAUCGAGCUGUUGAAGAUUACGAACGUACCAUUCAAUACCAUCGUAGGAAAAGCUAACAUGGUUGCUAACGCGUUGAGUAGAAGAUCGUAUGCGGUUACAAGUGCGAAUAUAAGAACCCACGUGAAGAUAAUGAAUAUACGAGUAGAAUUGACUUUAAUCAAUAAAGUUAAAGCCGCUCAAGCUAAAUACUCAGAGCUGAUGAAUGUGAAAAAGAAGGUUUAAGAGGGUGUUAUUCUAGAAGCAAGAAUCGAUGAAGAGAGGAAAUCUCAACCCUCGAUUUAAUUGGCCCAUUUGAAAUCCUCGAUUGAGUAGGAACUGUGGCUUACAGACUCAUUUUACCGCCAAGUAUGUCGCGUGCUCAUAACGUUUUUAACGUAUCGAUGUUACGUAAAUAUGUGGACGACCCAAACCACAUUAUUAAUUUAGAACCAGAUGAGAUAGCAGAUGAUUUAACGUAUGAGGAGAUACGUGUUAAAAUCUUGGAUAAGAAGGAUUAUAUUCGACACUCAAAGGUUAUAUCUCAAGAGUUAGAAUCUGAAAUGAAGUCAAGGUAUCCUCACCUGUUCGGCAUACCAGGUACGUACGUAAAUUUUGAGGGCGAAAUUCCAUAAGGAGGGGAGAUUGUGAGACCCCAGAUUUUAUGAAUAAAUAUUUAAUUUUCUCAAAAUAAUUUUUUAAUAUUAUGGUGUGGAUUUGAUAUAAUGUUAUAGUUGUGGGUAGUAUUUAUAAAUUUUACAAAGUAUGCAAGUUGUCAUAUUAUAUUCGAUUGGUUGGGGAAUAUUCUUUUUGUUGAGGAAUAUCCGUACGACGGCACAAUCAUUGGUGGACCCCACAACGGAAUUAUUGUCGGAUUGAGAAAACGACAAAAAUAUUUUAUUAAAAAUAACGGCGGAAGUUUUACUGUUAAUACUGUUGAACUACUCGGUAGUAAAAGUACAGUAAUACGCGUGGUUGCAUAGUAGCACACGGUAUUGAUUAUUGAUGCUUACGUGAUAAGUCACUCAGUUUUGUUAUUGGUAUUAUUAAUGUAAUAAAACAUAAAAUCUUUUUAUAUAAAACAGAAUACUUUUAUAAAGUUAUUCUAUAAAUAGAAUAUAUUAUAUUCUAUUAUGCAUAGUGUUUUGCAUAGUAAAAUCUUUUUAUAUAAAACAGAAUACUUUUAUAAAGUUAUUCUAUAAAUAGAAUAUAUUAUAUUCUAUUAUGCAUAGUGUUUUGCAUAGUAAAAUCUUUUUAUAUAAAACAGAAUACUUUUAUAAAGUUAUUCUAUAAAUAGAAUAUAUUAUAUUCUAUUAUGCAUAGUGUUUUGCAUAGUAAAAUCUUUUUAUAUAAAACAGAAUACUUUUAUAAAGUUAUUCUAUAAAUAGAAUAUAUUAUAUUCUAUUAUGCAUAGUGUUUUGCAUAGUAAAAUCUUUUUAUAUAAAACAGAAUACUUUUAUAAAGUUAUUCUAUAAAUAGAAUAUAUUAUAUUCUAUUAUGCAUAGUGUUUUGCAUAGUAAAAUCUUUUUAUAUAAAACAGAAUACUUUUAUAAAGUUAUUCUAUAAAUAGAAUAUAUUAUAUUCUAUUAUGCAUAGUGUUGCAUAGUGUCUGCAUAGUGAUUUGCAUAGUAAAAUCUUUUUAUAUAAAACAGAAUAUUUUUAUAAAGUUAUUCGUUUUAUUAGAUUAUAAAUAGAAUAUAUUAUAUUUUAUUUAAAAGAUUUUGCUUUAAAUAUGGACCGUCCGAUUAAAGUAAAUCAAUCUGGACCGUUCAUGAGUUAGUUACUAUGUAGUCCAUUCUUCUAUAAAUAGAAGCUCAUUCCUUCAUUAUUUUCUUACGAAUUCACUGAAACCCUAGAGAGAGAAAUUAUAGAGAAAAAAAAGAAAAGUAUUCUGCUACUUUACUACUCCGAUAUCAAGUUUCUUUUACGGUAAGAGAUAUUAUUUGUUGUACUCGUAAGGGGUAUUAUUUCUUUUGUAAUCAUGAAGAGAACUUCUGUUAUUCCAUUCUUUAUUAUUCUGUUGGAAUAACCUGUAUACGUGGUCUACCCUAUACUUGGUGAAAUUCUUCUGUUAUUCAAUUCUUUAUUAUUCUAUUGGAAUAUCCUGUCUGUGCGUUUUAUGCCAGACCUGGUUCCGUCUUUAUUAUUCUGUUGGAAUAUCCUGUCUGUGCGUUUUACGCCGGACCUGGUUCCGUCUUUAUUAUUCUGUUGGAAUAUCCUGUCUGUGCGUUUUACGCCGGACCUGGUUCCGUUAUUUAUUAUUCUGUUGGAAUAACCUGUCUAUUCGAAGUACCGCAUGCAUGGUGAUUUUUGUUGUUAUUCCAUUCUUUAUUAUUCUAUUGGAAUAUCAUGUCUGUGCGUUUUACGCCAGACCUAGUUCUAUCUUUAUUAUUUUGUUGGAAUAACCUGUCUAUGUGAAGUAUCGCAUGCAUGGUAAUUUCUGUUGUUAUUCCAUUCUUUAUUAUUCUGUUGGAAUAUCCUGUCGGUGUGUAUUACGCCUGACCUGGUUCCGUUAUUUAUUAUUCUAUUAGAAUAACUUGUCUAUGCGAAGUACCGUAUGUAUGGUGAUUUCUUUUCUUAUUCCAUUCUUUAUUAUACUCAGUUAGUUAAAGUUUUGACUUCUAUACUCCAUGAAAUUAGUGGAAUAUCCUUGAUAUUUAUACUUCAUCCAGUAUCUUUUCAUGAAAAUAUUCUUCUGAGCAUUCUUGAAUUUUACUCUACAAAGAAGUAUCAUGUUGAAAAUUUGGACGUUAUUGAUUCCUGGAUAAAUUAAUUCGUGAACUUGUUUUAUUGAAUUAUUAUGUCAUUGUCAUCAUCCUCAUGUUUAUUUUUUUUGAAAGUCAUCUGUGGCCUGUAGUGCAUAGAUGGACUUGGUAUGAUUAUGACCAGGGAUUAUUCGGUAUAAUCAUGACCGUAAUAUUACAAAUGAUGUGGAAAAAGUCCUCAUUGGCCCGUAAUGCAUUAAUGGACAGUUUUCGGUAUGAUUAUGGCUAUGGAUUCUCUUCGGCCAAGGGUGCAAAAAUGAAUUGUUUUAUGUCAUGAUCAGGACCGUUGAUGAAAACACGAUUUUCUUUGGCCCGUAGUGCAUGGAUAAUUCGUGGUCGUGAUACUAAAGAAUAUCCUUGGCCUGUAGUGCAGGGAUGAUUUGAUGAUGUGGAUUAUUUAUUGGGCUGAGUCUCAGCAAUAAAAGUGAUGAAAAAACUUUUUAAAUCAUAAAACAUAGUAGAUUCUAUUCUCUACUUGACUCUUUUAAUGGAUUGCUUGUUCCGCUGCAGUUAAACUUGAUGUCUAUUGUAUUUUAUCAGUUUAACAUUGUUGAAGACUAAUGAUAAUUUAUUCUGCACUAUCUUAGUCAUAAUAUUUCUUACUGGGCUAGUUGAGCUCACCCUUUCUUUCACUGUUCUAUUCAGGAAAUGAGAAUAUAGCUGGGGCGAGUCGGGGAACGGAGUGAUGGACCAGAUGAUAGUAUUAGUAGUCCUCACUAUUCUGUUAAAUAGUGUGAUAAUAAAUGUAAUGAGGACAUAUUCUGAGAGUGGAUAUUGUUUAGAAGACAGUAUUUGUAUUAAAACUCACAGCUCUCUUGUUGUAUAUUAAAGAUUGUAUUUGUAUUAUGUACCAUGUAUUUGGCGACUCAGAAUAGGUGAUGUAUACCUAUUUUGGGGGCGUCAAAAAUGAUGGGUAGAAAAAUAUUUAUUUUGUGUGGUUAUAAAUGAAGAAAUUAAUUUUGAGGUAUUUUAUAAUUAUUUUGUCAGAAUGGAUGUAUUAAAAAUCAUCCGUAUGUGGAUUUCGGACAUUUUUUGUUUAGAAUUUGGAAAAACUUUCUUCUCUAAAGUUGUAGAGAAUUUGAUUUCCUAUGGAAUGGACAUAAAAUUCAUAUUUUUCUGAUAAAAGAGCUAUUUAUUGUGAAUUAAAUGGAGUAAAGAUAAUCAAAUUGAAUUAGUUUUCAAAUUGAAUUUGAAUUCUUUUAUUUAUUUAUUUUUCAAAAAUAUGUGAUAAAUUAUUGGGGUGGGUGAGCAAAGUUGGACAAUCUUGAUUCAAGUAAGGUGUGCGUAGAAGAGAAGGAAAUAAGAAUAUUAUUUUAUUAUUUUAGUCUCCUUUGGCGUUCUAGCAUUUUUCUAUAAAUAGGUGCUUAAGUUAGAAUUGAAAAUCACACCAGAAACAUAAGCUUUCUCUCUCUAGAUUAUCGAGCGUAUUAUUGUGAGUAUUUUUCUUGAGUAUAGGAAUACUUUGAGCGUAGUUUUCUGCAAGAUUUUCUCAGAAUAAUAUCCAAUAUUCCAGGCAAAUCCAGUUUCUACUAAGGUAAAGGAUAUUAUUUUAUUGCUUUUAUAAUUCCUGAAAUGAUUAGAAAUUUCACUUCAUCUAAUAUCCUUUUAUAGGAAUAUUGGUCUGAACUUUUUAUCAAAUUUAGAACUUUUCAUGACGGGUACUGUUCACCGGUACUGUUCACGGGUACUGUUCAAAAAAGAAAAAAAAAUUUCUCCUUCCCAGUUAUCUGUUGUGACCUUUAAUCCUGAAAUUGAAUCCAUGUUUUUGAUCUUUAUUCUUGAAUUUUACUCCAUUAUGGUUUAUUAUGGAGUAUUUUUAAACUUGAGUUAUCUAAAGUACAAAUCUCUAAACUUUAUCCUUUUAUCUCACUUGAUUCGUUCUCUAAAAUGUUUUUCAUCAUCCUCAGUCCUUAAUGGUGAUACUUGAUAAAUAUCUUUGGCCUGUAGUGCAAAGAUGUAUGAUUACCUGAUGAAUAUCUUUGGCCUGUAGUGCAAAGAUGAACAGGUGUUGAGAUGAACAUGACCAACUGGUGAUACAAAUGAAUAUCUUUGGCCCGUAGUGUAAAGAUGAAUAUUUGAUUCAAGAUGUAUAUUGAUUGAUGUUACAGGGAUAAAAUAUUGAUGAUGGACUUUUAAAUUCAUAGAUGAUAGUAGAUUUCAUUCUCUACUUAACUCUUCUAAUGAAUUGUUGUUUCCGCUGCAGUUGUUGAUCUAAAACUUGUUGUCUAUUGUAUUCUAUCAGAUUUUUCCCUGUUGAAGACUAAGGAUAAUUUGUUGUAUAUUAUCUUAGUCAUAAUAUUCUUUACUGGGCUAGUUGAGCUCACCCUUUUCCUUUUUGUUCCAUUUUUCUUCUCAGGAAGCGAGAACAUAGCAGGAACCAGUCGGGGUAUAGAGUGAUGGUCCUAGACAGUUGUUUUAGAAGUCCUCACUAUUUUUGUAAAAUAGUGCAUCAAUAAUUGUAAUGAAGACUUUAUUUGAGUGUGGAUAUUGUCUAGAAGACAAUAUUUGUAUUUAAACUCACAGUAUGUGUUGUCGUAUUUUGCACGACAAUUGUAAUAAUAAAGUUGUAGUUAUUUUCUGUACCAUAUAUUUGGCGACUCAGAAUGGGUGAUGUAUACCUAUUUUAGGGGCGUCGCAGAAUAGCUUAUACCAUAUCAGUCAUUAUCAAAUCCUCUAGUCUAGCAUACAAAAUCCUUAAAACGGUGGCUAAGUCUUAGUUAAAUGCUUAGCUCAUAUAUAGACCGGUAUACACCAAGUUAUAAUCAUCUUAUGCUCAUGCAAAACUAACCUUUUAAGCACAUUUGCAUCUUUAGAAUUUUAAUAUAGAAUAUUGGCAUAGGAUUAGACUUGGCUGUACUCAUUUUCAACACAGUUGACUCCAAUAGUCUAUUAACAGACAUUUUACCAAACAGUUGGGAUGCGGUUCAUAUCUAUCCAUACAAUACAUAUAUUCUUAGCUUAGUGAUCCCAGCCUUAUGGCUUAAACAAUAACAAGCAUAAGAUGAUACAUAACAACUCCAAUCACGGUAAUCCAAAUAGCAUUGAAACAGGCAUCCUAUUGUACCAAUUCCAAUAUAACAGCCAUACAUGUUACCUAAACUCUAACAGUCCAGUUGCUAUCAUUUAAAGAAACAGGAACGAAUGGAAAAGGAUUGGAAAGGUCAGAAUUGGCUUACCUUGUUGAUUUGAAGGUUACAAGUGGGUUGAGCUGCCCAGUUUCUCCUCCUUCUCUAGCCGAAGCUUUUCCUCUCUUACUCUAUAUGACUGAUACCGUUACUUCUUCCCUUUUUCUUUUAACUUUGCUAAGUGGUGAGCUAAUCGGUUCUAGGCCAUAAGCUUGGCCUUUUAUGGUUGAGUUUAUCUCCUCUUUUCUGGCAGUACUAUCACCUUUAGUUGGCCUCUACACAACCACCCUAUCAAGCUCCCAUCCAUCAUUCCUAUUCUAGUUCACUUGGCCCCUAUAGGGCCUGUCAGACCAUAGCUAUUCUGCUUCCUCUUAUCCACUGCAAGUUUAUCCCACCUGCUAGCUGACUGUUAACUGAACUAACAUGCUAACUAGAAACCAACUUAGAAUUCGUAUAACUUGCUACUUGACUUGGUGCUCAAGCCAUGUUAUUGUUUUUCUUAAUUGGUUUGAAGCAGUUAUCUUGCUAUACAUCACUGGGUUUACAGGAUUGGGCUGGGGGAACAAUGUGACAAUUUUAAUUUGGGUUUAAACUAACCCUCCCUCUUUAACCAUGUAGCUGCCAAAUUGCACUAAGAAAAUAGGUUAAAAUUGGCCCUUUUAAUUUUGUUAUAGACCUAAUACAACAACCCAUACCCUAAAAUAGUUGAAAGGGGCAUACAAGCAUACAUAGCAAAAUUUAAUAUGGCCCAAUGUUUUAGAAUGGACUCAUUUUAAACACAAAAUUUUUUCUAUCUUAUUAAAUUCCUUUUAGGCUAGCAACAAUAGUUGGUACAUAUAUCAUUAACUCUUUUUUUUUACCAUUCAUGAUCUAAGAUACUUAAUAAAAUAUUAAGUAACAAAUAAUUAUAAGGUCAGGAUACAAAAAUAAAAUAAAAUUUAUACACAAAAUUGACAUUAUAACAACUGAAUAUUUUAUAGAAUUUCUGAGUCAUUACAUUUACUUUGUUAAGGACUAAUGAUAAUUUAUUUUACAUUAUCUUAGUCAUAAUAUUCUUUACUAGGCUAGUUGAGCUCACCAUUUUCUUUCAUUGUUCUUUUCAGGAAAUGAGAAUAUAGUUGUGACUAGUCGGAGAAUGGAGUGAUGGUCCAAGAUGGUUGCUAUAGUAGUCCUCACUAUUCUAUAAAAUAGUGUGAUAAUAAUUGUAAUGAGAACUUCAUUUGAGUUUGGAUAUUGUCUACGAAAUAAUAUUUGUAUUAAAACUCACAACUUACGUUUUGUCGUAUUUUACACGACAAUUAAUAAUUGUAUAAAUGCAGUUUGUAUUUGAAUUUUGUACCAUGUAUUUGGUGACUCAGAAUGAGUUGUAUGGACCUAUUUUGGGGGAGUCACGAAUAGGACCCAAGAAGAUUUGGGUACGAAAAAGGUAGACUAUUUGUUCAUUUUGUCAAUGUCUUAAGUUCAAAAAGGAGACGAAUAGUACUUAUAAAUUAUUUGGCAAAAUCUGUAAGUACCUUAUAUUUUUUUCUAAAAUAGUGUUUUAAUUAGAUAUAUUAUGAAAAAUCUAUGGAUUUCGUAUUACAUGGGUUCAUAACAUCAUUUAUUAUAAAGUAUAUAUUGUGCUAAAUGCUCCAUAUUUAAUACAAAUGACAAUCUUGAUGAGGAAUAAGUGAAUAUUAUUUUUGAUUAACUUAACCAUGAUCUGCUAAAGGAAGAGAAUGAGGUUUCUGUUGGAAAUGACUAUUUGAAUUGUGGAACCCAAACAGUUCAAUCCGGACAGUCUAAGAUGUGAGACCCCGAAUUUUAUGAAAUAAAAGUAUUAAAUUUUUCUAUUUUGGUAAAUAGUUAAAUUGAUAAAAGUUUAAAGUUAAGGGUCAUAUUUGAAAAUUUUGCAAAGUAUGCAAGUUGUUAUAAAUAUUCGAUUGGUCGGAGAAUAUUCUUUUUGUCGGGGAAUAUUCGUACGACGGCACAAUCUUUGGUGAACCCACAACGGAAGUACUGUCGUAGUUAGAAAAAGACAAAAAUAUUUUAUGAAAAUAACGACGAAGGUUUUACCGUUAAAAUUGUUGAACUACCCGGUAGUAAAAGUACAAUAAUACUCGUGGUUGCAUAGUAGCACACGGUAUUGAUUAUUGAUACUUAUGUGAGAAGUCACUGAGUUAUACUCAAUUAUUGCUACAGUAAUUGUUGCAUCAUAUCUCUCAUAUUAUUGAUUCGAUUAUUGUCAGUAUCAUCUGCAUUAUAUGUUAUUUUAUUAAAUCAAUAAUUGAGACGACAAAGUUAUUCAUAUUAUUAAAUUGCAAUAUUUAUAAUGUCUAGAAGUUCUGUCAAGGAGAGGUUAGAUAAUCUAAUUACGCGCCAAUAGGGAGAAAUCUUUAUCGGAAAGCCCCCUCUUUCCUGGGAACAACCUGGUUGUUAAAUAUUGUGAGUUAUGAUAUUAAUGAUGGAUAAGUUCGUGUUGAUUAAAGAUGAAUUUUAUAGUUUUAUUGUGUUGGGAUUAUUUGUGUUAGUAGAAAUUGACAUCUAUUCCGAUGAUUAUUGAUGUCUGGAGGUUAUAUUGUUCAAUCGGGUAUUCGGGACACUUUUCAUGUCAGAGUUAUUAUUCAUGAGUUACUAUUCACGAGUUACUAUUCAUGAGUUACUAUUCACUAGUUACUAUUCACAAGUUACUAUUCACCUAAUUACUAUUCACUCUAGUAUUGUGCAUUCGGGUAUUUGGGUACAAUAUUAUUCCAUGAGGAGAUGUGUUAAUUUUUCUGACCGUUGGUUGAAAUUAUAAUAGUAAAUCAAUAUGGAUCGUUGAUUUAAAGUCUUAAUAGUAACUUGUCCCUUCAAUAUUACCAAGAGUUAAUUGCCCCUUCGUAAAUAGUAGUUGUCCCUUCAAUAUUACCAAGAGUUAUUUGCCUCUUCGGUGUUCCAAGAGUUAAUUACCCCUUCGCAAACAGUAGUUGUCUCUUCAAUAUUACCAAGAGUCAUUUUGACCCUUCGUUAAGACCAAGAGCCACUCUCAGUUUUUCUAUAAAUAGAAGCUCAUUCCUUCAUUAUUUCUUACGAAUUCACUGAAACUCUAGAGAGAGAAAUUAUAGAGAGAAAGAAGAAGAGUAUUCUGUUACUUCACUACUUCGAUAUCCAGUGUCUUUUACGGUAAGGGAUAUUAUUUGUUGUACCCGUAAGGGGUGUUAUUCUUUCUUAGUCAUGAAGAGAACUUCUGUUAUUCCAUUCUUUAUUAUUCUGUUGGAAUAACCUGUAUAAGCGGCAUACCCUAUACAUAACCUGUAUAUGCGGCAUACCCUAUACUUGGUGAAAUCCCUUUGUUAUUCCAUUCUAUAUUAUUAUGUUGGAAUAACCUGUUUAUGCCAAGUACCGUAUGCAUAGUGAAAUUCUUCUAUUAUUUCAUUCUAUAUUAUUAUGUUGGAAUAACCUGUUUAUGCGAAGUACCGCAUACAUGGUGAAAUUCUUCUAUUAUUCCAUUCUUUAAUAUUCUGUCAGAAUAUCCUGUCGGUGUGAAUUUCGGCUGACCUGGUUCCAUUUAUUAUUCUGUUGGAAUAACCUGUAUACGCGUAUUACCGUAUACUUGGUGAUGUCUGUUGUUCUUCCAUUCUUUACUAUUCUGCUGGAAUAUCCUGUCUGUGCGUUUUACGCCAGACCUGGUUCCGUCUUUAUUAUUCUGUUGGGAAUAACUUGUCUGUGUGGUCUCUAUCGCAUGCAUGAUGAAUCCUUCUGUUAUUCCAUUCUUUAUUAUUCUGUUAGAAUAACCUGUCUAUGUGGAUUACCACAUGCAUGGUGAAUGAUCCUUUAUAUUCAUUCCUUAUUAAAUUGUGGAAAUGAUCCGGUUACGUUGAUUAUGAUGAGAGUCAUAAUAAAAGUAUUGGACUAAUGAAAAUCAUGGGUAUAUGUGGUAUUAGUAAGUGUUAUGAUGAGUUAUGUUGGUUAUUAUGUGAAAACAUGAAAGUUUCUUAGAAAUCACAAAGGGUUGAAAAUCAGAUUUUGGUGAAAAUAGAACAUGAAAUUCAAUUGACCAUAUCUCCUAUUAUAUUUCAAAUUUUUGGGUGUGGUUAAGUUCUAGAGUUAGGUCUAUGAGUUAUGUAACUUAUCCAAGUGGAAUCACUGGAAAAGGUGUUGUAGAUUUUCGUGUGGACUGAUUUUAGCAAAGGAGUGCAAAGCUGCAAAAACCCAAAACUCUACUGCCCAGAAACUUUAAGGGGCUGUUUCGGCUACUUAAUUUGUGAGAACAAUUCUGGCCUUUUGGGACAUGAAAUUAUAUGAUAUAAAGUACCUCCUGUCCAAAAAUGAGCUCAUUCUGACUUAAAAUGAGCAAGUUAUGACCAUUUCAAUAUUUAGGUUUUUCCGACGAAAAACGCUAUAACCGGAGUUCUAUAACUCCGAUGACCAUGAAAUUUAAAUUGGAAGCUCAUGUUAACAUGUGUAAGAUUAUGCCAAGAUUUGGGAAUUUUUGGAGUUAACCUUGAGGUAGCUAACUUCUUAAGGAAUUAAUUAGAAAUUGAUUUUUGAAAAAUAGUAAAUGAAUUUUAAAAAUUCCGAGAAAAAUAUAUGUUCAUUAUGGGACUAUAUUCUGCUAAAUACCAGAAAAGAAAUAUUUUUGGGACUGAUUUGGUAUUUUUCAUGAAAAUAGUUUAGUUACGAACUUAUGAGUUAAAUAUGUUAUGUGAAGUAACAAAAUUGGAAAAAUAGGAUUUAUGGUUUGGAAGGUAUAUGCAGAUUUUUGAUAAAGAAUUUGAUUAUUGGUGAUGAGAUCUUAUGAGUAUGGCAUUUUGAAUGAUUAAAUACAUUAUAUGGUAAAGUGUAAGCAAUUGAAAUAAAUUAUUUAUAAGUUUGAGAAGCGAUUAAAAUAUUGUUAUAAUAUUAAUAAUAUUAGAUUAUGAGUUAUUGAUAAUAUUUGGAUAAGUUUAAAGUCUUUAGUAUUUAUCCUUGUUUUCGUAUGAUUAAUGCUUAUAUCAUUGUCAUCAUCCUCAUGCUUAUAUGGUGAUGAAAGUUAUCUUUGGCUUACGUGCAAAAAUGGACUUUUGAUUAUUGAAUUGUAUAUCUUUGGCUCACGUGCAGAGCUAGUUUGUUGAUUAUUGGUUUUAUUGUUGUAUAUCUUUGGCUUACGUGCAGAGAUGAAUUUGGUAUGAUUAUGACCAAGGAUUAUUCGGUAUAGUCAUGACUAUUGAUGAUUUAAUGAAUAUCCUUGGCCCGUAGUGUAGGGGUGAUUCGAUGAUGUGGUUUAUUUAUUAAGCUGAGUCUCAAUGAUAAAAAUGGAUGAAAACAUUUUUAAAUCAUAGAAGAUAGUAGAUUUUAUUCUCUACUUGACUCUUUUAAUGGAUUGCUUGUUCCGCUGCAGUUAAACUUGAUGUCUAUUGUAUUUUAUCAGUUUAACAUUGUUGAAGACUAUUGAUAAUUUAUUCUGCAUUAUCUAGUCAUAAUAUUUCUUACUGGGCUAGUUGAGCUCACCCUUUCUUCACUGUUCUCUUCAAGAAAUGAGAAUAUAGCUGGGACGAGUCGGGGAACAGAUUGACAGUCCAGAUGAUAGCAUUAGUAGUCCUCACCAUUCUGUUAAAUAAUGUGAUAAUAAAUGUAAUGAGGACUGAAUUUGAGUUUGUAUACUGUCUAUGAGGACUCCAUUGAGAAUUGAUAUUGUCUAGAAGGCAAUAUUCUUGUUUAAACUCUCAGUUUAUGUUUUACACGACAGUUGUAUAAUUAUGUUGUAUUUGAUUUAUGUACCAUGUAUUUGGCGACUCAAGAUGGGUGAUGUAUACCUAUUUUGGGGGCGUCACAUAAGACGUCUGCAUCAGAAGGAAAUAUAGAUGAAAUCAGACAGUUUGACCUGUCUGUUUUAGAAGAAAACUCAAAUUUACAAACACCUAAAUCUAGAAAAAUCGAGAGGUCUGCUUUAGAAUAAAAAACAUAUGAAUAUUCGGAUGCAGUAACUUAUAUUCCAGAGGAUGAAUCUGAAAAGCAAAUGACUUCUUCCAGGCUUCCUAAAUCUUCUAGAACUAUGGGAAAUCAUCCUCCAAGUCUGAUCAUCAGAAAUUUCAACAUUAGGAUGUCCACAAGAAGAGGUUUUGAAGAAAUUUGUUUGCUACACUAAAGGAGCUCAUCUAUCAAGCUUAUUGUUGGUAACAAAAUUGUGGAUAUAUAGGUAACAAAUCACAAAGGUAUGGUUAUUUUAUUUAAGUGCUAUAUGUGAUAUUGUUACAAGCUUGAUGUCGUGUCUUUAUUUUAUGAAUUAUUUUUUGUUAGUGACAAAUGGGGAGAGAUAUAGCUAAAUUGAUGAUUUAUUUCUUUUUGAUAAUGAUAAGGGGAGAAAUGUUUAAAAAUAUUGAUGAUUAUGAUAUUUGAUGGUUAUAUUGAUUAUAAUAUGUUUGGAUUUUUUGGAUAUCAUAUUGAUGAUAAUGGUUGGAUAUUUUGAUUCAUUAUCUGUUAUAUACAGCUUAUCAUUAUGCAUUAUUUAUCAUAACAGUUAUGUGAUCUUUAUAUCUCCUAUAGGCAAAAUUUAGGGGGAGCCAUAUAGUUAGGGAGAGCAUGAUUGUAAGGAAUAAUAUAUUGUCAUCAUCAAAAGGUGGAGAUUAUUAGUUUUAUUAUUUGUAAUUUUAAUAAUGACAAUAUAUUUGCAAAUAUAAGUUAUUUAAUGGUCUGAAUAUAUUUGCAAAUAUAAGUUUGGUUCAUGAUAAUUUAAUUUGGUUAUAAGUCAAAUUGAUAUUACGUGCAGGAUUGAAUUGGAAUAUUUUCUUUCAGGUCUAAUUUGGAGUCUCUAAAUUAACUGGUUUAGAUAUUUGUGUAGAGUAUGGACUCUAUCUAUAAUAUAUUGUUACUCCUUAAUUUUAGCCAUUGUUAGAUUACAUAUCUUUGACUUUCUAAUUUUGAGAAUAUUUUAUAGCUGUUAGCUAUAUCUAUGUGCUGAAAUCUCUAAUUCUCGAAAUCCAAGACCAAGUCAUUGACGAGCCUACUAAGUUUACACAGCAACCACGAUUUGUUUGUAGACUUGUAGUUAUUCAUUUUAUACCCGAAGUUAACAAAUUGUAUGAAAGGUUCAUCCUUUCAAUUAUCUACAUAAUUUAUUUUUUCCUACUCUAUGCAUUCCUAAGUAUCAGAUCGGAUCAGAUCAUAAACAUCACAAUAAACCAUCUAGUGGUAAUUGUUUUAUUUAUAAUACGGUAAUAACAACCACCUAGUGGUAGUUGAUUUAUUUAUUACAUGCUAAUAACAACCAUGAGCUGAUUGUUGAUUUAUUUAUUAAAUGCUAAUAACAGCUAUCAGCUAGUGGUUGAUUUAUUUAUUAUAUUCUAAUAACAGCCAUCAACUAGUAUAUAGUUUCUUGAUCAACUGUUCAUAGGAAGAUUACUGAUCGUUCAUUUAGGCGCUGGGGGGACUAAUUUGAACACCAUAGAUAACUAAACCCGUCUUCAUAGUCGCGCUUUCACUCCCGUCAAGAGCAAAUUUUAAAUCUCCAGAGUCAAAGCUAUUCAAGAAUUCCCCAGCUUUGAGCGAAAAUGGUGUGUUUCUCGGAUAAUUCAUCAAUCCAUAUCCGUUCACUUGCGAGGAUCCAUUCGGAAGAGUAAGUGUAAGACUCACCGGACUUGCUAUGUUAAAGUUGUCUUUCAGCAACACCACAAAAGAUACCUCAUAAGAUAAUUUUUCAAGCUUUUCUGUCAUAUAGUUUCCGUCAACAUGUAGGACUAAGCUACCAAUUAAUUCAGCACUGGCAUCACUGAAAAAAAAUGAUAGUAGAAUUAAAGUCAGAAACUUUUGAUAUAAGGAGCUUAAAUUCAUUAAG
RNAcentral lists this long non-coding RNA (159422 nucleotides) under Panax ginseng (ginseng). Its description in RNAcentral is "long non-coding RNA (PGIN_LNC007104)". Lineage: Eukaryota; Viridiplantae; Streptophyta; Magnoliopsida; Apiales; Araliaceae. The record is from RNAcentral.